RNAcentral lists this long non-coding RNA (130582 nucleotides) under Triticum aestivum (bread wheat). Its description in RNAcentral is "long non-coding RNA (TAES_LNC012521)". The stretch from base 129998 to 130157 matches the Rfam family "U1 spliceosomal RNA". The record is from RNAcentral. Lineage: Eukaryota; Viridiplantae; Streptophyta; Magnoliopsida; Poales; Poaceae.
GUUUAUUCAAUGUGUGGUCACCUCAUUACAAUCUCUAGGACAGUAGAUAACCUGAAAAAUUCAGAAUAAGGAAAAUUGGUGCUUCUCAGAAUAAAAACUCCUCCCAGCGUGAGGUUCUACUUGUAACUGAAGCUUCAGGUAAGACUAAAUAUAUCUUCUAAGACUGUGCACAUCUCCCUCUGUCAGUUUGGAUCAUAAUCAGUCCAUGGCUUCAGAUAACUCAUGUCGGCAAUCAUGUAAAAAAAAAACUCUCGCAAACCUCGUCGAUAUCUCCAACCCCUGAGUGCAAUUGCUCCUUGUGCCACACCCGGUGCUCGCCGUCGAUGAGCAUCAGAAGCACCUGGCCUUCCGGCCUCAACACCCUGGUCUUACGUCUACCAUCCUUCAUUUCAGCUAGCUAUUCUCAGUGACAUGCUUACUCCUCUUGGAUUUUAUUCCAUGAUAAGUUUUUUUUUUAGUAACAUUCCAUGAUAAGUAUGUAUUGGAAGUUGAAAUGCCAGCUUUCGUGGAGACAGCCCAUUUGAUUUUAUUUUUUUUGAGGGGUGGAGACAGCCCAUUUGAUGAAAUAGACAUUCUGUGCCAGAGAGAUCAUUUUUCUAAUGAAGUGGGCUUGAGCACCGGAAUCAGGCCCACGACCUUGCACCAGCUGCACCAGGGCGCUCUUGGUUAGUUUGUUUAGUACCACCUCGCCAGCGAGAGGAGGCAGGGGAGGGGAGCCUGCUAUAUAAUGACCCCUCGGUGCAACCUUGCAACAUACUUACCUGGACGGGGUCGACGGCUGAUCAAGAAGAGUCGUGGCCUAGGCUAGUGGUCCACAUUGCACUUGGUGGAUGCGCUGGCCUACCAUCUCCCCAAGUGGGAGAGUGGAUGUCAUAAUUUGUGGUAGAGGGGGUACGCGUUCGCGCGGCCCCUGCCAAUUCUCUUAAUUAAAUUUUGUCCUUCCUACUUUAGUGGUUCUUUCUGCUGAAUUCACGUUCAGUUUCAAUUACUUCAUCAUGGCCUUGCAGAGUCAGCUUAUAUGGUGUUUAAAAUUGCUGACAGGUCACUCAAACCAGUGUGAACGUUUAGAAAUAGACACUGUGAUGGGACACAUAUGCAGCAUUACCUGAAGUUGAUGUUCAAGUGGCCUUUACAGUCUAUACUUUUAACAAAAUAGCAAACCUUGUACUUUACAGGCUCCAAAAUGGUACUCCAUACUAUGGCAGCAAUGUCAGGAUUUCUUUGAAGCUCUGAGAGUCAGUGUAGCUGCACGCUGUACUGAGGCACCAAGAAUUUUACAAACACAGAUACUCUACAUCUGAAUGUACAAGGUACAACGUAACGAUGACUAUAUUAUCUAUGUGUACUUUAAACUGUUAUAAGCAUCUCUUGGUAAGGUAUCCCACCAUGCAUUUGGGAUUCAGUGUUAACUAUAAUUCUUGCAUCAACGACCGGUUCUGCGAAUCCGAAUUCCAACCGGUUACAGUCUCCUCAAUGCAGCAAAGAAGACAAAAUUGGUAGUAGAGCUAGAGAAUCAGUGGCCGUUCUGGAUAGACCAUUAUACCUUACUCGUAGGGUUCGACCGAGAAAUCUGGCUCGUCCGGCUUCUUUAGCGUCGGCAACUCUUUUAUGGCCUUGCCCUUUCCUGUUCCUAGCCAUGACUUUACCGGCCACCAUUCUUAUUUCUUAGAAAGAUAUUCCUCAUGGGUGGAGGAACAUCUUCACCAUCCGAGUCUUCUGAUCUCAUGGACGGGCUGCAGGGUUCAGGGUAUCAUAUCAUCAAUUAGACUAGCAUAGCAAAAUUAACAGAGAACCCCAACGUAUAUACUCAAAGGAACUCUUAUCUUGUCAGUCCAACAGCUGAGUAGUGUAACCUUCCUUCCAGCUGACCAAGCUUUCAUUUCCAAAGUGAGCUAUACUAGCUUAGGCACACACACAUAUACGCUACCUGUUAUGCAAGUCUGCUUUGAAAAGCACAUUGGCACAACUCAUCUUGCAGCAGUGUUCCUACAAGUUAGUACAAACAUUUGACCGUGGAUGAACUUCAUAUGAAAAACGCACUAGUUUGUGCACAGCAAGAUUGCAUUCCUUCGUACAUAACUAUUACUACUGCACAAUCUGAAAAACAUCAAAAUUAACCAGAGAGGAGAGAACUGAAUAUAUCUUCUAAGACUGCGCACAUCUCCCUCUGUCAGUUUGGAUCAUUAUCAGCACAUACCCUUACCUUGUUCUUCCUUUCUUGGGUCCUGGGGGCUCUUGCAGACCUCGCCGAUAUCGCCAAUCCCUGGGUGCAAUUGCUCCUUGUGCCACACCCGUUGCUUGCCCGUCGAUGGGCAUCACAAGCACCUGGUCUUGUCUUCCGGCCCCAACACCCUCCGGUGGUGCUCCCCGUGCGGCCAUGCCGGCCUUUCACACCCUUUGUUUCCACCGCUGUAUUUUUUUCUUUUUUGAGAAGAAUUUCCACCGCUGCUUUUUUUUUAGAUUUUUUUAGGGGUCCUUUUUUUUAGUGGUGCUCAUUUUAGAUGAAUUUCCACCGCUGCUAUGACGGCAGAAGUUGCAGCCCGAUCCAUCUAAGCCGCAGUGGAUCAGGAGAAGCCGUGAUGCUGGGGUAGUGUGUGUGGACGUCCACGAAGAUGAUUUAUGUGGGCUCGUGGGCGCCGCGGAGACAGCCCAUUAAUGGCAGAGAACCGGGCCUGAGCACCGAGAGCCCCAUCAGAAUCAGGCCCACGACCUUGCACCAGCUGCACCACCAGGGCGCUCUUAGUUAGUUUGCUUAGUACCACCUCGCCAAUGAGAGGAGGCAGGGGUGGGGGAGGCUGCUAUAUAACGAUCCCUCGGUGCACCCUUGCAACAUACUUACCUGGACGGGGUCGACGGCUGAUCAAAAAGAGUUGUGGUCUAGGCUAGUGGUCCACAUUGCACUUGGUGGAUGCGCUGGCCUACCAUCUCUCCAAGUAGGAGAAUGGACGUCGUAAUUUGUGAUAGAGGGGGUACGUGUUCGCGCGGCCCCUGCCAAUUCGCUAAAUCAAAAUUUUGUCCUUCAAUGCUCAACAAUCCGUAGCCUUCUGCUAAAUUCCUGUUAAGUUACAUCAACCUGGCUUUGCAGAAUCAGCAUGUAUCAAAUUGCUAGCCGCCAAGAAAAAUUUGAUGGCAGGUCACUCCAUUUCAAAUUGCUAGCCGCCAAAAUAAUAAUUUGAUGGCAGGUCACUCCAUCUAGUGUGUGACAGUUUACUCCAGCCCAAACAAAUGGAAGUAGACAGUGUGAAGGGGGAUAUGCAACAAUUACAUGAUACUAGCAGGCGGAGGCGUGGCGCCACGCCGCGCCUGUGUUUAAGUCCAUCGUUGAUUAUUUUGUGUCUUAAUUCAUUGUUACUUGUUAUUGGGAUGAUAGGGUAGAUAAAUAUUACAACAACAUAUUUGGUAAGUUUCAUUUAGUAGAUCAAUGGAUAUGGUGGCAUACAUGGUCGAUGGGCAUCUUUUAUCCGUAUUAUUCUUUUGGCUAAUGAUCCUUAAAUAUUUUCUACUCAUGACAAUAACCUUUUUUAUGUCUAGCUUGAACACAUUCUUGGUUACAAAGGAAGCAAAACGACAUAUCUACAUACCAAGUCCAUGACAUAGAAAUUCGGUUGAACUGAGCAUCAAAAUAUUCUUCUCCAUAUACCAAAGAGAACCCCCGCAAAAAAAAUAUAGCAAAGAGUAGUAAGUGGCCAUACAUAAUUACCAUAUCUGCUUCAUUCAAACAGGAUUAUUUACAUGAUAGCAAUAUGUGUCAUGUACUCAUGUAGAACAGCAACAGCCUAUACAUAAACUCACUGAAGUUGGGCCAACUAAAAGAAGUAAAAAAGGAAACGACCAUGGCGAAACCACUGGAUACUCUUCACUGACCAUUUCAUCAGCACAUCUAGUAGUUUUCCCCUAUCAUCAAGAACAUGAAUAGCGUCACAAUGAUUCAGACACUAUUCAUUCUACUGGGUCUAGGCCGGAGGUUGUAGGGAAAGGAGGGAGCUGGUCGUGGACGAACUCGCGGCCGCCGGCGGCUGGGCGCCGUCGUGCGCGAGGAGGCGGCGGCUAAGAGGAAGAUGCGCAGGGAAGGAGGUGGCUAGGGUUAGUUCUCCCGGCUCCCUAAGGAAGCCGAGCAAAUAUGAUUGUUUUUUUUGCCUGAUUAGAUUGAUACAUCUCCUCUCCUUAUAUAGAGACGUUUACUUGACUCCCAAGCCCCUAAUAACGAUAAUUGGGCUAAGCCCCUAAUAACGAUAAGAUAGACUGGGCCACAACUAACUGGGCUAAGCCUCUAACAUGCCGGUCAUACACUAGUAGAAAAACACCUAAUAGUCCCGGUUCGUAAGGGCCUUUAGUCCCGGUUCAUGAACCGGGACUAAUGGGUCGUUACUAAUACCUCCACCCAUUAGUCCCGGUUCAAACACAAACCGGGACCAAUGUGCCUACACGUGGCCCUGUGCGCCGAGCCCAGUCAGGGGGCCNNNNNNNNNNNNNNNNNNNNNNNNNNNNNNNNNNNNNNNNNNNNNNNNNNNNNNNNNNNNNNNNNNNNNNNNNNNNNNNNNNNNNNNNNNNNNNNNNNNNNNNNNNNNNNNNNNNNNNNNNNNNNNNNNNNNNNNNNNNNNNNNNNNNNNNNNNNNNNNNNNNNNNNNNNNNNNNNNNNNNNNNNNNNNNNNNNNNNNNNNNNNNNNNNNNNNNNNNNNNNNNNNNNNNNNNNNNNGGGGGGUUAAUUUAGGUGUUUCAUAUAUUGUGUUAGCUAGCUAAUUAAUAGAGAGAAGUGUCCUCUCUUAUGUCCGUGCUUGGUCGACGCUACGUACUAUAUAUACAUAAGUGAUCGAAAGAACCAUUCAGUACAGAAGUUCGUCAUGCAUACCGAGAGAAGUGAUCGAUUGACCUCUCCUUCUCCGAGAGAUUGGUCGAACAACAAGUUUUCGUAUAUCAUGUAUCUGACGCUACUAGCUACAUACAUGUACAAUAUGUAUAAGAUCUCUUAAUUACAAUCCCCUGGCAAUUGAAAUCAAUUUCCACAUGGUAUUCUCCGGCUUUAUUGAUGACGUGGUCAAGAAAGAAUCCGGCCAAUUCCUCUUGAAUUCCUUUCAUGCGAUCUGGUUCUAGGAGUUCAUUCUGCAUCUGCCACGUCUAAUUUGAAGAAGGGGGUUAAUUAAUACAUAUAUAUGAAUGAAACUCAACAGAAAUGACGGUGUAAUAAAAUGAAAUUAUGAAUAUUAUUGCUUACGUACUUCAUAUUGUCUUUGAGAGUAGCCCUGCUUGUUUUUCAAAGUCGCGUUGUGGAUGAACUCGCACACGUAGUAUCCACAGAAAUCAUUUCCUUCUUCCUGCCACAAGCACUUUACGAGAAAUAGAGGUCAAUCAAACUGAUAAUGAAGCAUUAUAAAUGGCAUUGAUGAAAGUAUAGCUAUAGAAUCAACGGGAGAUGCGCGCAACUACCUAGCCAGUAGUACUUACUUUCGGGUAUGUAUAUCGCAGCUCCUUCGGCAGUCCCGGAGCUUGUGCGGUGAACUGUUUCCAAACCCUGCAAGACAAAGAAAAUAAUUAUUAUUACUUGAGAUAUCAGGAAAUGAACAAAAAGUUGCCGAUAUGGUGCGAUAAUGAUCGAUUGAACUUACCUGCUGAGCAUUUCAGUCAUGUCCGCAUAGGACUUGCGAUCUUUCCGUCUCGAGUCUAAGACGGUUACUAGUCCACGCUCAAGCUUAAUCUCCAGAAGAAUAUAGUGGUACUGCGCACGCAUGCAUAACUCAUCAAUUACAUUACUAUAACCUCGCUCGAGUAAUAAGGGAAACCGAAUAUGCACACGACAGUAACACUCACUUGCCGUUGUAAGGAAAGAGUAUGAUAUCUUUGUUUUGAUUUUUGAUCAACGAUUGUAGCACGUUGUCCUCGGCCUCUUUGAUGUCCUUUUUAACCAGAAAUUCAUCUAUGAUAUUUGUGUUAAUGAACCCAAUAUCAUAAAUUUCUUGUUUUUUGCACUUGACGAUCUUCAAUCUGCAUAAUAUAUUGAGGAUAAUUAAUUAUAAAUACAUGAAAUGAAAGAGCCGAGCUAUAUAUAGAGACUUAAUGACAGAAAUAGUACUUACAGACAGUAGCAAAAGACCAUUAGUUUAUCGAGGGCCUUUUGAUUGAAGAACGCGAAGAACUCAUCAAAUGGAACAGUCAACAGAUCAUUUGCAAUGAGAUCGUGCUCCUCUUUAAUAUGCAGAUACAAAGCAUUCGUACCCUCAGACUCUCUGCAGGUUUCCAUGUACCAAUUAUGGAAGCUUCGCAUCAUUGUUGUCAGAGAUUUUUCAUCUUUGAUGAGAGGCUUCCCGUACUCGUAUCUGUGUUCGUCCACCUCCAAGAAAUCAGGAAGUGCAUCGUCAGGCAGGUAAUCUUCAAGAUUGCCAUAACCGGCCACCGUCCCCGGAGCAUUAGACACAUUGAGCGGGGGGCACGAUUGCUGUGCUUGUUUGCCGAGCUGGGCAAUUUUUCCCCCUUUGCUCGUUCUUUUGACCUUUUAGCUCUGACAGUAGUUCCCGACCGCUGGGCUUGGAGAUAUGUCUGUUCAGUAAUGCGCUCAUAGUUGGUUCUCGGCGGAGACUUUGGUGGUUUCCUCAGGGCAUCGAUAGUGCGCUUUGCUUUCACCGGAUCUACCUUCUCCUCCGGAGGUGGAUGUCUCUUUGCUUUCACCGCUUCAAAGAACUCCUUCACGUGGGUCCGCACAAUCGUAUCGUUUUCCUUCUCGGACCUCUCGUACGGUAACUUCUCUAGAGGCUUGAGAGAUGGACCGUAUUUGUAUUGCCUCCCGCCUCUGGUUGUGCUGCUAGACGCCGGAGCAGACGGAACGGCUGUGGCGUCUGUCUUCUUUCGUGCUUGCUUACAAGGCGGAGGAGAAGGAGUACGACGCGCCAGAGCAGCCGGGGCGGCGGCGGGUCUCUUCCGCCCUUGCUGGCGAGACGGAGAAGGAGGAGGCUGUUGGCUGCUCGGGACCACCGGUGCAGGCGGAGAAGGAGGCGGAGUGCCGCCAUGCGCCGGAGAAGGAGGCGGAGUGCCGCCACGCGUGCCCUGAUCGUCACUCGCCGGAGGAGGAGGCGGUGGAGGAGGCGGAGUGCCCUAACUCGCCGGAGGAGGAGGAGGAGGCGGAGGCGUCCAGUUCAGAAGGUUGAUGAGCUCCUUCCGCCAUAGGCAUGGAGUCUUCAGAGCACAACCCAGCCUAGUCUCCCCUUCACCGGUAGGGUGCUCAAACGGGAGGUCCUCAAAUCCCUCCGUUAUUUCAUCCACCAUCACCUUAGCAUAUCCUUCUGGAAUUGGCUGGCAGUGAUAAGUUGUGCCGGGUCCACUAGGAUAAACUUGGCCAACAGCCGCCUUGACCUUCAAAUUCAUCCAUCGCGCCAUAAUGUGGCAAUUUUGAGACUCCAUGAUACCAUCCACGGGAUAGCUGGCAGGAGCCAUCAAGACAUGCUCCGGCUGAAGCAGCUCGGUGGAAGCCAUGCUGCUUCUCCGCUGAGAUGGCGGGGUAGCUUCGGGGGAAGCUUCGGCAGGUCGUUUGCUGCGAUCUGCUACUUCUCGUUCCUCUUCUCGAUCCUCUAGCCCCAUUACCCUUUCGUGCAGCGCCUGCAGUUUGUCCUGCUCCAGUUUCUUCCUCCUCUCGUGGGUUUUGUAACCCCCUGCGUCCGGAAAACCAACCUUCCACGGAAUGGAGCCUGGCGUGCCUCGUGUCCGUCCAGGGUGCUCAGGAUUCCCAAGGACCAUUGUGAGCUCGUCCUUCUCCCUGUUUAGAAGGAACGUCCCUCGCUGCGCUGCAUCGAUAUAGUGUCGAAGGUUUUUGACUGGUAUUUCCAGUUUCUCGGACGUCCACUGGCACAACCCUGUUACAGGGUCCAAGGUUCCGCCAGCUCCGAAGAACCAAGUCCGGCAACGGUCUGGCCAGUACAUUGUCUCUGGUUCGAUCCCUUUUUGAAGCAGAUCAUGCUCAGCCUUGGACCACUUAGGCCGGGCUUUGAGGUAGCCACCUGACCCCGUGCGAUGGUGAAGCUUCUUCUUCACAACAUUUUUCUUGUUUGUCUCCGACAUCUUCUUACUCUUUUUCGAUGUCUUGUGGGGCACAAAUGUGGGCCAGUGAUCUUUGAUCUUCUCAUAUUUGCCGAUGAAUUCUGGUGUCUUUUUUUUCCGACAAACUGGUUCAGCUCUUUCCUCCACCUCCUCAUUAGGGUUGCCAUCUUCUUAAGAGCACAAGACUUGAUUAAUUGCUCUUUAACUGGCUUCUCCGGAUCCUCCUCUGGCGGUAGGGUGAAAUUUGCCUUCAGCUCAGUCCAAAGAUAUUCUUUCUGCAUAUCAUUGACAUAAGACACCUCAGGGUCUUCCUCCUUAGGCUUAUACCAUUGCUGGAUGCUGAUCGGGAUCUUCUCCCUAACAAGAACCCCGCACUGAGCAGAAAAUGCCUUCCUUGUCCGGCUGGGUUCAAUCGGUUCGCCGUCGGGCGCGAUUUCCAUGAUCUCAAACUUUUCAUCCGAGCUCAAUUUUUUCUUCGGGCCUCGUCUCCUUACCGAAGUUGUGCUCGAUCCAGAGGGCUAGAAAUUAUAAGGAAGAAAGACGAGAGUAAUUAAUAUGUGUACAUAUACCAAAACAAUGGAAGCAUCAAUUAACUAGUCAGCACGGGCUUAACUAAUAUAUAUAUACCUGGCCGGGCUCGGUUCGGUCACCGGAGCAGUCAGCACGGUCUCCUUCUUGUACCUCCAUUGUGUCACCGGAGCCAUCAUGAACAUAGUCCUCUUCUUGUACCGGCAUUAAUGGGCCGAAGCCAUCAUGAACAUAGCCCUCUUCUUCACCCAGUUCUUCCAGCUGACCAACGGUGUCGAGGAGAAAUGACGCAACUUCAUCCCUUCCAUUUGCGAUUAUGUCCCCCAAUAUCGCUUCUGUUUCUUCGUCUUGGGAGUGCUCCAUAGUUUCUGCAAAUAUUUACAACAUGUCAAUUAUUAUUCAAACAUGGUACAGAUGGAUAUAUAUAUAUAUAUAUAUUAUAUAUAUAUAUAUUAUAUAUAUAUAUUAGUGGCAAACGUAGAACUAGCUAGCUAAUCACAAUAAGGAAUCAUGUUAGUGGCCUCGACGCUGCUUCUCUAGGGUUUGGGGUCGCCUCGACACAACAACGCUUCAAGGGUUUGGGGUGGCCUCGACGACAACGCUCUUUUAACUUGGUAAAUUUGGGUGGCCUCAAGAAAGUUAAUUUGUCGGGUAGGGGCACGGCGGGAGGGGGUAGGAGACCAACAUCGUUUUCUCUCUAGGGUUUGGGUGUCCUCGAGAGUUUUGGUCGAGCGAGAGGGCCGAGGAGGGGUGCUGCUGUUGUAUAAGUUAUCACGGUCGAGAGGGGGUAUAUAUAUCGACCGCCCCGCAUGUCGAAGUUAUCUCGAGGGGGUUAUAUCGACAACGACGCGACAACGACGAGAAAGGAAAAUAAUUAAGGAAAAGGAAGAAAAGAGGAAGAAGGAAGAAUGAAGAAGAAGAAGAAGGAAAAAAAAGAGGAGAAGAAGAAAGGAAUAGAGGAGAAGAAGAAAAAAUAGAAAAAUUUCNNNNNNNNNNNNNNNNNNNNNNNNNNNNNNNNNNNNNNNNNNNNNNNNNNNNNNNNNNNNNNNNNNNNNNNNNNNNNNNNNNNNNNNNNNNNNNNNNNNNNNNNNNNNNNNNNNNNNNNNNNNNNNNNNNNNNNNNNNNNNNNNNNNNNNNNNNNNNNNNNNNNNNNNNNNNNNNNNNNNNNNNNNNNNNNNNNNNNNNNNNNNNNNNNNNNNNNNNNNNNNNNNNNNNNNNNNNNNNNNNNNNNNNNNNNNNNNNNNNNNNNNNNNNNNNNNNNNNNNNNNNNNNNNNNNNNNNNNNNNNNNNNNNNNNNNNNNNNNNNNNNNNNNNNNNNNNNNNNNNNNNNNNNNNNNNNNNNNNNNNNNNNNNNNNNNNNNNNNNNNNNNNNNNNNNNNNNNNNNNNNNNNNNNNNNNNNNNNNNNNNNNNNNNNNNNNNNNNNNNNNNNNNNNNNNNNNNNNNNNNNNNNNNNNNNNNNNNNNNNNNNNNNNNNNNNNNNNNNNNNNNNNNNNNNNNNNNNNNNNNNNNNNNNNNNNNNNNNNNNNNNNNNNNNNNNNNNNNNNNNNNNNNNNNNNNNNNNNNNNNNNNNNNNNNNNNNNNNNNNNNNNNNNNNNNNNNNNNNNNNNNNNNNNNNNNNNNNNNNNNNNNNNNNNNNNNNNNNNNNNNNNNNNNNNNNNNNNNNNNNNNNNNNNNNNNNNNNNNNNNNNNNNNNNNNNNNNNNNNNNNNNNNNNNNNNNNNNNNNNNNNNNNNNNNNNNNNNNNNNNNNNNNNNNNNNNNNNNNNNNNNNNNNNNNNNNNNNNNNNNNNNNNNNNNNNNNNNNNNNNNNNNNNNNNNNNNNNNNNNNNNNNNNNNNNNNNNNNNNNNNNNNNNNNNNNNNNNNNNNNNNNNNNNNNNNNNNNNNNNNNNNNNNNNNNNNNNNNNNNNNNNNNNNNNNNNNNNNNNNNNNNNNNNNNNNNNNNNNNNNNNNNNNNNNNNNNNNNNNCUCUUUUUCGGCAGCCCAAAGGGCGGGAAUCGGCGGCCUUUGGUACCGGUUGGUGGCACCAACCGGGACUAAUGCCUCCCCUUUUAGUCCCGGUUGAUGCCACCAACCAGGACCAAAGGCCCCUGUGCUGCCCGCCUCGGGGCCAAAGUUUAGUCCCACCUCGCUAGUUGAGAGGGGCGCGCAAUGGUUUAUAAGCCCCACUGCCGCACCCCUCUCGAGCUCCUCUCCACCACAGGCUUUCGGGCCUACUUGCUAUUGCUUUGCCUGAUGGGCCUUCUGGGCCUACUGCUGGCCCGAAUCCUGGCCCAUAGUAGGGUUUCAUGUCGUAUUCAGGCCGUGGGGGCCCAGUAGGAGGCAUUUUUUUGUUUUUUUGUUUUCUUUACUUAUUGUUGCUAUAUUUAUUUAUUUUUUCCAGUUUUUUUGUUUUGUUUUCUGCAUUAUUUAUUUUCUUUUGUUUUUUGCUUUAUUUUUUAAUUGUUUUUGCUUUUAAUUUUAGGAAAAUUAUAAACUUUCUGUUAGUGCCAUUAGUUUUCAAAUUUGAAAACACUUUUUUUGUUUUUUUGUUUUCUUUCUUGCNNNNNNNNNNNNNNNNNNNNNNNNNNNNNNNNNNNNNNNNNNNNNNNNNNNNNNNNNNNNNNNNNNNNNNNNNNNNNNNNNNNNNNNNNNNNNNNNNNNNNNNNNNNNNNNNNNNNNNNNNNNNNNNNNNNNNNNNNNNNNNNNNNNNNNNNNNNNNNNNNNNNNNNNNNNNNNNNNNNNNNNNNNNNNNNNNNNNNNNNNNNNNNNNNNNNNNNNNNNNNNNNNNNNNNNNNNNNNNNNNNNNNNNNNNNNNNNNNNNNNNNNNNNNNNNNNNNNNNNNNNNNNNNNNNNNNNNNNNNAAAUUAUAAACUUUCUGUUAGUGCCAUUAGUUUUCAAAUUUGAAAACACUUUUUUUGUUUUUUUUCUUUCUUGCUUUAUUUAUUUUAUUUUGUUUCUACUUACAACAAAAUACUUAUUGUUGCUAUUUUUAAUUAUUACGAGGGCCGAACCAUAAGACAUUAAAGCAUUUCAAAUGAAUUUUGAAAAAGUUGAAAGUUGGCAUGGUAUCAUAAAUUGACCCACAUAGCAUGUGCGUGUACAAAACGGACAAUGGGAUCAUACUCGUCAGUUACAAAGUUGGCAUGGUAUCACCAUAAUAGUUGCGGGAGAAAGUCUUCACUUUUUCUUCGCUUGUGUCAUUUGCUUAUUGCGCCGUAACCAUGGAUAAUCUUCAUCGUUUUAUCAGGAUGCUGGGGUCAGCCUUGACUUUGAAGGGAGGAAUUUCAUGAAACUUUUCAUAAUCUUCAGACAUGUCUGUCUUGUCCUCCACUCCCACGAUGUCCUUUUUUCCUGAAAGAACUAUGUGGCGCUUUGGCUCAUCGUAUGAUGUAUUCGCUUCCUUAUCUUUUCUCUUUCUCGGUCUGGUAGACAUGUCCUUCACAUAGAUAACCUGUGCCACAUCAUUGGCUAGGACGAACGGUUCGUCAGUGUACCCAAGAUUUUUCAGAUCCACUGUUGUCAUUCCAUAAUGUGGGUCUACCUGUACCCCGCCUCCUGACAGAUUGACCCAUUUGCAGUUAAACAAAGGGACCUUAAAAUCAUGUCCGUAGUCAAGUUCCCAUAUGUCCACUAUGUAACCAUAAUAUGUGUCCUUUCCCCUCUCGGUUGUUGCAUCAAAGCGGACACCGCUGUUUUGGUUGGUGCUCUUUUGAUCUUGGUCAAUCGUGUAAAAUGUAUUCCCGUUUAUCUCGUAUCCUUUCCAAAUCAAUACAGUCAAAGAUGGUCCCAUGGACAACAAGUACAGCUCAUCACAAACAGUGUUGUCACCUCUGAUACGUGCUUCCAACCAACUGCUGAAAGUCCUGAUGUGUUCACAUGUAAUCCAGUCGUCGCACUACUCCGGGUGUUUGGAGCGCAGACUGUUCUUGUGUUCAUCGACAUACGGGGUCACCAAGGUAGAGUUCUGUAGAACCGUGUAGUGUGCUUGAGACCAAGAAUAUCCGUCCCUGCAUAUUAUUGAGUCCCUUCCAAGUGUGCCUUUUCCAGUCAGUCUCCCCUCAUACCGCGAUUUAGGGAGACCUAUCUUCUUAAGGCCAGGAAUGAAGUCAACACAAAACCCGAUGACAUCCUCUGUUUGAUGGCCCAUGGAGAUGCUUCCUUCUAGCCUAGCGCAGUUACAGACAUAUUUCUUUAGGACUCCCAUGAACCUCUUAAAGGGGUACAUAUUGUGUAGAAAUACGGGGCCUAGAAUGAAAAUCUCGUCAACUAGAUGAACUAGGACGCGCGUCAUGAUAUUGAAGAAGGAUGGUGGGAACACCAGCUCGAAACUGACAAGACAUUGCACCACAUCACUCCUUAACCUUGGUAUGAUUUCUGGAUCGAUCACCUUCUGAGAGAUUGCAUUGAGGAAUGCACAUAGCUUCACAAUGGCUAAUCAGACGUUUUUCGGUAGAGGCCCCCUCAAUGCAACCGGAAGCAGUUGCAUCAUAAUCACGUGGCAGUCAUGCGACUUUAGGUUCUGAAACUUUUUCUCUGCCAUAUUUAUUAUUCCUUUUAUAUUAGACGAGAAGCCAGUUGGGACCUUCAUACUAAGCAGGCAUUCAAAGAAGAUUUCCUUCUCUUCUUUGGUAAGAGCAUAGUUGGCAGGACCUUCAUACUUCUUUGGAGGCAUGCCGUCUUUUCGUGCAAACGUUGUAGGUCCUCCCGUGCCUCAGGUGUAUCUUUUGUCUUCCCAUACACGCCCAAGAAGCCUAGCAGGUUCACGCAAAGGUUCUUCGUCACGUGCAUCACGUCGAUCGAAGAGCGGACCUCUAGGUCUUUCUAGUAGGGUAGGUCCCAAAAUAUAGAUUUCUUCUUCCACAUGGGUGCGUGUCCCCCAGCGUCACUCGGAAUAGCUAGUCCACCGGGACCCUUUCCAAAGAUUACGUGUAAAUCAUUGACCACAGCAAGUACGUGAUCACCGGUACGCAUGGAGGGCUUCUUCCGGUGAUCUGCCUCGCCUUUGAAAUGCUUGCCUUUCUUUCGACAUUGAUGGUUGGUCGGAAGAAAUCGACGAUGGCCCAGGUACACAUUCUUCCUGCAGCUUGCCAGGUAUAUACUAUCGGUGUCAAGUAAACAGUGCGUGCAUGCGUGGUAUCCCUUGUUUGUCUGUCCUGAAAGGUUACUGAGAGUGGGCCAAUCGUUGAUGGUCACGAACAGCAACGCCUGUAGGUUAAAUUCCUCCUGUUUGUGCGUACGUACACCGUUUCCAUUCCACAGCUGUAAAAGUUCUUCAACUAAUGGCCUUAGGUACACAUCAAUGUCGUUGCCGGGUUGCUUAGGGCCUUGGAUGAGAACUGGCAUCAUAAUGAACUUCCGCUUCAUGCACAUCCAAGGAGGAAGGUUACACAUACAUAGAGUCACGGGCCAGGUGCUGUGAUUGCUGAUCUGCUCCCCGAAAGGAUUAAUGCCAUCCGCGCUUAAAGCAAACCAUACGUUCCUUGGCUCACUUGCAAACUCAUCCCAGUACUUUCUCUCGAUUUUUCUCCACUGCGACCCGUCAGCGGGUGCUCUCAACUUCCCGUCUUUCUUACGGUCCUCACUGUGCCAUCCCAUCAACUUGGCAUGCUCUCUGUUUCUGAACAGACGUUUCAACCGUGGUAUUAUAGGAGCAUACCACAUCACCUUCGCAGGAACCCUCUUCCUGGGGGGCUCGCCGUCAACAUCACCAGGGUCAUCUCGUCUGAUCUUAUACCAUAAUGCACCGCAUACCGGGCACGCGUUCAGAUCCUUGUACGCACCGCGGAAGAGGAUGCAGCCAUUAGGGUAUGCAUGUAUCUUCUGCACCUCCAAUCCUAGAGGGCAUACGACCUUCUUUGUUGCGUAUGUACUGUCGGGCAAUUCGUUAUCCUUUGGAAGCUUCUUCUUCAAUAUUUUCAGUAGCUUCUCAAAUCCUUUGUCAGGCACAACAUUCUCUGCCUUCCACUGCAGCAAUUCCAGUACGGUACCGAGCUUUGUGUUGCCAUCUUCGCAAUUGGGGCACAACCCUUUUUUGUGGUCCUCUAACAUGCGACCGAACUUUAGCUUCUCCUUUUGACUUUCGCAUUGCGUCCUUGCAUCGACAAUGACCCGGCGGAGAUCAUCAUCAUCGGGCACAUCGUCUGGUUCCUCUUGAUAUUCAGCAGCUUCGCUCGUUGCAGCAUCAUCGUGCACAUCGUCUGGUUCCUCUUGAUGUUCAGUAGCAUCACCGUAUUCAGGGGGCACAUAGUUGUCAUCGUACUCUUCUUCUUCGCCGUCUUCCAUCAUAACCCCUAUUUCUCUGUGCCUCGUCCAAACAUUAUAGUAUGGCAUGAAACCCUUGUAAAGCAGGUGGGUGUGGAGGAUUUUCCGGUCAGAGUAAGACUUCAUAUUCCCACAUAUAGGGCAUGGACAACACAUAAACCAUUCUGCUUGUUUGCCUGAGCCACUUCGAGAAAAUCAUGCACGCCCUUAAUGUACUCGGAGGUGUGUCUUGAACCGUACAUCCAUUGCCGGUUCAUCUGCGUGCAUUAUAUAUAAUUAAGUGUGUCAAAAAUCAUUACAGAACAUCAUGGAUAGAUAAUUAAGUGACCAAAUUAAUAGAAGUUCAUCAUCACAUUAAAACCAAAGUACAUAUAUAGUUCUCAUCUAACAACAUAAAUCUCUACAGAGCAUCUAAAUUAAUUAAACCAUACACUGAAACUAUGUAAAACAUUUCAAUGUGAAAACAAAUGCGAUCAUAACUGCAACCAAUGUAACAACUGAUCCAACGGCAUAAUGAUACCAAGCCUCGGUAUGAAUGGCAUAUUUUCUAAUCUUUCUAAUCUUCAAGCGCAUUGCAUCCAUCUUGAUCUUGUGAUCAUCGACGACAUCCGCAACAUGCAACUCCAAUAUCAUCUUCUCCUCCUCAAUUUUUCUAAUUUUUUCCUUCAACAAAUUGUUUUCUUCUUCAACUAAAUUUAACCUCUCGACAAUAGGGUCGGUUGGAAUUUCCGGUUCAACAACAUCCUAGAUAAAUAAAAUCUAUGUCACGUUGGUCGGCAUAAUUGUCAUAAACAAUAAAUGAACCAAUAGUUAUGAAAAGAUAAUAUAUACCACAUCCAAAUCAUAGACAGGACGAGGGCCGACGGGGGCGGAUACCAAAACCAUCGCACUAUAUAAGAUGCAAUAAUAAAAGUAAGAAAAUUAUACAAGUAUCUAUAUAAAUAUAUAAGUAAGAAUUUUUUUCCUUUUAGAAAGAAGAUAAGAACAAGAGGCUCACCACGGUGGUGCCGGCGACGAGAUCGGCGCGGGCGAUCGACGGCGGUGAAGACGGGGACGGGACGUGAUGGACCGCUAAACCUAGACAAAUAUUGAGGAAAAUGGAGCUUGGAGGUCGAGCUUGGAGAGGAGAAAGCUUAAGUAGUGUGGCUCGGGCAUUCCAUCGAACACCUCGUGUGCAUAGGAGGUGAGCUAGAGCACCACAAAGCUCUCCCCUCGCCGGCCACGAAAAACAGAGCACUGGGAGUGCUCUGCUCGCGAGGUAGAUAUAGGCAACUAAUUGGCCCCGUUCGUGCCACGAACCGGGACUAAAGGGCAUCCUUUGGUCCCGGUUCAAGCCACCAACCGGGACCAAUGGUGGUGGGCCAGGAGCGAUGCGCAUUGGUCCCGGUUCGUCCCACCAACCGGAACCAAUAGGUCCAGCCGAACCGGGAACAAUGGCCCACGUGGCCCGGCCGGCCCCCGGGGCUCACGAACCGGGUCCAAUGCCCCCAUUGGUCCCGGUUCUGGAUUGAACCGGGACUAAUGGGCUGACCCGGCCUGGACCAUUGACCCCUUUUCUUCUAGUGAUAACACUUCUCCCCGCCUGCAAAACAGCUCGUCCUCGAGCUGGAAGGCAGGGAAGCGCUUGCGGAACUCCUCGAGGUGAUCAACCAUCGCCAAACACCUCCGCGGCAGCUGGGGCGGGCAAGUCGCCGAGCUCGGCGGUGGCAUCCUCCUCCUCAAUGUAGUCCGCAGCCUCCAGGUAGAAGAGUCGCGGGCAGACGUGGCCAGGCGCGUAGGGCUCGUCGCAGUUGAAGCACAACCCUUGGCGGCGACGCUCGAGUUGCUCGUCCGAGGAGAGCCGGCGGAACGGGCGUGCCGCAGUAGCGGCGAGGGGUGCUGUGGAAACCUGAGCAGGCCGACCCUGCGUGGGAACGUCCGGCCCGGGUGGCGGCCCAGCGGCCCGGGAGGUGAUGCCUGCUGGAUGGCCACCGCGCGGCGCUUGAAUGCGCGGGCGUAGUACAUGGCCGUCUGGAGGUCCUGGGGUCCCCGCAGCUCCACGUCCACGCGGAUAUGAUCCGGCAGACCGCCGGCAAAGAGCUCGGCCCGUUGGCGAGCCGUUACACCGGGCGCGUGGCACGCCAGGGCCUGAAAGCAGUCGGCAAAGUCCUGCACCGUGGAGGUGAAGUGGAGGCGGCCGAGUUCCGCCAGCCGGCUCCCGCGUAUCAGCGGCCCGAAGCGAAGGAGGCAUAGCUCGCAAACGCGCUCCCAUGGGGGCAUGCCGCCCUCGUCUUACUUGAGGGCGUAGUACCACGUCCGUGCGGCGCCCUGAAGGUGAUAUGAGGCGAGCCAGGUGUGUUCUGACACGAGCGUGCGUUGCCCCCAAAAGAAUUGCUCACACUGGUUGAGCCAGUUGAGGGGGUCCUCGGCGCCGUCGUAGGUGGCAAAGUCAAGCUUGGCGACGCGCGGCGGUGUCUGAGCAUGACCGUAGUGAGCGUACGGCUCGGCUGUACGGUGCAGCGAACAGGAUGUCAUCGGGCCGGUGUGCACAGGUGGUCCACUGGGAAGCGGUGGCCCGUUGAAUCCAGCGUGGAAAUCGGCGGCGCUGGAGGGCCCGCGUUCGGCUGGGAGGGCGCCGGCUGGUCCGCAGCCAUGGUGAAGACUGGCGGCGGUGACGUCCUGGCCAACCAGGCCGGAAGCUAUGACAGUGAGGGCGGGAACCACACUUGCUGAAUUGGCACGCCCGCCGGCGCGGUUGUAGUCAGCCCGGUGCUGGGCGGCGGAGGCGCAUGCAACGGCAGCUGCUGCUGCAUGGAAACGGUGGAGGCGGCGGGCGCUGCGAUGGCCGCGGCCGGCCAUUAUGGCCAGAGCGGGGCGGUGGCGGGGGCUGGCUGCAGUGGCAGCGGCCCGACCAGCGCCGCGGUGGCCCCUUGGUGUGGUGGCUGCCAGGACUGCCAGGACGGUGGCGGCGGUAGCUGCAGCUAUGGCUGCAGCAGCCCGGCGAGCGCGGCGGAGGCCGCCGGGGGCGGCGGCUGCCACGGCAGCAGCAUCGGCCGGGUGGCCAUGGUUGGUGACGCGGCCGGUGGUAGCCCGUAGGGCCCGGCCAAGUAGAGGCAUAUCCCCUGGACGGCUGUGACGAGAUUGUUGAGGACGUCGGUGAUUUCCGCCGGGGAGUAGACCAGCGGCGCGGUGGAGGGUGGUGGCGACAGACCGGUGGAGGGGGCGGCGACUGACUGGUGGAGGCGCCGGCGGUGGAGCCCAGCAGCGCGGUGGGGAAGUCCAGCGGCGCGGUGGAGAGGAUCGGCGGCGGCGCGGUGGUGGUGGGUAGCGGCGGAAUUGGUGUGGUGAAGACAUGGUCGAAACCGAGCUAUCUGAUACGAAACUGGUAGAAACUAGGGUUCUACCGGGUCUAGGCCGUAGGUUGUAGGGGAAGGAGGGAGAUGGUGUGGAUGAACUCGCGGCCGCCGGCGGCUGGGCGCCGUCGUGCGCGAGAAGGCGGCGGCUAAGAGGAAGAUGCGCAGGGAAGAAGGUGGCUAGGGUUAGUUCUCCCGGCUCCCUAAGAAAGUCGGACAAAUAUGAUUGCUUCUUUGCUUGAUUAGAUUGAUACAUCUCCUCUCCUUAUACAGAGAGGUUUACUUGACUCCCAAGCCCCUAAUAACGAUAAUUGGGGUAGGCCCCUAAUAAUGAUAAGAUAGACUGGGCCACAACUAACUGGGCUAAGCCCCUAACAUGUCGGUCAUAACAGAAGAUAGUUUGAAAAUAUGUACGAGGUCGAUGUUGGAAAAAAUUCAGGUGUUAUGACAUCUUUAUCCAAGAAAGUAGAAAAAUAUGAAUUAGUGUUCUGUGCCUCGUUUGUCUUUGAGCUGGUCGUUGUUUGUACCGAACAUGAACGACUGAUAGGGGGCAAUGGCGGAGCUAGCAUUUGACAACAGGGUGGUCCAUCCCAAUUUAUUUUGAUAACCAAUAUGAUAUGUGAACGUUCUAAGUUCUAACUAAUUAUCAAUAUCAUAUAGAAAUAGCUUAAUAUGGUCUGACAAACACACCAAAAUUUCUUUAAUAAAAAUUGUUUUUAUCUAAAGCUAACUGAUGCAGAAACAAUGUGUAAAAUUGUGUAUGUGCUAAUGUACCGGAUAGUAUAGUGCAAAAAAGCUAACCCUAAACAAGAAAUUGGGGGUAUUUUGGUUGCUCACUUGCUGCGAGACCUGUUGGUGAUUGAGUGAGCAACAACGGUGGCCACCGGCUUUGCAGUGGAGCGGAGGGCCAGACCACCGGAGGCAGGGGCGCCAGGGUCAACCACGCUGGCCAUAGGGCCGAUGCGCACGCAGGGGGGUCUGGCGCACGGCUGGAGCCGAUUGUCGGGCCGGCAGGAAGGAGAGUGAAAUGAUCUAGAUGACGACUAGAGGGAUGGGGGGGGGGGUGAAUAGGAGUUUUAAAACUUUUACGGAUUUGGCUUUAUCCUAAUGCGGAAUUAAACUAACGGAUACUUUUCAAGCACAAAUCCCAAAAAUGCUAGGCUCAACUAUGUGCACCAACAACCUAUGCUAAACAAGAUAGGCAAUUAAGCAAACUAGCAAGCACAAACUAUAUCACAAGAUACGGAAAUGAAGGAACAACUAAGCAAUUCAACUAUCACAAGAUAUAUCAAUAUGGGCAAGUAUGAAUUGCAGAAAGUAAAGGGUGUGGGUAUGAGAUAACCACAAGUGAGUCGGGGACGCGGAUUUAUCCCGAAGUUCACACUCGUGAGAGUGCUAAUCUCCGUUAGAGCGGUGCCGUAGCCAAAGCUCCGGGGCGUCACCAAGUGACUCACCGUAUUCUCCCUUUCGAGUCACCCCCAACGGAUGAGCCUCGAUUCACUCGGGAUUGGUCCUGAAGGCGACCACCACACCUUUACAAACUUCUCCGGAGCACACCACAACCACGGAAGCUUCCGGAGAAACUUUACCACCUAGGCCACUUCAACACCCUUCCCCGGAGCACACCACAAAAGGAAGCUUCCGGGGGAACCUUGGCCACAUAGGCCUCUUCACAAUCUUCUCAAUGUAUCACCAAACCGUCUAGGAGGCGAAGCCUCCAAGAGUAACAAACUCACGGGCUCUCACUCGAACAAAUCGAUGCGGGGAGCUCAAACCGAUGCAACAAAUGCAAUGCAAGGUCAAGCAACAAAUGCUCAACUCACUCUCUCAAUCUCACAAGAUGCAACUCAAGAAAGUGGGAGAUUGAAGAGAGGGGAUGCAAUGGAGGAAAUCAACAAAUGACUCCAAGAUCCAUCCACAAAUCACCCUUCACUUAGAAGGGAGAUAGGGGUUUGGGAGAGGUGGUAAGAGGCUCAAAAUGAUGUUUAGAAUGUGAAUGAACAGCCCCCAAACCGGUGGGGAGGAAGGGCUCUUUUAUAGCCAACUUCCAAAACUAGCCGUUUGGGCUCCAAUGGACACUUCCUGGACACCCCGUGCCCACGGGGGUUUAGACCCCGUGCCCACGGAGUCCCGUGCGCACGGUACAAUCCCGUGUGCACGGGGCCCCGUGCCCACGGGGGUCAAAAACCCCGUGUCCACGGGGUACCCAGAACAGCGUGCAGCACCCCACUAAAAUAGUGAUAACUUUGGCAUACGGACUCCAAAUUCCAUGAUCUUGGGCUCGUUUUGAAGCUACGGAAAAGCCCACGGUCCUCACAUAGAGAACCAACCAAUAUCGACAAUAAAUAAUGAUGCAAGUAAUGUAAAGGUUUGAGCUCUCUACAUGCGACAUGAUCAAGCUACUUGCCCGAGAGUCCCUCUUGAUAGUACGACUAUCAAACCUAUAAUCCGGUCUCCCUCCAAGCACCAUGAGACCGGCAAAACUAGGAAAACCUAGCUAAGGUAUACUUUUGCCUUGCAUAUUCAACUUGAGCUUGGUGAUGACUCCAAUGCUUGUCUCAAGUUGGAAUCCCUUUCUUGUCCACAACCACUUGGUGAAGAUGCUUGAAUUGAUUCCUCAUAGUGCAAUGAGGGAAGCCUUAACUUAAGCCCAUCUUCACAUGAGCAUUAUCAUGAUGUGGACCGCAAGCUUCAAAGCAUAUAGCCUCCUGCUUCUCAUCUUGCACUUGGACUCCUUGAACCCGAUGACCAUCACCACUUGAUGUCAUCCACACAUAGGCUACUUGAGAUCUUUCCUUUUGAUGCAAGCCCAUGAGAAACACCUAACCCACAUAGACAUACCAAACACAUAGCAUGGGUUAGGUAACAAAGCACAAUUCACAAUUACUUACCAUACCACUAGAUCACUUGAUCUCACGUGGUACAAUGUUUGUGCUUUGAGAGUUGACCACUUAGAUAUAAUCUUCGAGCUUCAUCUUGGUCAACCAACAUCUUUACUCGAAGCUCCAUCUUGGUUUCUUGAAAGCCACAAUGAACUCUUCAUUUCCCUUCAUUGCUUCAAGACUAUAUCACCAAAGACUCUUCCAUGACCAUAUCAAGUUCCACUAUGAAUAUCAUCUUGGUCACCACUUGCCCUUCUGAAAACUCCAUCACAAUCUCUUGAGAGGCAUAAUGAAUUCGUCACUCUAGUUGCUUGCUUCAAGACUUGAUCAACCGAAACCCAACACAUGAGCUCACCAUGAUCUUGUCUUGAGACCAUAACUUGAAUUCUUCUCUUUGAUUAUUCUCUCAAGCCCUUGAUCCUUAAAAGCCCUCCAUCAUAAUAUCUUGAGAGGCAUAAUGAAUUCUUCACUCUAGUUGUUUGCUUCAAGACUUGAUCAACCUAAACCCAACACAUGAGCUCACCAUGAUCUUGUCUUGAAACCAUAACUUGAAUUCUUCUCUUUGAUUACUCUCUCAAGCCUUGAUCCUCAGAAGCCCAAAUAUAUCAAUCUUUGAGAUCCUCCAAUGCACUCCAUCAUGAACAUAAUUAGAUUAGGCAUUGAAACCAAUCUUGAUGGCUUCAAUAGAAGUACCCGAAGACCAACUUGAAACCUCACUGGAUAUGGGAUCUUGAGAGACAACACCUAGGCCAAGUAAACACGGGGUAUCCAGAGAGUUGACACUCGACCCUGUGCGCACGGUACAAGCCCGUGUGCAUGGGGUAUUCAGAGAAGGAUACCAUGAGGACUUCUUCAGAUGCUUUGAUGGCAGACUUCACAAAACAACCCAAUGCACUUCAAGCAUCACUAUGGAACAUAUCUUCAUAUAAGAUUCAAUGCACUUGAUGCUCCAUAGGAAUUGUCAUUUAAUACCAAAGCAUAGGGCAAAUAUAACUUCAUAUAUAUGGACUUCAUCAUUGAUUCCGUCCAAUAUCCUUGAGGCACUAUCUUCAUAUAUAUACAUAUGGACUUCAUCCUUGAUUCCGUCCAAUAUCCUUGAGGCACUAUCUUCGUAUAUAUGGACUUCAUCCUUGAUUCCGUCCAAUAUCCUUGAGGCACUAUCUAUGGACAAAACCUUCAAAUAUAUCUCACUGAAAACAUUAGUCCAUAGAGAUUGUCAUUUAAUUACCAAAACCACACUUAGGGGCUACUUGCCCUUUCAAUCUCCCCCAUUUUGGUAAUUGACGACAAUCUGAACAAGAGGGUUUAUAUAAUGAAUUUAAAACAAGUAUGCAAUCUAUCCGAGAAUAAAUUGUAUACUUGAGGUGGUUUUGAUAGCUUCAAACAUCACAAAGAUAGUUGAUGUUAUCAAAACCAGUUGUACUAGCGUCGAAAUACUACACAAGAAUUUUAUGCUAGUAGAACCACAAUAUAUAGAGCAAACUCCCCCACAAUAUAUGCACAGGAAAUAACUUGGUAGAGUUUCCUCUAUAUACACAUCCACGCAAUGAGCAAGGACAACAAAAGUUGAUAAGCAUGAAUGACAGGAACCAACCCACUUCACCUAAACCCUCUAAAGUUCUCCCCCAUUGGCAACAAGUGCCAAAAUGGAAGAAAAAUCUAGACGGCCAAUAUAGUAUGAGUUCCUCCUUAAUUUGUGCAUUUCUCAUAUUAUGAAUGGAAUCAAAUGCACAUAUCCAGUUAUGAACAAACGAAGAAAUUCACACUAUAUUGAGCAUCCAUAGAAUGCACCAAAAUGAUAUGACAAAAGAAUCAAACAUUCAAAGGAUCCAAAGAACAUAUUUUGGACAAGGGAUAAUGGAGAUAUCCAAUAUGAUAAUCAUGCUAAGCAUGGGUCCAAAAUAUAUCCACCAACUCAUGAGUGCAAACAUAUGUGCAAAACAUACAAGCACUCACUCAACAAGUACUAAUCAUGCCAUGAUUCAACACACACAAUGUUGACUCUAACUUGAAUAAAUGCAUGAAGUAAGUACUUGUUACCAAGAGAGAAAGCAUUGGUUCAAGAGGCCCUUGAUCUAGUACGCGAACAUGAGGGACUUGAUCUUGUUCUUGGAUAGGUAUAUGAUCUCCCAUAACAUCUUGCUCUUGUGUUGGGGGUGAUGAGUUCCCUUAUGGUCGAUCCACAAGAGGGGCUCUUACUCCUUCUUCUUCUACAUGGACAAGGGGUGUUUCUUGUGGAAGAAUAUGACCAAUCCCCAUUGUACUUGUAGCUUGGGAAGGAGCCUCAUCACCUACAACACUUGAAAUAAAUUGCUCCGCAUGGAAGCCGUUAUUCUCAUCACACUCCACAUUCACCAUUUCCUCAACACAUCCCGUGGAUUUAUUGAGAAUAUAGUAAGUGUGGGAGUUUGAUGCAUAUCCAACAAAAAGACCCAAAUUUUGUAUAACCGGGUUUACAUGGUGAGAAUGAAACACUUACAACCGAACCGGGUUUUCAUUUAUCUUCUCUCUCAAAUCAAUGAAUCAACCAAGCUUGGCUCUAAUAAUUUUCCAUGGUGUCUCCACCUUCCUCAUGAAUAAGCCAAUCAUCCAAUGCUUCUCCAAUGUACCUAAAACACAUUAAGGUACAAUUUGGUCCCCAAACUUAUUGGGUCCGAAGUAGUAAGCACAACCACAAUACAUAGGGCAAACUCCACAAUAAGUAUGUGCAAAAGGAUAUGAACUUGAAUUUCAUGCACACCUUUAACCAUUAAUGAUAUUAUGGAGUUUACCCUAUAUAGAGGAUCAAGAGAGCAAGCAAGGCAUGAAGAAGUAUAUAAAUAAAUAUGCAUGCACAUGCCUACCAAGACCCAAAGAGAUAUAAUUUGGGCAAAAGAACACUUAAAAGAUGAAUACUCCAAUAAUGACAUACAUCAUUCAAGUUCUCCAAAUUAUAUCAAAGUGACGAAUCCACACAGGACCGCACACAAAGUACAACAUAUGAACUAAGCAAAAACCAAAGAGCAUAUAGGAUAUACAUUACACAUAUGCUCAAAGGCUUAUCUCACUCAAGUAGAUAAUAGAUAGUACAAGGAGUGAGAUAAGGCAAGUUGAAGCACAAGCCGAGACGAAGAUGAUCAUAAAAUUCUACCACAAGAAGAAAUACCAAUUGGUAUUUGGAAUUAACACUCGGUGGUAGAAUCCGAAGUAGCACAAGAUCAUAAUCAACAAACACCCCGUGCGCAUGGGGGUCAAAAGACCCCGUGCACACGGGGUAUCCAGGGAAUUACGCAGUACCCCGUGCGCACGGGGGUCAAAAGACCCCGUGCACACGGGGUACCCAGAGAGUUACGCAACACCCCAUGCGCACGGGGGUCAAAAGACCCCGUGCGCACGGGGUAUCCUGAACUUUUCUGGUGCAACUUUCUGGAUACCACGGCAGGCAUACAACAGAGGCAAAUAACCACCUAAAAGAGAUAAUUUCAAAUGAGCUUGACAUACCACAUAGUGACUAGAUAAUAUUGAGUAUCAAUACUAUGUGGUAUUUCUCAUAUUCACAUUUUGCGUUUGUGAUGUGCACAAAACAUAACACUCCCCCAUAAUGUGAUGAUCCACUAAUAUCUCGCAAGAGCCAAACAACAUACAAAUAAGGCUCAAGACAACAAGCAACACUAUAUGAUAUGCAAUGCAACCUACACAUGCUAGAUAACACAAAUCAAGCAUACUAGGAAGUACAACAUAUAAAUGCACAUGCUAGAUACAAAACCUAAGCAUGCAGGGGGCGAGUAACUUUCAAUGUAAGCAAUACAAAUACAAGUUACCACAAGGAGGAACACUAGAUAGAUAAUAUGAAGAUAAUCCACAUGACUUGGCUCGAACAAAUAAAUGGUGAAUAUUCUUUUCUUCAUGAACUAGCCAAAUCUCCAAUGUCCUCCACACACCUAUUGAUCAAGGUUGAGCUUGAUGGUCCCCAACCAAGUUGGGUCCUAAGAAGUUAGACACAAUAGGCUUGGCAACCCAAAUGGCCUUUUCCAUUUCCAAACCACUUUGGGCGCCAACAAACUUGGCAAACAAAUUGCCAACAACAUCCUUCCUAAGCAAAUAAUGAUCAUUGACUAGAGGAGGCUUAGGGAUGUUACCGUUGGGACAAGAUGAAGAUAUGUGUCCCUUCUCACAACAAAUAUAGCAACAUGUGCUCCCCCUUCUCUUCUUCUUUACUUUCUCAAUUUGGGGAGCAUUUCCUUGGUUCAUUAUUAGUAGUGGCCUUUCUUCAGCUUGAGGUUGACCUUGAGAUUGAACUUGAGGUUGACCUUGAGAUUGAACUUGAGGCUGCUUCCCUUGUUGCUUCACAUUUGAAGCCUUCUUAUUCAAUGGACAAGAUCUCACAUGGUGUCCAACAUUCUUGCACUUGAAGCAUGUGAUGUUGGCCGGAUUCUUGACUUGGUCUUGUUCCUUAUUCCUUUUCUCGGACUUCUUGUUGUUGGAGAUGAAACCAAGUCCACCCUUGUCAUGAGGGGAUUUUUGACCACUCAAAAUAUUGUUGAGAGUGGAAUUUCCUUCAUGACACAUUUCCAAGUCUUCAAAAUAGUGACUUGAGCCUUGAGCUCUUUGUUUUCCUCUACAAGGUUAGUAUCAACAAAAGUAAUAGAGGAAGUAGAAACUUCAUUAUUAGAGCAACAAGGCAAUGAGAGCAAUUCAUCACAAAAAUUAGCAAUAAUAUCUCUAGAUGUAUCACUAGAACUAGCACAUGUCAAUAAAGCAUUUUGAGUAGAAUUAGUGCUAAUGUCCACAUGAGGCUCACACGAUGUUACCUUAGUAAAAAUAGCCUCAUGAGCUAACUUUAGCCUUUCAUGGGAGAUUAGAAGGUCAUCAUGAGAGCCCGAGAGCUUUUCAUGACUUUCUUCUAAUCUUCCAUAAUUGCUAGUUAGCAAAGCAAGUUGAGCCCUUAGCUCAACAUUCUCCUUCAAGAUAGAUGCUUCACAAGAAGUAGAGUUAUUAGCACAAGCUGUUGGAAAUAUGCCCUAGAGGCAAUAAUAAAUUAGUUAUUAUUAUUAUAUUUCCUUGUUCAUGAUGAUCAUUUAUUAUCCAUGCUAUAAUUGUAUUGAUAGGAAACUCAGAUACAUGUGUGGAUACAUAGACAACACCAUGUCCCUAGUAAGCCUCUGAUUGACUAGCUCGUUGAUCAAUAGAUGGUUACGGUUUCCUGACCAUGGACAUUGGAUGUCGUUGAUAACGGGAUCACAUCAUUAGGAGAAUGAUGUGAUGGACAAGACCCAAUCCUAAGCCUAGCACAAAGAUCAUAGUUCGUAUGCUAAAGCUUUUCUAAUGUCAAGUAUCAUUUCCUUAGACCAUGAGACUGUGCAACUCCCGGAUACCGUAGGAAUGCUUUGGGUGCACCAAACGUCACAACGUAACUAGAUGGCUAUAAAGGUGCACUACAGGUAUCUUCGAAAGUGUCUGUUGGGUUGGCACGAAUCGAGACUGGGAUUUGUCACUCCGGUUGACGGAAAGGUAUCUCUGGGCCCACUCGGUAGGACAUCAUCAUAAUGUGCACAAUGUGACCAAGGGGUUGAUCACGGGAUGAUGUGUUACGGAACGAGUAAAGAGACUUGCCUGUAACGAGAUUGAACAAGGUAUCGGCAUACCGACGAUCGAAUCUCGGGAAAGCACAAUACCGCUAGACAAAGGGAAUUGUAUACGGGAUUGCUUGAAUCCUUGACAUCGUGGUUCAUCCGAUGAGAUCAUCAUGGAACAUGUGGGAGCCAACAUGGGUAUCUAGAUCCCGCUGUUGGUUAUUGGCCAGAGAGCUGUCUCGGUCAUGUCUGCAUGAUUCCCGAACCCGUAGGGUCUACACACUUAAGGUUCGGUGACGCUAGAGUUGUUAUGGGAAUUGGUGUGCAGUUACCGAAUGUUGUUAGGAGUCCCGGAUGAGAUCCCGGACGUCACGAGAAGUUCCGGAAUGGUCCGAAGGUAAAGAUUUAUAUAUGGGAAGUCCUAUUUUGGCCACCGGAAAAUGUUCGGGAUUUUUUGGUAUUGUACCAGGAAGGUUCUAGAAGGUUCCAGAGUGGGGCCCACCAGCAUGGGGGGACCCACAUGAACGUGGGUAGUGGAGGAAAGGCCCCACACCCUUGGUCAAGGCGCACCAAGAUCCCCCCUUAGAAGGAAUAAGAUCAUAUCCCGAACGGAUAAGAUCAAGAUCCCUAAAAAGGGGGGAUAACAAUCGGUGGGGAAGGAAAUGAUGGGAUUUCUUUCCUCCCACCUUUGCCAACGCCCCAAUGGAAUUGGAGGGCAAGAAACCAGCCCCCUCCACCCCUAUAUAUAGUGGGGAGGCGCAUGGGAGCUUCACCGUUGCCCCUGGCACAGCACUCUCCCUCCCCAACACCUCCUCCUCUGUAGUAGUGCUUGGCGAAGCCCUGCCGGAGAACUGCAAGCUCCGCCACCACGCUGUCAUGCUGCUGGAGCUCUCCCUCAACUUCUCCUCUCCCCUUGCUGGAUCAAGAAGGAGGAGACAUCCCCGGGCUGUACGUGUGUUGAACGCGGAGGUGCCGUCCAUUCGGCACUAGGAUCUCCGAUGAUUUGGAUCAUGAUGAGUACAACUCCUUCAACCCCGUUCUCUUGAACGCUUCCACUUAGUGAUCUACAAGGGUAUGUAGAUGCACUCCCCUCUCUCUCGUUGCUAGUUUCUCCAUAGAUAGAUCUUGGUGACUCGUAGGAAAAUUUUGAAUUUCUGCUACGUUCCCCAACAAUGGCAUCAUGAGCUAGGUCUAUUGCGUAGAUUCUUUGCACGAGUAGAACACAAAGUAUUUGUGGGUGUUGAUUUUGUUCAAUAUGCUUACCGUUACUAGUCCAAUCUUGUUUCGACAGUAUUGUGGGAUGAAGUGGCCCGGACCGACCUUACACGUACACUUACGUGAGACAGGUUCCACCAACUGACAUGCACUUGUUGCAUAAGGUGGCUAGCGGGUGCCAGUCUCUCCCACUUUAGUCGGAUCGGAUUCGAUGAAAAGGGUCCUUAUGAAGGGUAAAUAGCAAUUGACAUAUCAUGUUGUGGUUUUUGCGUAGGUAAGAAACUUUCUUGCUAGAAACCCAUAGCAGCCACGUAAAACAUGCAAACAACAAUUAGAGGACGUCUAACUUGUUUUUGCAGGGUAUGCUUUGUGAUGUGAUAUGGCCAAAAGAAUGUGAUGAAUGAUAUGUGAUGUAUGAGAUUGAUCAUGUUCUUGUAAUAGGAAUCACGACUUGCAUGUCGAUGAGUAUGACAACUGGCAGGAGCCAUAGGAGUUGUCUUAAUUUAUUGUAUGACCUACAUGUCAUUGAACAACGCCAUGUAAUUACUUUACUUUAUUGCUAACUGGUAGCCAUAGUAGUAGAAGUAAUGAGUUGGCGAGACAACUUCAUGGAGACACGAUGAUGGAGAUCAUGGUGUCAUGCCGGUGACGAUGAUGAUCAUGGAGCCCCGAAGAUGGAGAUCAAAAGGAGCAAAAUGAUAUUGGCCAUAUCAUGUCACUUUUUGAUUGCAUGUGAUGUUUAUCAUGUUUAUGCAUCUUAUUUGAUUAGAACGACGGUAGUAAAUAAGAUGAUCCCUCAUUAAAAUUUCAAGAAAGUGUUCCCCCUAACUAUGCACCGUUGCGAAAGUUUGUCGUUUCGAAGCACCACGUGAUGAUCGGGUGUGAUAGAUUCUAACGUUCACAUACAACGGGUGUAAGCCAGAUUUACACACGCGAAACAUUUAGGUUGACUUGACGAGCCUAGCAUGUACAGACAUGGCCUCGGAACACAAGAGACCGAAAGGUCGAGCAUGAGUCGUAUAGUAGAUACGAUCAACAUGAAGAUGUUCACCGAUGAUGACUAGUCCGUCUCACGUGAUGAUCGGACACGGCCUAGUUGACUCGGAUCAUGUAAUCACUUAGAUGACUAGAGGGAUGUCUAUCUGAGUGGGAGUUCAUUAGAUGAACUUAAUUAUCCUGAACAUAGUCAAAAGCCCUUUGCAAAUUAUGUCAUAGCUCGCGCUUUAGUUCUACUGUUUUAGAUAUGUUCCUAGAGAAAAUAUAGUUGAAAGUUGACAGUAGCGAUUAUGUGAUCAGUAGAAAGCUCAUGUCUUAAUGCAUCGCUCAGUGUGCAGAACCCCAAACGUCGUCUGUGGAUGUUGCGAACAUCGGACAUACACGUUUUGAUAACUACGUGAUAGUUCAGUUAAACAGUUUAGAGUUGAGGCACCAAGGACGUUUUUCGAAAUGUCGCGAAACAUAUGAGAUGUUUCGAGGGCUGAAAUUGGGAUUUCAGGCUCGUGCCCACUUCAAGAGGUAUAAGACCUCCGACGAUUUUCUUAGCCUGCAAACUAAGGGAGAAAAGCUCAAUUGUUGAGCUUGUGCUCAGAUUGUCUGAGUGCAACAAUCACUUGAAUCGAGUGGGAGUUGAUCUUCCAGAUGAGAUAGUGAUGUUUCUCCAAAGUCAUUGCCACCAAGCUGCUAGAGCUUCAUGAUGAACUAUAACAUAUCAGGGAUAGAUAUGAUGAUCCUUGAGGUAUUCACGAUGUUUGACACCGCGAAAGUAGAAAUCAAGAAGGAGCAUCAAUUGUUGAUGGUUGGUGAAACCACUAGUUUCAAGAAGGGCAAGGGAAAGAAGGGAUACUUCAUGAAACGGCAAAUCAGCUGCUGCUCCAGUGAAGAAACCCAAGGUUGAACCUAAACCCGAGACUAAGUGCUUCUGUAAUAAGGGGAACUGCCACUGGAGCAGGAUUACCCUAGAUACUUGGUAGAUAAGAAGGCUGACAAGGUCGAUAGAAGUAUAUUGGAUAUACAAUAUGUUAAUGUGUACUUUACUAGUACUCGUAGUAGCACCAGGGAAUUAGAUACCGGUUCGGUUGCUAAGUGUUAGUAACUCGAAAUAAAAGCUACGGAAUAAACGGAGACUAGCUAAAGGUGAGCUGACGAUAUGUGUUGGAAGUGUUUCCAAGGUUGAUGUGAUCAAGCAUCGCAAGCUCCCUCUACCAUCGAGAUUGGUGUUAAAAUAAUUGUUACUUGGUGUUUGCAUUGAGCAUAGACAUGAUUGGAUUAUGUCUAUCACAAUACGGUUAUUCAUUUAAGGAGAAUAAUGGUUACUCUGUUUAUUUGAAUAAUACCUUCAAUGGUAUUGCACCUAAAAGGAAUGGUUUAUUGAAUCUCGAUUCGUAGUGAUACACAUUUUCAUGCCAAAAGAUAUAAGAUAGUAAUGAUAGUACCACUUACUUGUGGCACUGCCAUGUAAGUCAUAUUGGUGUAAAACGCAUGAAGAAGCUCCAUGUUGAUGGAUCUUUGGACUCACUCGUUUUUGAAAAGUUUGAGACAUGCGAGCCAUGUCUAUUGGUGUAUACACAUGAAGAAACUCCAUGUAGAUGGAUCGUUUGGACUCACUUGAUUUUGAAUCACUUGAGAAAUGCAAAUCAUACCACAUGGGCAAGAUGACUGAAAAGCCUCGUUUUCAGUAAAAUGGAACAAGAUAGCAACUUGUUGGAAGUAACACAUUUUGAUGUGUGCAGUCCAAUGAGUGCUGAGGCAUGCAGUGAAUAUCGUUAUGUUCUUACUUCACGGAUGAUUUAAGUAGAUACUGAGUAUAUUUACUUGAUGAAACACAAGUCUGAAUUAUUGAAUGGUUCAAGUAAUUUCAGAGUGAAGUUGAAGAUCAUCAUGACAAGAGAAUAAAAUGUCUAUGAUAUGAUCAUGGAGAUGAGUAUCUGAGUUACGAGAUUUGGCACGCAAUUAAGACAUUGUGGAAAUUGUUUCACAAUUAAUACCGCCUGGAACACCAUAAUGUGAUGGUGUGUCCGAACAUCAUAUUUGCACCCUAUUGGAUAUAGUGCGUACCAUGAUGUAUCUUAUCAAAUUACCACUAUCGUUCAUGGGUUACGCAUUAGAGACAACCACACUCACUUUAAUAGGGAACCACGUAAUUCCGUUGAGACGACACCGUUUGAACUAUGGUUUGGAGAAACCUAAGUUGUCAUUUCUUAAAAGUUUGGGGCUGCGACGCUUAUGUGAAAAGGUUUCAGGUUGAUGAUCUCGAACCCAAAGCGGAUAAAAAAAUGCAUCUUCAUAGGACACCCAAAACAGUUGGGUAUACCUCCUAUCUUAGAUCCGGAAGCAAAAGUAAUUGUUUCUAGAAACGGGUCCUUUCUCGAGGAAAAGUUUCUCUCGAAAGAAUUGAGUGGGAGGAUGGUGGAGACUUGAUGAGGUUAUUGAACCAUCACUUCAACCAGUGUGUAGCAGGGCACAAGAAGUUAUUCAUGUGGCACCUACACCAAUUGAAGUGGAAGCUGAUGAUAGUGAUCAUGAUGCUUCGGAUCAAGUCACUACCAGACCUUGUAGGUCGACAAGGACGCGUACUACUUCAGAGUGGUACGCAAUCCUGUCUUAGAGGCCAUGUUGCUAGACAACAAUGAACCUACGAGCUAUGGAGAAGCGAUGGGGGGCCCGGAUUCCGACGAAUGGCUCGAGGCCAUAAAAUCUGAGAGAGGAUCCAUGACUUUGGAAGAAAUACUUUAUGGUCAUAAGGCCAUUGGGUAAAGAUGGAUUUUAAAAGGAAGAUAGACAAUGAUGGUAAGUAUCACCAUUAAGAAAGCUUGACUUGUCGCUAAAGAUGUUUUCCGACAAGUUCAAGGAGUUGACUACGGUGAGGCUUUCUCACUCGUAGCGAUGCUAAGAGUCUGUUGGAAUUGGAUUAGCAGUUACUGCAUUAUUUAUGAAAUCUUGCAUAUAGAAUGUCAGAACAUUGUUUCCUUGACAGUUUUCUUGAGGAAAGGUUGUAUGUGAUACAACCAGAAGGUUUUUGACAAUCCUGAAAGACGCUAACAAGUAUGCAAAGCUCCAGCAAUCCUUCUAAGGACUGGAGUAAGCAUCUCGGAGUUGGAAUGUACGCUUUGAUGAGAUGAUCAAAGAUUUUGGGUCUAUACAAAGUUUAUGAGAAACUUGUAUUUCCAAAGAAGCGAGUGGGAGCACUAUAGAAUUUCUGAUGAGUAUAUGUUGUUGACAUAUUGUUGAUCAGAAAUGAUGUAGAAUUUCUAGAAAGCAUAUAGGGUUGUUUGAAAAGUGUUUUUCAAUGGAAAACCUGGAUUAGGCUACUUGAACAAUAAGCAUCAAGAUCUAUAAGAUAGAUCAAAAUGUUUAAUAAUACUUUCAAAUGAGCACAUACCUUGACAUAGUCUUGAAGGUGUUCAAGAUGGAUCAGUCAAAGAAGGAGUUCUUGCCUGAGUUGUAAGGUAUGAAGUUAAGAGUUAAAGCUCGACCACGGCAGAAGAGAGAGAAAGGACGAAGGUCGUCCCCUAUGCUUCAGACGUAGGCUCUACAGUAUGCUAUGUUGUGUACCACACCGGAAGUGUGCCUUGCCAUGAAUCAGUCAAGGGGUACAAGAAUGAUCCAGGAAUGGGGAUCAUUGGACAUCGGUCAAAAAUUGUCCUUGGAGUAAAUAAAGGACAUGUUUCUCGAUUAUGGAGGUGAUAAAGAGUUCAGCGUAAAGGGUUACGUCGAUGCAAGCUUUAACACCUAUCCGAAUGACUCUGAGUAGCAAACCGGAUACGUAUAGUGGAGCAACCAUUUGAAAUAGCUCCAAGUGGAGCGUGGAAGCAGCAUUUACAAUAUGACAUAGAGAAUUGCGAAAUACAUACGGAUCUGAAUGUUGCAGACCCAUUGACUAAAACCUCUCUCACUAGCAAAACAUGAUCAAACCCCAGAACUCAUUGAGUCUUAAUCACAUGGUGAUGUGAACUAGUUUAGUGACACUAGUAAACUCUUUGGAUGUUGGUCACAUGGCGAUGUGACCUAUCAGUGUUAAUCACAUGGCGAUGUGAACUAGAUUAUUGACUCUAGUGCAAGUGGGAGACUGUUGGAAAUAUGCCUUAGAGGCAAUAAUAAAUUAGUUAUUAUUAUUAUAUUUCCUUGUUCAUGAUAAUCGUUUAUUAUCCAUGCUAUAAUUGUAUUGAUAGGAAACUCAGAUACAUGUGUGGAUACAUAGACAACACCAUGUCCCUAGUAAGCCUCUGAUUGACUAGCUCGUUGAUCAAUAGAUGGUUACGGUUUCCUGACCAUGGACAUUGGAUGUCGUUGAUAACGGGAUCACAUCAUUAGGAGAAUGAUGUGAUGGACAAGACCCAAUCCUAAGCCUAGCACAAAGAUCAUAGUUCGUAUGCUAAAGCUUUUCUAAUGUCAAGUAUCAUUUCCUUAGACCAUGAGAUUGUGCAACUCCCGGAUACCGUAGGAAUGCUUUGGGUGCACCAAACGUCACAACGUAACUGGAUGGCUAUAAAGGUGCACUACAGGUAUCUCCGAAAGUGUCUGUUGGGUUGGCACGAAUCGAGACUGGGAUUUGCCACUCCGGUUGACGGAAAGGUAUCUCUGGGCCCACUCGGUAGGACAUCAUCAUAAUGUGCACAAUGUGACCAAGGGGUUGAUCACGGGAUGAUGUGUUACGGAACGAGUAAAGAGACUUGCCUGUAACGAGAUUGAACAAGGUAUCGGCAUACCGAUGAUCGAAUCUCGGGAAAGCACAAUACCACUAGACAAAGGGAAUUGUAUACGGGAUUGCUUGAAUCCUUGACAUCGUGGUUCAUCCGAUGAGAUCAUCGUGGAACAUGUGGGAGCCAACAUGGGUAUCCAGAUCCCGUUGUUGGUUAUUGGCCAGAGAGCUGUCUCGGUCAUGUCUGCAUGAUUCCCGAACCCGUAGGGUCUACACACUUAAGGUUCGGUGACGCUAGAGUUGUUAUGGGAAUUGGUGUGCAGUUACCGAAUGUUGUUAGGAGUCCCGGAUGAGAUCCCGGACAUCACGAGGAGUUCCGGAAUGGUCCGGAGGUAAAGAUUUAUAUACGGGAAGUCCUAUUUUGGCCACCGGAAAAUGUUCGAGAUUUUUCGGUAUUGUACCAGGAAGGUUCUAGAAGGUUCCGGAGUGGGGCCCACCAGCAUGGGGGGACCCACAUGAACGUGGGUAGUGGGGUAAAGGCCCCACACCCUUGGUCAAGGCGCACCAAGAUCCCCCCUUAGAAGGAAUAAGAUCAUAUCCCAAAGGGAUAAGAUCAAGAUCCCUAAAAAGGGGGGAUAACAAUCGGUGGGGAAGGAAAUGAUGGGAUUUCUUUCCUCCCACCUUUGCCAACGCCCCAAUGGACUUGGAGGGCAAGAAACCAGCCCCCUCCACCCCUAUAUAUAGUGGGGAGGUGCAUGGGAGCUUCACCCUUGCGCCUGGCGCAACCCUCUCCCUCCCCAACACCUCCUCCUCUGUACUAGUGCUUGGCGAAGCCCUGCCGGAGAACUGCAAGCUCCGCCACCACGCCAUCGUGCUGCCGGAGCUCUCCCUCAACUUCUCCUCUCCCCUUGCUGUAUCAAGAAGGAGGAGACGUCCCCAGGCUGUACGUGUGUUGAACACGGAGGUGCCGUCUGUUCGGCACUAGGAUCUCCGGUGAUUUGGAUCACGAUGAGUACGACUCCUUCAACCCCGUUCUCUUGAACGCUUCCACUUAGCGAUCUAAAAGGGUAUGUAGAUGCACUCCCCUCUCUCUCGUUGCUAGUUUCUCCAUAGAUAGAUCUUGGUGACUCGUAGGAAAAUUUUGAAUUUCUGCUACGUUCCCCAACACAAGCAUCAUUGACAAUAUGAGAGGAGCUAGAAGAAACUAGAGACUUCACAUGAGUAGCUUGAAGUUCAUCAUAAGACUUAGAGAGUUUGGUGAGCUCUCCUUUGACAUUCUUGUAGACAAGGUCAAGGUGCUCAAAAUCCUCUUUAAGUUGAUCAUGAGCAACUUCAAUCUCUUCUUUAGAAGACUCUAAGUCUCUAAGAGUUUCUAGAGCAUCAAGAAGGUUACAAUCAAGUUUUUCAUUUUGUUCUUGCUCUUCAUGAAGUAAAUCAUUACACUUCCCAAAAUGAGUGAUAAGAUCUUUAAACAUAUCAUAAGUGUUCUUAUUUACCCCACGAAGAGAAUUACCAAUUUCAUAUAUUUCUUGACUCAUAUCCCUAUCACAUUCAUCAUUACUCUCAUCAAUAUCAUUACAAAGAGUAGAUGAUACCUCAGUAUUACCUCUUGCCAUGAGGCACAUGUGAAAAUCGGAGGUUGAUGAUGAUUCUUUUGGAGAGGGAGUUUCUUUAUCAUCAAGAGUAGGAUAUCCAUGUCCAUGCUCCUGACACUCAUAGCAUUUCCUCUCCAACAAGGUGAUGUCCUUCUUUGCUCCUCUAGCAAUUUCCUCAUUAAUGAUGUGUGCACUAUUUUCUCUUGUUUCCUCUACAUGGUUAGUCAAACAACAACUAGAGGAAAUAGAAGCACAUAGAUCAUGGAAACAAGGAGUAUCAAGCAUAUCAUCACAAAAGGUAUUCAAGGAAUCUCCAAAUGAUAUGCAUGGACUAUCAACACAAGAAUGUAAGUCAUUUUUGCUAGAUAUGCUCAAGUCCAUAGAAUCUACAACACUACCAUGUAUACAUGUAAGAUCAUCAAUGUUGAGCACAUCAUCACAAUCAUCACAAAUGAUAUUUUCACUCACCAUGUCAUUACCUUGGGACAUGCCACAUGAUGGUGAGGCGGAAGAAGUUGAAAUGUCCAAGUACACGGAGGAAGAAGCAAUAUGGAGAUCUUCAUGAUUUGAAGAUGUGGAGACCUCCUCAAUUAAAUCCUCCGAAAGAUGAUGAAUAUCAACAAGAUUGAACCCACCAUAUAUUUCUUCAAGUUUGGUCCACAUAUCAUGAGCCGUCACACAAGUCAUGAUAGACUCAAAUACUUUGAGGGAUAAAAACCGGAUUAUGGCAUUCUUAGCACUAUAUCCACAAAGCAUAUCAUCAUUUUCCUCACUAGUUGGAAAAAGGUCAUCCUUCCAUGGAGAAGCCCCUAUAAGAACAAUUCGCACAAAAUUUGGACCCAUGGUCCGGAAGUGACAAAGCAUGCGAAUUUUCCACAAGUGAUAGUUUGUGCCACUAAAACAAAAGGUGUCAUCAUGCACUAUACCACUAGUCGACAUCUUUACUCUCUAGGCGGUGAAGCCUACCAAGGAGAGACCAAAGCUCUGCUACCAAUUGAAAUGAUCUAGAUGACGACUAGAGGGGGGGGUGAAUAAGAGUUUUAAAACUUUUACGGAUUUGGCUUUAUCCUAAUGCAGAAUUAAACUAACGGAUACUUUUCAAGCACAAAUCCCAAAAAUGCUAGGCUCAACUAAGUGCACCAACAACCUAUGCUAAACAAGAUAGGCAAUUAAGCAAACUAGCAAGCACAAACUAUAUCACAAGAUAUGGAAAUGAAGGAACAACUCAACAAUUCAACUAUCACAAGAUAUAUCAAUAUGGGCAAGUAUGAAUUGCGGAAAGUAAAGGGUGUGGGUAUGAGAUAACCACAAGUGAGUCGGGGACACAGAUUUAUCCCGAAGUUCACACUCGUGAGAGUGCUAAUCUCCGUUAGAGCGGUGCCGUAGCCAAAGCUCCGGGGCAUCACCAAGUGACUCACCGUAUUCUCCCUUUCGAGUCACCCCCAACGGAUGAGCCUCGAUUCACUCGGGGUUGGUCUUGAAGGCGACCACCACACCUUUACAAACUUCUCCGAAGCACACCACAACCACGGAAGCUUCUGGAGGAACUUGACCACCUAGGCCACUUCAACACCCUUCCCCGGAGCACACCACAAAAGGAAGCUUUCGGGGGAACCUUGGCCACAUAGGCCUCUUCACAAUCUUCUCAAUGUAUCACCAAACCGUCUAGGAGGCGAAGCCUCCAAGAGUAACAAACUCACGGGUUCUCACUCGAACAAAUCGAUGCGGGGAGCUCAAACCGAUGCAACAAAUGCAAUGCAAGGUCAAGCAACAAAUGCUCAACUCACUCUCUCAAUCUCACAAGAUGCAACUCAAGAAAGUGGGAGAUUGAAGAGAGGGGAUGCAAUGGAGGAAAUCAACAAAUGACUCCAAGAUCCAUCCACAAAUCACCCUUCACUUAGAAGGGAGAUAGGGGUUUGGGAGAGGUGGUAAGAGGCUCAAAAUGAUGUUUAGAAUGUGAAUGAACAGCCCCCAAACCGGUGGGGAGGAAGGGCUCUUUUAUAGCCAACUUCCAAAACUAGCCGUUGGGGCUCCAAUGGACACUUCCUGGACACCCCGUGCCCACGGGGGUUUAGACCCCGUGCCCACGGAGUCCCGUGCGCACGGUACAAGCCCGUGUGCACGGGGCCCCGUGCCCACGGGGGUCAAAAACCCCGUGUCCACGGGGUACCCAGAACAGCGUGCAGCAGCCCACUAAAACAGUGAUAACUUUGGCAUACGGACUCCGAAUUCCAUGAUCUUGGGCUCGUUUUGAAGCUACGGAAAAGCCCACGGUCCUCACAUAGAGAACCACUCAAGAUCAACAAUAAAUAAUGAUGCAAGUAAUGUAAAGGUUUGAGCUCUCUACAUGUGACAUGAUCAAGCUACUUGCCCGAGAGUCCCUCUUGAUAGUACGGCUGUCAAACCUAUAAUCUGGUAUCCCUCCAAGCACCAUGAGACCGGCAAAACUAGGAAAACCUAGCUAAGGUAUACCUUUGCCUUGCAUAUUCAACUUGAGCUUGGUGAUGACUCCAAUGCUUGUCUCAAGUUGGAAUCCCUUUCUUGUCCACAACCGCUUGGUGAAGAUGCUUGAAUUGAUUCCUCAUAGUGCAAUGAGGGAAGCCUUAACUUAAGCCCAUCUUCACAUGAGCAUUAUCAUGAUGUGGACCACAAGCUUCAAAGCAUAUAGCCUCCUGCUUCUCAUCUUGCACUUGGACUCCUCGAACCCGAUGACCAUCACCACUUAAUGUCAUCCACACAUAUGCUACUUGAGAUCUUUCCUUUUGAUGCAACCCAUGAGAAACACCUAACCCACAUAGACAUACCAAACACAUAGCAUAGUUAGGUAACAAAGCACAAUUCAUAAUUACUUACCAUACCACUAGAUCACUUGAUCUCACGUGGUACAAUGUUUGUGCUUUGAGAGUUGACCACUUAGAUAUAAUCUUCGAGCUUCAUCUUGGUCAACCAACAUCUUUACUCGAAGCUCCAUCUUGGUUUCUUGAAAGCCAAAAUGAACUCUUCAUUUCCCUUCAUUGCUUCAAGACUAUAUCACCAAAGACUCUUCCAUGACCAUAUCAAGUUCCACUAUGAAUAUCAUCUUGGUCACCACUUGCCCUUCUGAAAACUCCAUCACAAUCUCUUGAGAGGCAUAAGGAAUUCAUCACUCUAGUUGCUUGCUUCAAGACUUGAUCAACCGAAACCCAACACAUGAGCUCACCAUGAUCUUGUCUUGUGACCAUAACUUGAAUUCUUCUCUUUGAUUAUUCUCUCAAGCCCUUGAUCCUUAAAAGCCCUCCAUCAUAAUAUCUUGAGAGGCACAAUGAAUUCUUCACUCUAGUUGUUUGCUUCAAGACUUGAUCAACCUAAACCCAACACAUGAGCUCACCAUGAUCUUGUCUUGAAACCAUAACUUGAAUUCUUCUCUUUGAUUACUCUCUCAAGCCUUGAUCCUCAGAAGCCCAAAUAUAUCAAUCUUUGAGAUCCUCCAAUGCACUCUCAUGAACAUAAUUAGAUUAGGCAUUGAAACCAAUCUUGAUGGCUUCAAUAGAAGUACCCGAAGACCAACUUGAAACCUCAUUGGAUAUGGGAUCUCGAGAGCCAACACCUAGGCCAAGUAAGCACGGGGUAUCCAAAGAGUUGACACUCGACCCCGUGCGCACGGUACAAGCCCGUGUGCAUGGGGUAUCCAGAGAAGGAUACCAUGAGGACUUCUUCGGAUGCUUUGAUGGCAGACUUCACAAAACAACCCAAUGCACUUCAAGCAUCACUAUGGAACAUAUCUUCAUAUAAGAUUCAAUGCACUUGAUGCUCCAUAGGAAUUGUCAUUUAAUACCAAAGCAUAGGGCAAAUAUAACUUCAUAUAUAUGGACUUCAUCAUUGAUUCCGUCCAAUAUCCUUGAGGCACUAUCUUCAUAUAUAUAUAUGGACUUCAUCCUUGAUUCCGUCCAAUAUCCUUGAGGCACUAUCUUCGUAUAUAUGGACUUCAUCCUUGAUUCCGUCCAAUAUCCUUGAGGCACUAUCUAUGGACAAAACCUUCAAAUAUAUCUCACUGAAAACAUUAGUCCAUAGAGAUUGUCAUUUAAUUACCAAAACCACACUUAGGGGCUACAUGCCCUUUCAGAGAGGCAGGCUGGGCUCCGGCCGGGUAGGCCGCAAGGUCGAGGAACGACAACAGGGUGUUGGGAGGCGGCUGUGUUCCGCUCGAUGUCGAUGGUGGACGAGGGCGUGGCUCCGUUCAUCCUAGGCCAACCAGUUACUGGGCCAUAUUUUUUUCUCUGGCCCAGAGAUCCAUAGGUAUAGUAGGAUGAUCCGAAAUCUUAGGGUGGGCCAUGGCCCACCCUGGCCACCCUGUAGCUGCGCCCCUGAUAGGGGGAUCACUUGGUGGUGGCGUAAAUCCCAUCUCUUGGGUCGCGCAAGUUUUCCCUCUAGUUAGGGUUUCCCUGUUUCUCCCGGGGCGACUUGUUGCCGCCGUCGAGGUUUUGCCUUCCCUGCCGCCGAUCUACGUCUCUGUUGCCCUGCUGAGAGCGAUCAAGGGGAAAACUUGGUUCCGCCACCCGCUUUUGGCCAGGACAGGGGCUCGGCGGAGUUUAGGGUUUCCCAACAACCCGAUCUGCUUUUCAUCGGGUUAGUGAAUCAACAUGGCUGCUGAUGGGGUUCCGGGCUCCUCUGGACUCAGCGACAUGGAGAAGAUGAUGAUGGAACUAGGCCUCCGGGAAGAGGACCUGGAUGACGUCGUCUUUGAUGAGAAGGAUGUGCCGCCAGAAACUCCGUGGUGGGUAGCCCUGGUCAAGGUCAACACCAACAAGAGCUAUAGCCAGACGUGGUUCUUCCGGAACAUGCGCUCAGCUUGGGACAUAGCGCAGGAAGCGAAAUUCAAGCCUCUAGAGGAACAUCUGUACUCUGUUCAGUUUACUUGUUUGGGAGAUUGGGAACGAGUCAUGCAAGAUGGGCCAUGGAAUUUCAGGGGGGAUGCAGUGCUCAUGGCACCGUAUGAUGGAAUCUCAAAACCAUUGUAACACCCCGGAUGUAACUUUCCAUCUUUGUAACUCCAACUCUUGCCAUUUUUGGCUAUGUGAUAUGAUAUUCCCUCCGUGGUUGGGUUUUGUCUUUUGUUUUGCAUUUUAUUCAUGUCAUGCAUAUCAUAUCAUGUCAUCAUGUGCAUUUCAUUUGCAUACGUGUUCGUCUCAUGCAUCCGAGCAUUUUCCCCGUUGUUUGUUUCGCAAUCCGACACUCCCACAUGCACCGGCGCACCCCUUUUGUCUCUUUUCGUGUGUGGGUGUUGAACGUUCUCGGAGUGGAUCGAGCCUUGCCAAGUGGCCCUGGUAUAGCACCGGUAGACCGCCUGUCAAGUUUCGUGCCAUUUGGAGGUCGUUUGAUACUCCAACGGUUAACCGCAUAACCGCAAAGGCCUGUUUUGAGUUGCAGCCCAACACCCCUUCAAAAGAGCCCAAUAACCCAUCUAAGUCACUUCCAUGCUCUCCGUCGUCGGAUCACGAUCGUGUGGGCGAAAACUGCACCUCAUUUGGACACCCCUAGCUCCCUCUACCUACAAAUAUGUGCCCAUCCCCGAAUUUUUCGAGCAAACCCUAGUCUUCCCCUUCCUUCGCGCACCAGACACGUCCGAACCGCGCCGGACGCGUCCGCCCGCCGCCGCUGACGAACCACGCGCCGCCACGUGUCGCCCGUCCGCGUCCCGCCGCCGCUGGNNNNNNNNNNNNNNNNNNNNNNNNNNNNNNNNNNNNNNNNNNNNNNNNNNNNNNNNNNNNNNNNNNNNNNNNNNNNNNNNNNNNNNNNNNNNNNNNNNNNNNNNNNNNNNNNNNNNNNNNNNNNNNNNNNNNNNNNNNNNNNNNNNNNNNNNNNNNNNNNNNNNNNNNNNNNNNNNNNNNNNNNNNNNNNNNNNNNNNNNNNNNNNNNNNNNNNNNNNNNNNNNNNNNNNNNNNNNNNNNNNNNNNNNNNNNNNNNNNNNNNNNNNNNNNNNNNNGUCGCCGCACCGCCCGGCGUCGCCCUCGGCCGCCGCCGCCCCGUCUCUGGCCCUCCCCGUCCUCCUCCGACCGUCCUCUUCUCCGGCGAGUCUCCGGCGUGCCUCGGCCUCCAUGCGAGCCAGAUCGGAUCUGGACCCCUAGGGUUGACUUCUUCUCCCCCGAAAUCCACUAUCUUUUUCUGUUAGUAAUUUUGUUGCAUGUUCGUCGCACCACAACUUUGCACCCGUGGCUCCGUUUUGGGCGUGUAGCAUGCCGGUUUGUUCGCCCCGACAAGUAAAUCAUUUCAUCUCAUUGCAGCAUUUUCAUUUGAUCUCAUAUUGAUACCCGAAAUGCUAUUGGAAGAGUGCUUCAUAAUGUUAGUUUCAGAUUCUUAUCAGAACAUGCACUUUUGUCAUUUUUGCCAUGAUUGAUGUGUGCAUCUUAUGUACUUGAGACCUACAUGUGUUUUGAACUAUGCCAUGCCAUAUUUACAUAGGUGCUUACCAUGUAUUUUUGUGAUCAAUGUGGUGACUAGCACAAGCAUGCAAACUAGGCUUCAUGAUAUUGCUGAUUCUAGUCCCUGUGCUGCUGAUAUUUUGAUGCCAUGUAAACAUGAUGCUACAGAGAGAUCCAUGCAUAUUUUGAGAUACUUCAGUAAGGGUGUUUUGAACAUAUGGUUAUGCUCUAUCCAUUCAUGCCCUGGUUGAAAUUAUGGAGUAGUCUAGCAUGUCAUUUUCGUGCUCUACUUUUGCUACAAAAUGUUUCCUGGCAGAUUGUUUACAUGUUAUUCAAUUUUGCCAAGGUUGUUGAAGUUGAUCCGUGUAUGCUAUGAUGUUGUUCUUGCCAUGUAUAGCUUCUACGCCAUGUCUUAUUGAUGGAUGUAUGCUUAGUUUAUCAUGAAAUUCUCUAUAGUGAGUGCAUCGAGCUCGCGAAGAUGCCUUCGUAAUUCUGUCAAUGCCAUGCUUUGUUUGCUGAAUCUGUUAACAAAACUUGCUAUGUUUACAUGGAUGCCAUCAUAUCUUCUGGUCCUUUUUGGCUCAAGGUCACUAAGGGACUUUUGAUCUAUGCUCUGAGUAGAAUCAUGCCAUGUCUUGUUUUGCUAUUAUAAGUUCCUGUAGCAUGUCGAUAACUUGCUCUGAACAUUGCUUCGUGAUGUUGUUUAUGCCAUGUCCUACCUGAUAUUUUUUGCUCUUUUGCCAUGCUUGUUUGAACCUGUUAUGGUGUGAUUUAGCUGUAGCUCAGUGUUCCUCUUUUGUUAAGCAUCUCCUGUAGAUCACUGCCAUAUGCUUUGUUUGUAUGUUGGGGUUCUGUAGCAUAGUUUCUUGUUGCAUGCUAAGUAGCAUCGUGCUGUUAAUCGCAGCUUUGUGCCAUUCUUGUCUUGCUUGCCAUUUGCAAACCGUGCAUCCGUUUCUGGCGAUCUUUAUAUCGAUUUCAUCCGAAAUCAUCUCAUCUUUCCAGCGGCAUACUUGGUUUGCCAAGUUGAUGCCUUGUUCAUCCUUUUUCCUCCCGGAGCACGCAUACGCAUUGCAUAUCACAUCUCGCAUAUCAUGACAUGUAUUGCAUCAUGUUGCUUGAGCAUUGCACCGUGAUUUAUUGUGUUCCAUUGCUUGUGUUCUUGCUUUGGGUAGAGCCGGGAGACGAGUACAUGCACGAGGAACCUGUUGAGUACGCUAAAGAGGAUCAAGCCUUCGACAACUCUGAGAACCUUGCAGGCAAGAUGACCAUACCUUCGAUAUCACUUCUAUCUUUGCUUUGCUAGAACUCGCUCUAUCGCUAUGUUAGCUCUACCUGCCUUUGUUUAUCAUGCCUCCAUAUUUCCAUGUCAAACCUCUAACCAUCCUGUCCUAGCAAACCGUUGUUUGGCUAUGUCACCGCUUUUGCUCAGCCCCUCUUAUAGCGUUGCUAGUUGCAGGUGAAGAUGAAGUUUGUUCCUGGUCGGAACAUGGAUAUUUUGGGAUAUCACAUUAUCUCCUGUUUAAUUAAUGCACCUUAUAUACUUGGUAAAGGGUGGAAGGCUCGGCCUUAUGCCUGGUGACUUGUUCCACUCUUGCCGCCCUAGUUUCCAUCAUACCGGUGUUAUGUUCCUUGAUUUUGCGUUCCUUACACGGUUGGGUGAUUUAUGGGACCCCCUUGAUAGUUCGCUUUGCAUAAAACUCCUGUAGCAAGGCCCAAACUUUGUUUUACCAUUUGCCACCUAAUCCUUUUUCCCUUGGGUUUUCGCGAGCCCAAGGGUCAUCUUUAUUUUAAGCCCCCCCGGUGCUCCUUCGAGUGUUGGCCCAAACUGAGCUGCCUGCGGCGCCACCUCGGGGAAACUCGAAGUCUGGUUUUACUCGUAGCUAGUCUCAUCCGGUGUUGCCCUGAGAACGAGAUAUGUGCAGCUCCUAUCAGGAUUUGUCGGUGCAUCGGGCGGUCUUGCUGGUCUUGUUUUACCAUUGUCAAAAUGUCUUGCGAACCGGGAUUCCGAGGCUGAUCAGGUCUUCCCUAGAGAAGGUAUAUCCUUCGUUGACCGUGAGAGCUUGUGAUGGGCUAAGUUGGGACACCCCUGCAGGGUAUAUUAUCUUUCGAAAGCCGUGCCCACGGUUAUGAGGCAGAUGGGAAUUUGUUAAUGUCCGGUUGUAGAUAACUUGACACUUGACUUCAUUAAAAUGCAUCAACAGCGUGUGUAGCCGUGAUGGUCUCUUCUCGGCGGAGUCCGGGAAGUGAACACGGUUUGAGUUAUGCUUGACGUAAGUAGUUUCAGGAUCACUUCUUGAUCGCUUCUAGCUUCUCGACUGAUGCGUUGCUUCUCUUCUCACUCUCACUUGCGUAUGUUAGCCACCAUAUAUGCUUAGUGCUUGCCGCAGCUCCACCAUAUUACCCCUUUUCCUACCUAUGAGCUUAAAUAGUCUUGAUCUCGCGGGUGUGAGAUUGCUGAGUCCCCGUGGCUCACAGAUUCUACCAAAACAGAUGCAGGUGCCGAGGAUACCAGCGCAGAUGGCGCGACCGAGCUCAAGUGGGAGUUUGAUGAGGCCCUUGGUCAUUACUAUGUAUCGUUUCCAGAUGAUCAGUAGUGGAGCCCAGUCGGGACGAUCGGGGAUCUAGCAUUUGGGGUUGUCUUCUUUUCAUUUGGAUUUGACCAUAGCCGGUCUAUGAGUGUAUUUUCAAUGAUGUAUGAUCUUAAUUAUGUAUUGUGUGAAGUGGCGAUUGUAAGCCAACUCUCUUUAUCCCAUUCUUGUUCAUUACAUGGGAUUGUGUGAAGAUGACCCUUCUUGCGACAAAACCACCAUGCAGUUAUGCCUCUAAGUCGUGCUUCGACACGUGGGAGAUAUAGCCGCAUCGUGGGUGUUACAAGUUUGUAAUCAGAGCCAUCCCCGACUUAGGAUCCCCCUGCUUGAUUGUUUGCUGGCGAUGUUGAGUCUAGAACAAAAAUGUUUUGAGUCUUAGGAUUAUAUAUAUCGGAGAGUAGGAUUCUUUUUACUCCUCAGUCCCUUCGUCGCUCUGGUGAGGUCUCUUGACGUAGAUGUUUUGACUUUCCUCUCCUCAAAUUUCACUAAAAAAAAUUUAGGAUCACGCGGGUAUCUUGGAAUCGUUCUGAUGGUUUUGUGACGAGAACAUUGUUCUUGGUGCCUCCUGUCUAUUAUGUGGCUUUGACCCAGGGAGUUGAGCUCCGAGGUGUUGUCGUCACAAUUUUAUCGUUGCAGUUCUGGAAUACCUGAGUUUUGCCAACAUCGAAAAUCUCUUUUAUGCAGUUGUUGGUGAGAUAACCUCGACGCCACCCAGUACUGGGGCGGGAGUUUGGGAGUAUUGCCAUAACUCGUAUAACAGAUGCUUUUCGAAGGUUGAGGUACAUGAUUUCCGAAGGUUUCUUGGUUAUGUGUUGACGGAUGGAUACAGCUGGAUGUAGGGAUUGUUAGUUUGGGUGAGAUAUAUUGCUUCCCCUGUAUCCCCAACACCUGAUUGCAUAACCAGAAAAUUUCGGGAUUUUAUAGGUGGGAUUCAAGUAGCUCUAGCAUUUCUUCCCGAAGAUAUUUGGUUUGUGAUUGGGUAAUCCUUACCACUUAUUUGUUCAAGUUGUACCUUGUUUAUUUCAUUCAUCAAUCUCUUAUCAAGUGGCUUCUCACCUUAAUGGACGUGUGAUGUUUGCUUUGGAAUUCAUUCGUUCAUCCUUGUUCGAAUGUUUAUUGUGAAGACUAUAUGUUGCAAUUUCUAUCCGUUGAUUCAACUUGUCUAUCUGUCUAUCAAGAUGCUAACGGAUGUCACCCUCUUUAGGAUGGCUCCGCCAACGCGUCAGAAUCCGGAAGCAAUGAUGGGAGUCAAGCGAACCCUCCACCUCCACCUCCGCCUCCGGAGGCAUGUCAAUCUUUGAUGACAGCCACAAACGCCAAUGCUCAGAUGAUGAUUCAGCUCAUGCAAGAGCGCAACCAAGGUCAAGGCAACCAAGGGAAUCAAGGUCAAGGGCAGUUCAAUCAUCAGCCUCAAUUUCCUACCCUCAACCAAUUCCUUGCAAAUCAGCCGAAGUCUUUCAGCUACUGUGUCGAGGCCACAGACGCCGAUGAUUGGCUCAUGGAUAUCAACAAGCAUUUUGAAUGCAGCAAUGUCAGGCCUGAGGACUAUGUCAAGUUCGCUUCUUUUCAGCUCAAGGAUCAAGCAGCUGAUUGGUUCCAGCAAUACAAGGAUUCCAGAGGAGGUCGAGUGAUUACUUGGACUGACUUCUGUCGGGACUUUAAAGCUCACCACAUUCCUACCAGUGUUGUUGAGAGAAAGCGUGAGGAGUUCCGCAAUCUCAAGCAAGGCAACAUGUCAGUGUACAAAUACAACAAGCAGUUUCAGAAACUUGCUCGCUUUGCUAAGCAAGAUGUUCCUAAUGAGAAGAGUAUGAUCUAUCAAUUCAGAGGUGGCCUAAGAGAGGAUCUGCAGUUAGCUCUCGUUCUUGUUGAGCCUACUCAGUUUGAUCAAUUCUACAGUAUGGCCCUCAAGCAAGAAGGUGCUCAGCUCAAGUGUGAGGCUUCUAAGAAGAGAAUCAGGGAUGCAGCGCAAUCUUCUUCUUCCUCACAAGUGGCAGCUAAGCAGCAGAAGUUCUACCUUCCUCCUCCUCCGUUUCGUCAGCCUUACCAACAGAAGAACUCAGGUGGUCGUGGAUCUUCCCACCCACCCAACCCAGGCUAUCAGAACAAGUCUCAGCCUCAAGCUCCAAGGUCAAAUGGUCCUUAUCAUCGUCUGCUCUCAGAAGUGACUUGCAACAAGUGCCAGCAGAAAGGUCACUAUGCGAACAAAUGCUUCAAUCAAAGGCGCCUUCCUCCUCCUCCUCCUGUGAGAUCUUCAAGCAAUGCAGUGGUCAAGCAUAAUCCNNNNNNNNNNNNNNNNNNNNNNNNNNNNNNNNNNNNNNNNNNNNNNNNNNNNNNNNNNNNNNNNNNNNNNNNNNNNNNNNNNNNNNNNNNNNNNNNNNNNNNNNNNNNNNUCCUCCUCCGUUUCGUCAGCCUUACCAACAGAAGAACUCAGGUGGUCGUGGAUCUUCCCACCCACCCAACCCAGGCUAUCAGAAUAAGUCUCAGUCUCAAGCUCCAAGGUCAAAUGCUCCUUAUCAUCGUCCGCUCUCAGAAGUGACUUGCAACAAGUGCCAGCAGAAAGGUCACUAUGCGAACAAAUGCUUCAAUCAAAGGCGCCUUCCUCCUCCUCCUCCUGUGAGAUCUUCAAGCAAUGCAGUGGUCAAGCAUAAUCCAAAGUCUGCAAAGGUGAACAUGAUGAAUGCAGCGCAAGCAGAGGAUUCUUCUGAUGUGAUAAUGGGUAAUCUUCCUGUUAAUGAUAUUCCUGCAAAAGUCUUAUUUGAUACUGGUGCAUCGCAUUCUUUCAUGUCAUAUCCUUUUGCAUCGAAGCACAAUUUUGACAUAGAGGAAUUAUCUAAAGCUAUGCAAGUUAUUUCUCCGGCUAAGCGUUUGAGCUCUAGCAUGAUGGUUCUGAAUGUCGGUAUCAAGAUGGGCGACUAUAAAUUUCUGACUUCUCCAAUUGUUCUUGGCGACUCCGAUAUUGAUCUAACUCUCGGGAUGGACUGGCUUUCUAAGCACAAGGCUCAGCUUGAUUGUGCUGCCAGGCAAAUUCAAUUGACACACCCUUCUGAGGAUGUUAUCAUCUAUGACGCUCGCGAUGACACCAUUCGGUUGUUUUCUCUCAAUGAGAAGGGCGAGUUGGAUGCUAUUUCUCAAAUUCCAGUCGUUUGUGAGUACCAAGAUGUCUUUCCAGAAGAGCUUCCGGGUAUGCCUCCUCAUCGGCCAGCCGAGUUCAUUAUUGAUCUUGAGCCUGGAAUUGAGCCCGUUUGCAAGCGUCCAUACAAGCUUGGACCCAAGGAGCUGAAGGAAUUGAAGAAACAGCUCGAUGAACAAGAGCGUCUGGGUUUGAUCAGACCGAGUUCAUCUCCAUGGGGUUGUGGAGUUCUUUUUCUCCAGAAGAAGGAUGGCACGGACCGACUUUGCGUCGAUUACCGUCCAUUGAACAAGAAGACAAUCAAGAACAAGUAUCCACUUCCCAACAUCAAUGAGCUUUUCGAGCAACUCAAAGGUGCUAAAGUAUUCUCCAAGCUUGACCUCCGUAUGGGUUAUCACCAGAUUUGCAUUCGUGAACAAGAUAUUCCCAAGACAGCAUUCAGAACAAGCUAUGGUUCUUAUGAAUAUACUGUCAUGUCUUUCGGCCUUGUCAAUGCUCCUCCAACGUUCUCUUGCAUGAUGAACUUUAUCUUCAACCCCUACACCAAUGAGUUCGUUCUGGUGUAUCUCGAUGAUAUCUUGGUCUUCUCCAAGAAUAAGCAGGAUCAUGCCAAACAUUUGCGAUUGGUGCUCGACAGGCUCAGAGAGCAUCAAUUCUAUGCGAAGUUUUCCAAAUGUGAGUUCUGGCUUGAUGAAGUUCUUUAUCUUGGUCACAUCAUCUCCGCCAAGGGCAUUGCUGUUAAUCCCGUGAAGGUGUGUGCAGUUGUGAAUUGGGAACCUCCUCAGAAUGUCAAGCAGCUCCGCAGUUUUCUUGGUCUUGCAAGCUAUUGUCGAAGAUUCGUUGAGAACUUCUCUAAGAUUGCAAAGCCUCUUUCCAACCUCCUCCAGAAGCAUGUCAAGUAUGUCUGGACGCCUGAGUGUGACGUCGCUUUCAACACCCUCAAAGAGAAGCUAGUCACAGCUCCUGUCUUGACUCCUCCUGAUGAAUCCAAGCCAUUCGAAGUGUUCUGUGAUGCUUCUCUUCAAGGUCUCGGUGCUGUGUUGAUGCAAGAGAAAAAAUUUGUGGCCUAUACCUCUCGUCAGUUGAAGCCCAAUGAAAAGAACUACCCCACUCACGAUCUUGAGUUGGCGGCAGUUGUCCAUGCAUUGAUAACAUGGAGACAUCUCUUAUUGGGAAGGCAAGUGGACAUUUUCACAGAUCACAAGAGCCUCAAGUAUAUCCUCACUCAACCCAACCUCAACCUCAGACAAACUCGAUGGGUCGAAAUGAUUCAAGAGUACAAUCCGAGUAUUGAAUAUACUCCUGGCAAGGCGAAUGUGAUUGCAGAUGCUCUGAGCAGAAAGGCUUAUUGCAACAGUCUAAUUCUCAAGCCAUUUCAACCGGAUCUUUGUGAAGCUUUCCGCAAGCUGAAUCUUCAAGUUGUUCCUCAAGGCUUUCUUGCCAACCUCAUAGUCUCUCCUACUUUGGAAGAUCAAAUUCGUGAGGCACAACUCCUGGAUACCAUGGUGAAGAAGGUGAAACGUGGUAUUGACAAGGGCAUUCCCAAAUACAAGUGCUAUCGCUUGGAUGACAAAGAUACUCUUUUCUUCGAGGAUCGAAUUGUGGUUCCCAAAGGCGAUCUGAGAAAAGUCAUCAUGAACGAGGCACACACUUCCCUCCUAUCCAUUCAUCCUGGAAGUACAAAGAUGUACCAUGACCUCAAGCAGUCAUAUUGGUGGACUCGAAUGAAGCGAGAAAUUGCUCAAUUCAUGAAUGAAUGUGAUGUCUGCAGAAGGGUGAAAGCAGAACACCAAUGACCAGCUGGUCUCCUCCAACCUCUUGCUAUUCCGGAAUGGAAGUUUGACCAUAUCGAGAUGGACUUCGUGACUAGUUUUCCUAAGUCCAAGCGUGGAAAUGACACUAUCUUUGUUGUCAUUGACAAGCUUACUAAAGUGGCUCAUUUUCUUCCUAUCAAAGAAUCUAUCACAGUAGCUCAGCUGGCAGAGCUAUACACCUCUAGAAUUGUCUCCUUGCACGGUAUUCCACAAUUGAUAUCUUCAGAUCGUGGAAGCAUCUUCACUUCUAAGUUCUAGGACUCCUUUCAGAAGGCCAUGGGCACCAACAUUCGUUUCAGCACAGCUUUCCAUCCUCAAACAAGUGGCCAACUCGAGCGAGUCAAUCAAAUCCUUGAAGAUAUGCUCAGGGCUUGUGUCAUCUCUUUCGGUAUGAAGUGGGAAGAUGGUCUUCCAUAUGCCAAGUUCUCCUACAACAACAGCUUCCAAGCGAGUUUGGGCAAGGCCCCAUUCGAAAUUCUCUAUGGCAGAAAGUGACGUACUCCUCUCAAUUGGUCCGAGACAGGUGAACGCCAACUUCUUGGCAAUGACUUGAUCACAGAAGCCGAAGAAAUGUGCAAAGUCAUUCGUGAGAAUCUCAAAGACGCGCAAUCGCGCCAAAAGAGUUACUACGAUAGCAAGCACCGUGACUUGGCUUUUGAAAUGGGAGACCAUGUCUACCUCCGCGUCUCUCCAAUGAAAGGCACUCAUCGCUUCGGUAUCAAAGGGAAGCUUGCCCCUAGAUACAUGGGUCCUUUCAAGAUCAUUGGCAAAAGAGGCGACCUCGCCUAUCAACUUGAGCUUCCGUCCAACUUUGCAAACGUGCACGAUGUGUUUCACGUGUCACAGCUUCGCAAGUGCUUCAAGACUCCUGAGCGCACUAUCAACUUCGAAGAGAUUGACCUCCAGGAAGAUCUCUCUUAUCAUGAGCACCCCGUUGCUAUUCUUGAAGAAACCGAGCGCAAGACUCGCAACAAGUCAAUCAAAUUCCUGAAAGUGAAGUGGUCACACCAUUCCGACCAAGAAGCCACCUGGGAGCGCGAGGAUCACCUCCGUUCCGAAUAUCCGGAGUUCUUUCAGUCCUAGAUCUUGGGACGAGAUCCUCUUGUCGUGGUGGAGUGUUGUAACACCCCGGAUGUAACUUUCCAUCUUUGUAACUCCAACUCUUUCCAUUUUCGGCUAUGUGAUAUGAUAUUCCCUCCGUGGUUGGUUUUGUCUUUUGUUUUGCAUUUUAUUCAUGUCAUGCAUAUCAUAUCAUGUCAUCAUGUGCAUUUCAUUUGCAUACGUGUUCGUCUCAUGCAUCCGAGCAUUUUCCCUGUUGUCCGUUUCGCAAUCCGACACUCCCACAUGCACCGGCGCACCCCUUUUGUCUCUUUUCGUGUGCGGGUGUUGAACGUUCUCGGAAUGGACCGAGCCUUGCCAAGUGGCCCUGGUAUAGCACCGGUAGACCGCCUGUCAAGUUUCGUGCCAUUUGGAGGUCGUUUGAUACUCCAACGGUUAACCGCAUAACCGCAAAGGCCUCUUUUGAGUUGCAGCCCAACACCCCUCCAAAACAGCCCAAUAACCCAUAUAAGCCACUUCCAUGCUCUCUGUCGUCGGAUCACGAUCGUGUGGGCGAAAACUACACCUCAUUUGGACACUCCUAGCUCCCUCUACCUACAAAUAUGUGCCCAUCCCCGAAUUUUUCGGGCAAACCCUAGUCUUCCCCUUCCUCCGCGCACCUCCCGCCGCCGCCGACGAACCACGCGCCGCCACGUGUCGCCCGUCCGCGUCCCGCCGCCGCCGGCCCGCGAGCCAGCGGGAGGCCCUCCGGGCCCAGAUCGGCGCCGUNNNNNNNNNNNNNNNNNNNNNNNNNNNNNNNNNNNNNNNNNNNNNNNNNNNNNNNNNNNNNNNNNNNNNNNNNNNNNNNNNNNNNNNNNNNNNNNNNNNNNNNNNNNNNNNNNNNNNNNNNNNNNNNNNNNNNNNNNNNNNNNNNNNNNNNNNNNNNNNNNNNNNNNNNNNNNNNNNNNNNNNNNNNNNNNNNNNNNNNNNNNNNNNNNNNNNNNNNNNNNNNNNNNNNNNNNNNNNNNNNNNNNNNNCGCCCGGCCGCCUCCGCCCGAAGCCCGCUGCCGCCGGCCCCGCCUCCAUCGUCGUCGCGCCGCCCGGCGUCGCCCUCGGCCGCCGCCGCCCCGUCUCUGGCCCUCCCCGUCCUCCUCCGGCCGUCCUCUUCUCCGGCGAGUCUCCGGCGUGCCUCGGCCUCCGUGCGAGCCAGGUCGGAUCUGGACCCCUAGGGUUGACUUCUUCUCCCCCGAAAUCCACUAAGUCUUUUUCUGUCAGUAAUUUUGUUGCAUGUUCGUCGCACCACAACUUUGCACCCGCGGCUCCGUUUUGGGCGUGUAGCAUACCGAUUUGUUCAUCUCGACGAGUAAAUCAUUUCAUCUCAUUGCAUCAUUUUCAUUUGAGCUCAUAUUGGUGCCCGAAAUGCUGUUGGAAGAGUGCUUCAUAAUGUUAGUUUCAGAUUCUUAUCAGAACAUGCACUUUUGUCAUUUUUGCCAUGAUUGAUGUGUGCAUCUUAUGUACUUGAGACCUACAUGUGUUUUGAACUAUGCCAUGCCAUAUUUACAGAGGUGCUUACCAUGUAUUUUUGUGAUCAAUGUGGUGACUAGCACAAGCAUGCAAACUAGGCUUCGUGAUAUUGCUGAUUCUAGUCCCUGUUCUGCUGAUAUUUUGAUGCCAUGUAAACAUGAUGCUACAGAGAGAUCCAUGCAUAUUUUGAGAUAUUUCAGUAAGGGUGUUUUGAACAUAUGGUUAUGCUCUAUCCAUUCAUGCCCCUGGUUGCAAUUAUGGAGUAGUCUAGCAUGUCAUUUUCGUGCUCUACUUUUGCUACAAAAUGUUUCCUGGCAGAUUGUUUACAUGUUAUUCAAUUUUGCCAAGGUUGUUGAAGUUGAUCCGUGUAUGCUAUGAUGUUGUUCUUGCCAUGUAUAGCUUCUAUGCCAUGUCUUCUUGAUGGAUGUAUGCUUAGUUUAUCAUGAAAUGCUCUGUAGUGAGUGCAUCGAGCUCGCGAAGAUGCCUUCGUAAUUCUGUCAAUGCCAUGCUUUGUUUGCUGAAUCUGUUAACGAAACUUGCUAUGUUUACAUGGGUGCUAUCAUAUCUUCUGGUCCUUUUUGGCUCAAGGUCACUAAGGGACUUUUGAUCUAUGCUCUGAGUAGAAUCAUGCCAUGUCUUGUUUUGCUAUUAUAAGUUCCUGUAGCAUGUUGAUAACUUGCUCUGAACAUUGCUUCGUGAUGCUAUUUAUGCCAUGUCCUACCUGAUAUUUUUUGCUCUUUUGCCAUGCUUGUUUGAACCUGUUAUGGUGUGAUUUAGCCGUAGCUCAGUGUUCCUCUUUUGUUAAGCAUCUCCUGUAGAUCACUUCCAUAUGCUUUGUUUGUAUGUUGGGGUGCUGUAGCAUAGUUGUUGCAUGCUAAGUAGCAUCGUGCUGUUAAUCGCAGCUUUGUGCCAUUCUUGUCUUGCUUGCCAUUUGCAAACCGUGCAUCCGUUUCCGGUGAUCUUUAUAUCGAUUUCAUCCGAAAUCAUCUCAUCUUUCCAGCCGCAUACUUGGUUUGCCAAGUUGAUGCCUUGUUCAUCCUUUUUCCUCCCGGAGCACGCAUACACAUUGCAUAUCACAUCUCGCAUAUCAUGACAUGUAUUGCAUCAUGUUGCUUGAGCAUUGCACCGUGAUUUAUUGUGUUCCAUUGCUUGUGUUAUUGCUUUGGGUAGAUCCGGGAGACGAGUACGUGCAUGAGGAACCUGUUGAGUACGCUAACGAGGAUCAAGCCUUCGACAACUCUGAGAACCUUGCAGGCAAGAUGACCAUACCUUCGAUAUCACUUCUAUCUUUGCUUUGCUAGAACUCGCUCUAUCGCUAUGUUGGCUCUAUCUGCCUUUGUUUAUCAUGCCUCCCUAUUGCCAUGUCAAACCUCUAACCAUCCUGUCCUAGCAAACCGUUUUUUGGCUAUGUCACCGCUUUUGCUCAGCCCCUCCUAUAGCGUUGCUAGUUGCAGGUGAAGAUGAAGUUUGCUCCUGGUCGGAACAUGGAUAUUUUGGGAUAUCACAUUAUCUCCUAUUUAAUUAAUGCACCUUAUAUACUUGGUAAAGGGUGGAAGGCUCGGCCUUAUGCCUAGUGACUUGUUCCACUCUUGCAGCCCUAGUUUCCGUCAUACCGGUGUUAUGUUCCUUGAUUUUGCGUUCCUUACACGGUUGGGUGAUUUAUGGGACCCCCUUGACAGUUCGCUUUGAAUAAAACUCCUCCAGCAAGGCCCAAACUUGGUUUUACCAUUUGCCACCUAAGCCUUUUUCCCUUGGGUUUUCGCGAGCCCAAGGGUCAUCUUUAUUUUAACCCCCCCCCCCAGACCAGUUCUCCUUCGAGUGUUGGCCCGAAUUGAGCUGCCUGCGGGGCCACCUCGGGGAAACUCGAAGUCUGGUUUUACUCGUAGCUAGUCUCAUCCGGUGUUGCCCUGAGAAUGAGAUAUGUGCAGCUCCUAUCGGGAUUUGUCGGCGCAUCGAGCGGUCUUGCUGGUCUUAUUUUACCAUUGUCGAAAUGUCUUGCGAACCGGGAUUCCGAAGCUGAUCGGGUCUUCCCAGGAGAAGGUAUAUCUUUCGUUGACCGUGAGAGCUUGUGAUGGGCUAAGUUGGGACACCCCUGCAGGGUAUAUUAUCUUUCAAAAGCCGUGCCCGCGGUUAUGAGGCAGAUGGGAAUUUGUUAAUGUUUGGUUGUAGAUAACUUGACACUUGACUUCAUUAAAAUGCAUCAACAGCGUGUGUAGCCGUGAUGGUCUCUUCUCGGUGGAGUCCGGGAAGUGAACACGGUUUGAGUUAUGCUUGACGUAAGUAGUUUCAGGAUCACUUCUUGAUCGCUUCUAGCUUCUCGACCGAUGCGUUGCUUCUCUUCGCGCUCUCACUUGCGUAUGUUAGCCACCAUAUAUGCUCAGUGCUUGCCGCAGCUCCACCAUAUUACCCCUUUUCCUACCUGUGAGCUUAAAUAGUCUUGAUCUCGCGGGUGUGAGAUUGCUGAGUCCCCGUGGCUCACAGAUUCUACCAAAACAGAUGCAGGUGCCGAGGAUACCAGCGCAGAUGGCGCGACCGAGCUCAAGUGGGAGUUUGAUGAGGCCCUUGGUCGUUACUAUGUAUCGUUUCCAGAUGAUCAGUAGUGGAGCCCAGUCGGGACGAUCGGGGAUCUAGCAUUUGGGGUUGUCUUCUUUUCAUUUGGAUUUGACCUUAGCCGGUCUAUGAGUGUAUUUUGAAUUAUGUAUGAUCUUAAUUAUGUAUUGUGUGAAGUGGCGAUUGUAAGCCAACUCUCUUCAUCCCAUUCUUGUUCAUUACAUGGGAUUGUGUGAAGAUGACCCUUCUUGCGACAAAACCACCAUGUGGUUAUGCCUCUAAGUCGUGCUUCGACACGUGGGAGAUAUAGCCGCAUCAUGGGUGUUACAACCAUCUACGAUUAAACUGGAGACUAUUGACAUAUGGAUCCAAAUUCAUGAUGUGCCAGACUUAUAUGCUCAUCUAGUCGGUCCUCUAGCAGCCAAGGUGGGUGAAGUCCUAUUUGCGGAAGCUCCGUCCCAUGAUUUCAAAGGGAAUUUCUACCGUGUGUGGGUGCACAUCAAUGUCCACUAACCCCUCAGAAACACGGUAUCAAUGAUCAGAGACGGGCAGAGACAGAUCUACAAAGUAAAAUAUGAGAGGUUACCGGACUGGUGUGCGGUAUGUGGGAUGCUGGGACACCUCUAUAAAGAGCAUGAUAAUGGAGUUCACCCUCCCUCUGCUCUAGUCUUCAAAGAACUCUGGGCUGAGUGGUUCAUGAACAACCAAAGGGGCCUUGGUGAGGGAGGAGGCCGUCGUGGUGGUCGCCGUGGAGGCCGCUCUAGUGGCAGAUCAAGAAGUGUGCCGGAGAGAGAGCCGGAUAGCAGUUAUGAAGAAACAGCAGGCCAGGUAGAGAAGACAGAUGUGGACAUGUAUGAUCCCAGUAGGAAAAGGACGAACACUGCUGUCAUUAAUGAAACCAAUAAAUCGGUUGGGCAAGUGGUGGGGGCGCUGACUAAUAACAGCAUGACAGUGACCGGGCUGGAGCUCGCUGUUGUGCACCAGAAUUCUACUCCGAUGAGCCCUCCACCGAAGAGGGAGGCAAAGCGAAACAAGACCGAAGAAGAUGGCAAGACUGACAAUCCAAUGGCAAAGAAGAACUUGGUGGGCUCCCUGGAGGAGCGCCGCCGGGCCCAAUGAGUGUGUUAAGCUGGAACUGUCGUGGCGUGGGCAACGCUGCGACAGUUCGCGAACUCCGCACUUUCGCGGAGACUUUUGCCCCUACCCUUCUAUGUAUUGUAGAAACACAAAUUGAUAGAGUAAGGGUAGAGAAUCUAGCUGCUACUCUUGGUUAUGACAAUGGCUACGCUGUAAGUAGUCAAGGUAGAAGUGGAGGAUUAGGGAUUUUUUGGAAUAAUACAAUAAAUGUUGAGAUUUUGGGCUACUCUCCGUAUCAUAUUGACUGCUCUAUUCUUGAGGAGAACAUGGAUCCGUGGAGGAUGACUUUAGUAUAUGGGGAGGCACGGACCCACCUACGGCAUCAAACAUGGGAUAUCAUGAAAGGGAUCAACAGUUUGAGCAGCGAUCCAUGGUUGUGCAUAGGAGAUUUUAACGAAGUUCUACGUCCGGAUGAACAAGAAGGAAUAGGAGAAAGAAGUAAUGCUCAAAUCCAGGGAUUCCGGGAUGCCGUGGACGUUUGCAUGCUCAUGGAUAUGGGAUACCAGGGACACUUUUGGACAUAUGAGAAAAAAGUGGCUGGAGGAAGCUAUACUAGGGUAAGGCUUGAUCGAGCUAUGGCAACAACUGAAUGGAAUGAGAGGUUUCUGAUGGCCUUCUUAAAACAUCUGACGGCUGCCUCCUCUGACCACUGCCCUAUAUUGCUUAACAUGCUUGAUGCGCCGGUCCUGAAGAUACCGAGAACUUUUAGGUAUGAGGUCAUGUGGGAGGCGCAUGAAGACCUGGGCGACACCUUGCUGCAAAGCUGGGCAGCGGGCGGGGCGACAGCAAGAAUGCAAGAGCUCCGUGAUAAGCUGGGCGUGGUUGCAGCUGAUCUUGGGCGGUGGAAUAGGAAUACUUUUGGCUCCGUGCGCAAGGAAAUCAAAGGCCUUAAAACCAAGAUUGAAUGGUUGAGGGCUAACCCAGCAAGGACGGGGCCGUCUCACGUCGAGUUGAAGAUCAACGAGAGAUUAAUCAAACUUUAUCAUAGGGAGGAACUCAUGUGGAGGCAGCGGUCUAGACUGGAAUGGUUAUCGGCGGGGGACAGAAACACUCGCUUUUUUCAUCUUCGGGCAAGCCAGAGACGUAAAAGGAAUAUGAUUAAAGCGCUUGCGAAUUCUUUGGGUGUAAUCAUUGAUGAUCCAGGAGCAUUGAGAACGAUGGUGUCAGAUUUCUAUAAGAGUCUAUAUACCUCCGAAGGUGCAAAUGUAUUGGACCAAGUCAUCUCGAAGGUGCCCGCAAAGGUAACGCAGCACAUGAAUGAUAUUUUGUUGGCCCCAUACAGUAAUGAGGAGAUUAAGACUGCCCUUUUCCAGAUGUUCCCGAUGAAGGCACCGGGGCCCGAUGGUUUCCUGGCUCAUUUCUAUCAACGACACUGGGAUAUCUGUGGUGAAGAGGUCACCCAUGCUGUGCUCAGGAUAGUCAGAGGUGAGGAAAGUGCUGAGUGUGUGAAUGACACUAUUUUGGUGCUCAUCCCGAAGGUUUUGAACCCAACUCAGCUUGCACAGUUUCGUCCAAUAAGCUUAUGCAAUGUCAUAUACAAAAUUGCUUCAAAGGUAGUUGCCAAUAGACUCAAACAGAUACUACCAGAUAUAAUAUCUCAUGAGCAGUCAACUUUUGUUCCAGGCAAGCUAAUAACUGACAACAUAAUAUGUGCUUACGAGUGUCUUCACUUUAUGAAACGGAACAAAUCCAAGUCCAACAACUUUUGCGCUUUGAAGUUGGAUAUGAUGAAAGCCUAUGAUAGGCUUGAGUGGGACUACCUGCAGGCCAUGAUGGAGAAGUUGGGCUUUGCACAACCUUGGGUUGACACAGUUAUGAGCAUGGUCCGGUCCGUCUCUUUUUCAGUUAUGUUUAAUGGUGAGAAGCUAGAGCAAUUUGUUCCAUCAAGAGGAAUUCCGCAGGGAGAUCCCAUCUCUCCUUAUCUUUUCUUAAUCGCAGCAGAGGGCCUUUCGUGCCUUUUAAAAUCCAGUUUUGAGUCGUCGGGUCUUGAGGGAAUCAAGGUGGCUCCUACAACUCCAAUUGUGAACCACCUCCUUUUUGCUGAUGACAGCCUGUUGCUAUUUAAGUCAAGCUCUGAGGGCGUGACAGCGGUAUCAAACCUGUUGGAGACAUAUUGUAGUGCAUCUGGCCAAAGGAUCAAUCAUGACAAAUCAUCUAUCUUUUUCAGCAAGGGAUGCCCACAGCAGAGACGAGAUAGUGUCAAGAACAUUCUGCAUGUGCACAAUGAGUCAUUAAGCGACAGAUAUUUGGGGAUGCCCACAGAUGUUGGCCAAGCCAAGAUGGGGAAAUUUAAGUAUCUCAGAGACAGGAUAUGGGAGAAGGUAAGAGGAUGGAUGGAGAAACUUUUAUCAACUGCAGGAAAGGAAGUUCUAAUAAAAUCCGUGGCCCAAGCUAUACCGGUAUACGCCAUGGCAUGCUUCCGGUUGCCAAGAGGACUUUGUGAUAAUAUAACGUCGGUCAUUCGACAAUUCUGGUGGGGGAGCAAGCAGGGCAAACGGAAACCAGCUUGGGUGUCUUGGGAUGUGAUGAUACACCCCAAAUACUUGGGAGGCUUGGGAUUUCGAGACAUGGAGAUCUUUAAUCUGGCAUUGUUGGCCAGACAAUCGUGGAGGCUUUUGCAUGAUCCAUCGGCCCUAAGCGCACGCAUCCUAAAAGUUGUUUACUACCCGCAAGGCUCUAUUCUUGAUGCUGAGUUGGGCAGCCACCCAUCACAAAUAUGGCGGGCUAUCAUCGAUGGGAGGGAUGUUCUGAAGCAAGGUCUUAUUCGAAGAAUAGGCAAUGGUGCGACCACUGACAUAUGGGAAAGCAACUGGCUCCCCAGAUCGGGUCCGAUGAGGCCCAUCACGGCGCUAGUAGCCAGCCCUCCCAGGCUCGUCCCGGAACUGAUUGACGCCACCACGGCUACUUGGAGAGAGGACCUCGUCCGCUCGGUGUUCAUACCGUUUGACGCAGAUGCUAUCUUGGCUAUCCCAUUAUGCACACGCAAUAUUGAUGAUUUUUGGGCUUGGAGUGCGGAACGCCGAGGUAUCUUUUCAGUUCGAUCGGCUUAUCAGAUGGUGUUAAACACCAAAUUUCAGAGGGAGGAUUGGAUAGAUGAAAAUGCAGGGAUCUCAGAUUUGUCUUCAGAAGGACAUGCAUGGAAUUCGUUAUGGCAUACUAAGGUACCUUCGAAGCAGAAAAUCUUUGCAUGGCGGCUAGCCCAGCACUCGAUGCCUUCCGCUGAUGUUUUACAUCACCGCAACAUGUCACAGACUCCCCAUUGCGCUCUCUGUGGAGCUCAAGACUCAUGGAGACAUGCUUUGCUGGAUUGCACUAUGUCAGAGAUGCAUUUGGGCUUUGUUAGAUGAGCGCUUGGUGGAACAGAUUAGUCUAAACGACGAUGCAAACGCGAAGAACUGGUUGUUCGCUCUGCAUGAGGCUCUAACUCCAACAGGAUUUGUGAGACUAAUCAUAUCCCUCUGGGCGGUGUGGAGAGCGAGGAGAAAGGCGAUUUAUGAGGAUAUAUUUACCAGCCCAAUGUCAACACAUCAGUUCAUCGAAUCUUAUGUGAAUGAUCUCAAGGUAAUUGAAACACCUCGACGAGUGGUGAGUGCCCAGCCUCAGCCUAAGCCUACACAGUGGCUACAUCCACCGGCGACUUUGGCAAAAGUAAAUGUGGAUGCAGCGACAAGAAGAAAUCAGAAGAGGGGAGUGGUAACCGCAGUAUGCAGGGAUCAGAACGGAGUAUUCUUGGGUGCCUCGGCGAUCAGUUUCAGGGGAGUUGAUGACCCUACAACACUUGAAGCGAUGGCAGUCCGGGAGGCUCUUGCCCUAGCUCAAGAUCUCAAUGAACCUAUACAUGUAGCUACUGAUUGCAAGGUGGUGGUGGACGACAUCAAGCAACAGUGUCUGGCAAGUUACGGUGCGAUUAUACAUGAAAUAUUAGAGGCAAGUAGAUCUUUUACUAUCUGUAAUUUUGUCCACGAGUUUAGGAGCUCGAAUUUCGAGUCUCACAAUCUAGCGAAGCAUGCUCUUACAUUAGGGGUGGGCCGCCAUGUUUGGUGAGGACACCCCGGAAAUCUUUUGUUCGUCCCUGUAAACGUUGUGACGUCUUAAUAAAGCUUCGUGGGAUUGCCUCAAAAAAAAAAACUUGGUGGUGGCGUAGAAGAAAAGGAUUGCUGUGUUGGUCAGUGGCAGCGGGGCUAGCACUGCCUAGUUUUGCACAUACUCUGUUGCUUGCACCUGGAAAUAACAUAAACUGGCAUCGAGCGGUCUGCUGUUUGGAGUGACCACGGCGACAAAUUUCUUGACAGGGAGUCCAAUAUCUCCAGCGGCACAUACCCAAUUCGUCCUUCUGCAUUGGCAACCAUCAUAGUCUGUGUUCUGUCCGGUGACAAUGUCACCCUGAUUUUUUAGGAAGGCAAACUCCGCAAACACGAACUAGUUAGAAGCAUCAGAUGCUAUUUUAUUAAAUGUGUUGUCACCUUAUUACAAUCUCUAGGACCUCUCCAGUAGAUAACUUGCAAAAUUCAGAAUAAGGAAAAAUUGGUGCAUCUCAGAAUAAAACUCCUCCCAGCGUGAGGUCCAGUCUUGUAAGUUGUAACUGAAGCUCUAGGUUCAGGGUAUCAUCAAUUAGACUAGCAUAGCAAAAUUAACAUAGAACCCCAAUGUAUAUACUCGAAGGAACUCUUAUCUGGUCAGGCCAACAGCUGGGUAGUGUAACCUUCCUUCCAGCUGGCCAAGCUUUCAGUUCCAAAGUGAGCUACUGGCUUAGACACGUACACAUAUACGGUACCAUGUUGUACAAAUCUGAAGCACCCACCCAUUGCUUUGACAGACACAUUGGCACAACUCAUCUUGCGGCGGUGUUCAUACAAGUCAGCACAAAGAUUUGACCAUGGAUGAACUUCAGAUGAGAGACGCACUAGUUUGUGCACAACAAGAUUAUUACACCCUCUCGUACAUAACUACUAGUACUACUCCAUAGUUUGAAAAACAUCAAAAAUUAACCAGAGAGGAGAGAAGUGAAUAUGUCUUCAAAGACUGUGCACAUUUCCCUCUGUCAGUUUGGAUCAUAAUCAGUCCAUGGCUUCAGGUAACUCAUAUCAGCAAGAAAACACAUACUCUUACCUUGUUCUUCCCUUCUUGGUUCCUCGGGGCUCUCCGGGUGUUCCUCCCGGCCAUGGCAGGACAGUCCACAUCUUAUUUACCCGUGGACGUCCACCAAGAUGAUUUUUUUUAGGGUUUCCACGGAGACGAUUUGUGGUGGGCUUGGAUGCGGGCUUGGAUUUUACGUCUACCUGCAGCUUUCUUGGAGACAGCCCAUUUGAUGAAAUAGACGUUCUGUGCCAGAGAGAUCGUUUUUCUAAUGAACUGGGCCUGAGCACCGAAAGCCCAUCGGAAUCAGGCCCACGACCUUGCACCAGCUGCACCACGCCGCUGCGCUCUUAGUUAGUUUGUUUAGUUCCCUCAAAAAAAAAGUUAGUUUGUUUAGUACCACCUCGCCAACAAGAGGAGGCAGUGGAGGGGGAGCCUGCUAUAUAACGAUCCUUCGGUGCACCCUUGCAACAUACUUACCUGGAUGGGGUCGAUGGCUGAUCAAGAAGAGUCGUACUUUAAAUUUUUUCCUUCCUACUUUAGUGGUUCUUUGUGCUGAAUUCACGUUCAGUUUCAGUUACUUUAUCCUGGCCUUGCAGAGUCAGCUUAUAUGGUGUUUCAAAUUGCUGACAGGUCACUCAAUCCAGUGUGACAGUAUAGAAAUAGACUGUGAUGAGACGCACAUGCAGCAUUACGUGAAGUUGAUGUUCAAGUGGCCUUUACAGUCUACGCUUUUAACAAAAUUAGCAAACCUUGCACUUUACAGGCUCCAAAAUGGUACAGACUAUGGCUUCAGUGUCAGGAUUUCUUUGAAGCUCAGACAGUCACUGUAGCGACACCGCAGUGCUGAAGCACCAACAAUUUUACAAGCACAGCUACAUCUGAAUGUACAACGUAACGAUGACUAGAAUAUCUAUGUGUAGUUUAAACUGCUAAGCAUCUCUUGGUAAGGUAUCCCACCAUGCAUUUGGGAUUCAGUGUUAAUUAGCAUUCUCGCAUCAACGACCAGUUCUGCGAAUCCGAAUUCCAACCGGGUUACAGUCUCCUCAAUGCACCAUCAAAAAAACAGUCUCCUCAAUGCAGCAAAGAAGACUAAAGUUCUGCUUGGAAUCGGUGUAUUUUUAUACACCUGUAUUUGUUUUACAAGUGUAUCUUACCGUCCGUGUGCAAAUUCCACCUGAGAAUCAAAACGACGGAUUGUGGUCUGUAUAUUUUACAGGGGUAAAAGCGCUGUAUAUUUUACAGGGGUAAAAGCGCUGGAAACGACAAUCCAAUCAAGGCCUAACUUGGUAGCAGAGCUAGAGAAUCAGUGGCCGUUCUGGAUAGAACAUUAUACCUGAUAUAGUCUUGGAAGAUAGUACUGAGCAAGAAGUAUAAGCAACAAGAAUGUUAUACCUGAUAUUGUGGCCACAUGAUUUAUGCGGGACAAGUGGGUUUAGCGGGAUGUCCACAUAUUUUGGUUGUAUUUGGUCCUGUAAGAUUUAAACACUUAGCGUCACACAGCGAUGAACGUAAGUUUCAGAGUACUCGUUUCUGUCUUCAGAGUUCAUGUGGAUAUCCUUUCUGUCUACAGAGCAAAACAAAAUUUUAGAACACCAACUGUAUACGUGCAUGACUGUCGAUUGCUAACAUCCAUGCUCCAAGAGUGCAUGAACUAAUUAAAAGCAUCAGAUGCUAGUUUAUUCAACGUGUGGUCAUCUUAUUACAGUCUCUAGGACAAUAGAUAGCUUGCAAAAUUCAGAAAAAGAAAAUUAGGAGCUUCUCAGAUUAAAACUCCUCCCGGCGUGAGGUCCUACUUGUGACUGAAGCUUCAGGUUCAGGGUAUCAUCAAUUACACUAGCAUAGCAAAAUUAACAGAGAACCCCAACGUAUAUACCCAAAGGAGCUCUUAUCUGGUCGGUCCAACAGCUGACUGGUGUAACCUUUCUUCCAGCUGACCAAGCUUUCUGUUUCAAAGUGAGCUAUACUAGCUUAGGCACAUAUACAUAUACGGUACGUAUUAUGCAAGUGUGAAGCACCCACCCAUUGCUUUGACAAACACAUUAGCGCAACUCAUCUUGCAGCGGUGUUCCUACAAGUUAGUACAAACAGUUGACAAUGGAUGAACGCAAUGCACAACAAGAUUACAUUCUCUCGUACUACAUAAACAUAACCUGAAAAACAUCAAAAUUAACCAGAGAGGAGAUAACUGAAUAUAUCUUCUAAGACUGCGCAUAUCUCCCUCUGUCAGUUGGCCAUGGCCGGGGCGGGGGCUCUCCGUUUUCCUUUUUUUUGAGGGGAGGGGGCUCUCCGGGAGCUCCUCUCGGCCAUGGCAGGACAGUCCACAUCGUUUCAGCACCUUUUUUUUUUGAGAAACACGAAGAUGAUUUAUGUGGGCUUGGAUGUGAGAGAUCGUUUUUCUAGUGCCAGAGAGAUCGGUUUUGUAGUGAACUGGGCCUGAGCACCAAAAGUCCCAUCAGAAUCAGGUCCACGACCUUGCACCAGCCGCACCACGGUGCUGCGCUCUUAGCCAGUUUGUUUAGUACCACCUCGCCAGCAAGAGGAGGCAGGAGAGGGAGAGACUGCUACAUAAUGAUCCCUGGGUGCACCCUUCAACAUACUUACCUGGACGGGGUGACUGAUCAAGAAGAGUCGUGGCCUAGGCUAGUGGUUCACAUUGCACUUGGUGGAUGUGCUGGCUUACCAUCUCCCCAAGUGAGAGAGUGGACGUCAUAAUUUGUGAUAGAGGGGGUACGCGUCCGCGCGGCCCCUGCCAAUUUUUAAAUAAGAUUUGGCUUUUAUAAUUGUGAGGAUUUAUGUGUUUGUUUGGCCCCUGCCAAUUCUCUAAAUUAAACAUUGGGCCUUUAUUAUUGAAAUAGUACUAGCAUUGCAGCUGCUGAAGACAUAAGUUGUACUAGCAGAUGUCUUAUUUGGCGUAAUAUCACAGUCGAGGUACCUAAUAUUACACCCAGUUUCAUUCUUGCAACUCAUUUUCCAGCAGGCUGUUUGGUCAUCAACAGAUACUCCUAGCAAGCACCAUACUGCACCUAGUACCUGAAUGAAGAGGAGCAGGGGAUCCUAAGAAAAUUGCAAUACAUAUCAAACCAUGAAAGGUUGCCUAUAAAAGCAUAUAUAUACCGUACAUGACUAGCUAACAAGUAAAGUAGCAGGUUGUAUUGUAUACAGGCCCUCCACAGGCAGCCUUUGCAACAACUCCAGUAGCUUUGACAAAUUCAUAAGUUAGAGGGAAUAUGAGAUAUAGUCUUGGAAGAUGCUGAGCAAGAACUAUAACCACUAGAAUGUUACUGUUAUGCCCAGCAGUAGAGUACUUGAUGCCUUGAUAGCUGGUAUCACAUCUGCACAUCUGCACAUUAAGUAAAGAUACAUAAGCAGAAUAAAUACAUGAGAAAUUGAGAUGAAAUGCUUCUAGGCCGCACGGAACAAUACAUAUGCACUAGAUAUAUAGCUAUGUGUGCAUGGAGAGGCCAGAGUGGCAGAUCAAAACCUAUGGAUUAUAAUUAAUUACUGCCGGUCUAGUACGGCAGGAAAUUGUGGUAAUUUAUAUUGUGCCCGCACGUGCCCACAUAUGUUUUAUGCGGGACAAGUGGGUCUAGCGUGAUGUCCACAUAUUUUGGUUAUAUUUGGUCCUGUAAGAUUUAAACACUUAGCGUCACAGAGCGAUGAACGUAGUGUUAGAUCCGUCGGAAUCGGUUAGGCUAGAUAUUCCGGUAGUUCUUACCUUCUGCUUGUGGCUCAAGGAGGUCCCGGUUCCGGCCAUGGUGGAGUGGCCGGUGAUGGCAGAGAGUGGUGGCGUUGGUGGGCUUCCCAUCGCUUCAGCGCCUCCCUUUGGAUCAGAUAGGGUUAGGAGUGGGGAACAGUGGCGGUGACGAACCUCGUACCCUAUGCCCCUGGUCCCCACCUCCUCUUUAUAGCACUGCGCGACAGGGGCCCACCAGCCUUGCUUGGGCUGGACGCCCCCGAUCAGGGCGUGGGUCAAGGGCCCAAUGAGCCGUUGGGCCCAUUGGUGGAGAGAUCAAUCUAACAUUCUCCCCCUUGAUCUCAUCAUAUACUUUUAACUUUAUACUUUGAAAUAACUCUUUUCAAAGUACUCGUUCCAUCACAGAUUUGCAUGUAGAGCAUGUCUCAUCAUCACGGUCUAUCCCGAUAGAAUCAACACCUACAACACACACCUCUGUUUUGAAAUAGUUUCUUUAACCUUGGGCCCUUUUAUUGUCCGGAAGUGUUAGACUAUACCAUAAAACCCAUGUAGACUGCGUGUUCUCCGAACACACUGGGCGGUAAGCCUUUAAUAAGCAGAUCUGCAAAACACUUGUCUGUUGCUUAUGCUUCAAGCAUUUCUACAUAAUUCCGGACUUUCUCCUUUACAACGCAUAACUCUGUGUUAGUGUGUUUGGCAUCAACACUUGACUCGUUGUCAUAGGAGCACAAACUUUAAAAUGGUUAUCGUUGUUGCAACCAUUAUCAACUCCGGGUACAGGUCUCCUUAACCAUUUUGCCUGUCCCUCAGCCUCAUAUCAAGCUAUAAAGUAUCUUUGCAUCACAUUUAUGAUAAUUGUUUCAUUCUUUGGAGCUUUUCCACACAAAAAUCUCCAAGUAUGAAAGUUAGCGACAAUUGUGGAUUUCGCUAUACAUUUCACAAGUCCUGUCUUUGUACUCACAAUCUUUUGAGAUGACUUAUUUCUUUCAGCAUGAGGCCAAUAUCCUUGACUCCAUUCCAGUGAUCUAUAUCUGGACUGGACAUUACCAAAACAACCCGGUUACGUGAACUGUGUCACGGUAAUGUUAUACUUUUGCAUUCAUUAAGCUUCCAACAGCUGAAGCAUAUGGUACCAUAUUCAUUUGGUCUAUUUCGUAUUGACUUUUGGAACACUAAAGUUCCCAAAAUCAUUACCCUUUACUAUAAGAACAGGUGUAGGUUUUCUCGCAUGCAUACUUUAGAAACUUUCCUUAGCAUGCCCAUGCGACACUCCUAAUACCCCUUUUAUUCUUUUCUCGGUGAAUCUCGAUCCUUAUAACGAGAGACAUUCUUUUGAACUUUGAGGACAAAAACUUCUUUUCCUCCUGCAGUCGAAUUAACAUCACUACUAACAAGCAGAAUGUUAUCCGCAUGUACAAGAUAUAGGAAAUGAAAUUCCCAUUCUAUAACUUUAUACAAACACAAUUGUCCUCUCAUUUUCUUUAACCCAAAACAACAUUUGAUUACUUUAGUCCAUAAAGACUUCUUCAGGCAGUAUCCCCUAUGUUCUUUACUUUCAUCUGAAGUAACUCAGAUCAUAAUAUCUUUCAUCUGAUGUAACUCAGAUCAUAAUGUGCUACCAACACUCAUUGUAAUCUAUUAGUGUAAAAUGCGCAAAAACCUUUCGAUCUUAGUCGUGUUUUACACCUUUACAUAUUUCCUUUGGAGUCACAUUGACCUUGUAGACUCUUUACAGCCUACUGUUUUGGCUCCAUUGGAAAUUACUCAUGAGUCCCGAACAUCGUCAGAAUUCAUCAAUUUCAUUUCAUCUCAUAGUCUCUUAUCAUUUAGAUAAGCAGACACUUCUCAAAAACUCGAUUGAGCGCUCUAGAUGAGGUGGGAUCAACCUCCAUUUGAAUUUCACUAACAUAGACUUUAUAGUAAUCAGAAGUAUCUGAUUUUCUCAUUCCUUGAGACCAUCUGUGUCUCAGGUACUAGCACUUCUUUCAUAUGGGUCUGUUGUUGCUCUGUCAUUGCCAAAAGGCAAAUUAUUGUAUAGUCUUUCAUUUCCAAGAGGCAAUAGGUUUUACAGGAACCUUUAUCAUAAGAUCCAUGUUAAAUCAUUCCUCCUUUAUAGAGCUAACAAUGGGUGUUGUAUAGGUCAUACAACGUGCUCCCCCAGAUACAAUCUAUUUGAGUCUUAGGUAUCUUCAUACCAUGCUCCCUCAGAUUACUCCAUCUUCACUAAGAAUGGUGUAUCUUUAAACUUUAUUAUUUGGGUUUAUUCUGUUAAAACUUUUUUCUUUAUGGCACUUUAAGCACCGUCUUAGUAUUCCUUAGUCUUCUUUUCUUUAGGGGUAUUAUUAUAAUCAUCGUACUCCCCCGGACGAUCACAUUCUUCAUUAAUGGGUAUCUCAUAUUUCUUUCUCUCCCUCGAAAUGUGGCAAGAACUUUUCUGCCACAAUUUCGAAAAACCAUUCACAACUCUUGUGAAUUGAGGAAACUUUGAGUAUCUACUUCAUUUAUCUGAUUACUUCAUAUGUAAUGAAGUUAUCAGUUAACUGGUAUGGGAGUACUUUUUCCUUAUUCCAUUUCAGAAACUCAAUAGAAUUCUUUAUCAUUAGUACUUUUGCAAGUCACACUUGCAUAUCAUUCUUAUCUUUAGGUUCGUUUGUAACUUUUAUUCUCUUCGGAUUUAUUGAGUGCUUAAUGACCGUUACACAUAAGAUGUACGGUCGAUACGAGGAAGGCAUAAUAGCUACUCCAUACUUUUCUCCCAGAGUGGGACACAUUAAAAGCACAUGAGUCAUCAUGUUUUUCUCCUGUCAUACAUGAUAAGUCUGAGAAAAUUUCUGCCGCCAUACGGGUUACGCAAGGAUUUUCCCAGACUUUUCCUGCCAUGCUGGUUUUAUCAUAAUCAUCUUUCCCCGCCAUGCGGGUAAUUCCCUGUAAGGGACAUAAAGGCCAGAAUUGGCUCUUUUUCUGCAUAUUCAAUCAUCAAAUUUAGGAAUAAAUCCGAAUAUUCUUUAAUACACAUGCUUAAUCCGACGUUGGUCAAAUUAAUCACGCAUAUCACUUAUUGCAUCUCAUAGAAGAUGAGAAUUCUUUUCCAUGGAGAGUACAUGAAGACAUUCGUCGAGCAAGACUCUCAAUUAUAUAUCUCUUUUCUUUUGAAGUCAUUCUUUAGAGAGAACAUACUCCCUUACGUUGACCUUUCUUUGUCAUCUCUCGGGUCACAAGUACCCAGCCGUUUGCUUUCACGAAUGAAGGCAUGGAAAACUUUUAGUGUGAGAAAACUUAACCAAUAAUCAACAAUAAUGAGCAUAAAAAUAACCCCAUGUUUAUCUAGUUAAAAAAAUAUGCACAUUAAACUUUUAUAACUUUAUUUUAUAUUCUAAAUCACCGUUGGGCAGAAUUAGAACAAAACAUCAUUCUUCUACAUUAAUUCCAUAUCACCGUUGGGCGGAAAUGAAAAUAAUGCAUAUAACUCAUAAACAAUGUGAUGAUAGUAUAAACUUUUUUUUCAUAGUAUGUCUAUUAAACAACUUUGUUAAGAAAUAACCAUCAUCACCAACUUUAUUACAGCGGAAACAAGAAAUAUACAUUUCUCUUGUUCAAGAGCAUUUCUUGAUCUUUUAUCGGUUCUCUGAAAAUUUUGAUACAACUUUUAUCAGAGAUUUAAGCUUUGAACAUAAGACUCAUAGAAUUAUAAUAUCGUCAUCAUCAACAUUGGUCAGAAAAUAACAAUACCAUAAUUAAACUUUAAUCAAAUGUCUUUCUACUGUUAUAGCAGAAGCUAUCUGCAUCUUAUUUCACCCACAGGGGAAAAACAUUGCUAAGAACAGUUCUUCCAAUUAAUUUUUUCCGUUGGUUCCAAUUUAAUUGGAGGAUACAACUUUUAUUUUGCAGCGGAAAACUUUACAAUAUUCUAUUCAGAAACAAUUCUAUACUCUUUUACUCUCUAAGCAAUUUUAACCGGUUGGUUCAAAAAUGCAUUAGAAUAUAAUCUUUUUCUUUAGUUCUAUUCACUUUUUCAAAAAAAACAAACUUUUAUUUUUAUUUGCAGCAGAUAAACAUGAAUAGAAAAAUCAUGGACUUUUUUAUUCUUUACAAAAACUUUUCUUUGACCAAAUAAAAAUUCAUGAACUUUAUUAUUUUCUUUGUAAAAUUCAUGAACAUUUCCUUUUCUGAAAAUUUUCUAUUUUAAUUUUCAGAAACUUUUUCUGUUUACUUUUUUUUUCUAAAACAAAAUUUUCGUUGGAAAAUAUUUGCAUAGAAAAACUAUUUAAAAUAUGCCCAAAAUCUGGAGAAAUAACAACAACAAAAAAUGCAGCUGGCCCCGCGCGCUGCCACGGCUUCGGCCCAGCGCCCCGCGCGUGCGCCCGCGGCGGCUGGCCUGGUCCGACUCAACUUUUGGCCCAAAAAGCCCGGGGCGAGGCUAGGGUUUCGAUCUCAGCCGUUCGAUUGCAUCUAACGAUCCAGCGAACUUUUCUCUCGAACAAAACCGAGGAGAGCCCCCGAUCCGAAAACCUAGCCCCCAUUCUCUCGAUGCUUCUUUCCCUCUUCGUCUCUGUAGUCGCCCGCGACAUCGAUGGCCCAGCCGCCGGCGACGGCGCCGAGGGCCACCGCGCCGCGCCCGGCCGCCGGCGACGGCCACCCUGCCGCGCCUCUUUUUCCCUUCCUUUCCUCCCUCCAUAUCUCUAGUGACAGAGAAAGAGAGCAGCGGGGUCGAGCCCUCUCUGAUCCCCAUCGCCGCGGACCUCUCUAGCUGCCGGCGGCUGGCCGGUGGCUAGCGAGGCUCCCCGGCGCGGUGAGGCUCCACCUUUUCCCUUUCCCCUUCUGUUUUCUUCUUUUCUUUUAUCCUUAACACACCGUGGCAGAGAGAGAGAGAGAGAGCGAGAACCUGCUGCCUCCUUUGCUCCCAUUCGAGUUCAACGAUGGCAGAGCGAACGACAGCGGCGCCGUGGCCUUCCCCCUCGCUGGUUGCGCGUCCACCUUGCGGUGAGCGCGCCGCCGUCGAGCGGAUUGGUCGCAGUGCCCUUUGCCCCUUGCGGGGUUGUUCUUCGACCGGACGGCUCGGCUUGCCGAUGCCCGUUCGGAUCGAGAGGGGCUGGCGCGGCCGGAGUGGCGGCGCACUUUGCCGGCGGGGGCCGAGGCCCUCUGCCGGUAAACUUUCUGCUUUUUUGUUGUUGUUUGUCUCUGCCCUGCUAGGGUUCUUUGGGAAGGGGUGGGGAGGGAGGGAUUUUUUUUUUCUGUGUAUGCACUUUGUACCGAAAUUCUUAGCCUAGAUGGCCUGAUACCAUUGUUAGAUCCGUCGGGAUCGGUUAGGCUAGAUAUUCCGGUAGUUCUUACCUUCUGCUUGUGGCUCAAGGAGGUCCCGGUUCCGGCCAUGGUGGGGUGGCCGGUGAUGGCAGAGAGUGGUGGCGUCGAUGGGCUUCCCAUCGCUUCAGCGCCUCCCUUUGGAUCGGAUAGAGUUAGGAGUGGGGAACAGUGGCGGUGACGAACCUCGUACCCUGUGCCCCUGGUCCCCACCUCCUCUUUAUAGCACUGCGCAACAGGGGCCCACCAGCCUUGCUUGGGCUGGACGCCCCCGAUCAGGGCGUGGGUCAAGGGCCCAAUGAGCCGUUGGGCCCAUUGGUGGAGAGAUAUCCGUUUCUGUCUUCAGAGUUCACGUGGAUAUCCUUUCUGCCUUCAGAGCAAACGAAAUUUUAGAACACCAACUGUAUACGUGCAUGACUCUGUCAAUUGCUAACAUCCAUGCUCCAAGAGUGCACGAACUAAUUAAAAGCAUCAGAUGCUAGUUUAUUCAAUGUGUGGUCACCUCAUUACAAUCUCUAGGACAGUAGAUAACCUGAAAAAUUCAGAAUAAGGAAAAUUGGUGCUUCUCAGAAUAAAAACUCCUCCCAGCGUGAGGUUCUACUUGUAACUGAAGCUUCAGGUAAGACUAAAUAUAUCUUCUAAGACUGUGCACAUCUCCCUCUGUCAGUUUGGAUCAUAAUCAGUCCAUGGCUUCAGAUAACUCAUGUCGGCAAUCAUGUAAAAAAAAAAAACUCUCGCAGACCUCGUCGAUAUCUCCAACCCCUGGGUGCAAUUGCUCCUUGUGCCACACCCGGUGCUUGCCGUCGAUGAGCAUCAGAAGCACCUGGCCUUCCGGCCCCAACACCCUGGUCUUACGUCUACCAUCCUUGAUUUCAGCUAGCUAUUUUCAGUGACAUGCUUACUCCUCUUGGAUUUUAUUCCAUGAUAAGUUUUUUUUUGAGUAACAUUCCAUGAUAAGUAUGUAUUGGAAGUUGAAAUGCCAGCUUUCGUGGAGACAGCCCAUUUGAUUUUAUUUUUUGAGGGGUGGAGACAGCCCAUUUGAUGAAAUAGACAUUCUGUGCCAGAGAGAUCAUUUUUCUAAUGAAGUGGGCCUGAGCACCGGAAUCAAGCCCACGACCUUGCACCAGCUGCACCAGGGCGCUCUUGGUUAGUUUGUUUAGUACCACCUCGCCAGCGAGAGGAGGCAGGGGAGGGGGAGCCUGCUAUAUAAUGACCCCUCGGUGCAACCUUGCAACAUACUUACCUGGACGGGGUCGACGGCUGAUCAAGAAGAGUCGUGGCCUAGGCUAGUGGUCCAUAUUGCACCUGGUGGAUGCGUUGGCCUACCAUCUCCCCAAGUGGGAGAGUGGACGUCGUAAUUUGUGGUAGAGGGGGUACGCGUUCGCGCGGCCCCUGCCAAUUCUCUGAAUUAAAUUUUGUCCUUCCUACUUUAGUGAUUCUUUGUGCUGAAUUCACGUUCAGUUUCAGUUACUUUAUCCUGGCCUUGCAGAGUCAGCUUAUAUGGUUUCAAAUUGCUGACAGGUCACUCAAUCCAGUGUGGCAUUUUAGAAAUAGACAGUGUGAUGAGACGCAUAUGCAGCAUUACCUGAAGUUGAUGUUCAAGUGGCCUUUACAGUCUAUACUUUCAACAAAAUAGCGAACCUUGUACGGACAGACAGUUUAUAGGCUCCAAAAUGAUACAGACUAUGGCAUCAAUGUCAGGAUUUCUUUGAAACUCAGACAGCCAGUGUAGCGGCACCCUGUGCUGAGGCACCAAGAAUUUUACAAAUGUACAACGUACCGAUGACUAUUAUAUAUGUGUACUUUAAAUUGUUAUAAACAUCUCUUGGUAAGGUAUCCCACCAUGCAUUUGGGAUUCAGUGUUAAUUAGCAUUCUCGCAUCAACGACCAGUUCUGCGAAUCCGAAUUCCAACCGGGUUACAGUCUCCUCAAUGCACCGUCAAAAAAACAGUCUCCUGAAUGCAGCAAAGAAGACUAAAGUUCUGCUUGGAAUCGGUGUAUUUUUAUUGUUUUACAAGUGUAUCUUACCGUCCGUGUGCAAAUUCCACCUGAGAAUCAAAACGACGGAUUGUGCUCUGUAUAUUUUACAGGGGUAAAAGCGCUGUAUAUUUUACAGGGGUAAAAGCGCUGGAAACGACAAUCCAAUCAAGGCCUAACUUGGUAGCAGAGCUAGAGAAUCAGUGGCCGUUCUGGAUAGACCAUUAUACCUUACUCGUAGGGUUCGACCAAGAAAUCUGGCUCGUCCGGCUUCUUUAGCGUCGGCAACUCUUUUAUGGCCUGAAGCCCUUUCCUGUUCCUAGCCAUGACUUUACCGGCCACCAUUCUUAUUUCUUAGAAAGAUAUUCCUCAUGGGUGGAGGAACAUCUUCACCAUCCGAGUCUUCUGAUCUCAUGGACGGGCUGCAGGGUUCAGGGUAUCAUAUCAUCAAUUAGACUAGCAUAGCAAAAUUAACAGAGAACCCCAACGUAUAUACUCAAAGGAACUCUUAUCUUGUCAGUCCAACAGCUGAGUAGUGUAACCUUCCUUCCAGCUGACCAAGCUUUCAUUUCCAAAGUGAGCUAUACUAGCUUAGGCACACACACAUAUACGCUACCUGUUAUGCAAGUCUGCUUUGAAAAGCACAUUGGCACAACUCAUCUUGCAGCAGUGUUCCUACAAGUUAGUACAAACAUUUGACCAUGGAUGAACUUCAUAUGAAAAACGCACUAGUUUGUGCACAGCAAGAUUGCAUUCUCUCGUACAUAACUACUACUACUACACAAUCUGAAAAACAUCAAAAUUAACCAGAGAGGAGAGAACUGAAUAUAUCUUCUAAGACCGCGCACAUCUCCCUCUGUCAGUUUGGAUCAUUAUCAGCACAUACCCUUACCUUGUUCUUCCCUUCUUGGGUCGUCGGGGCUCUUGCAGACCUCGCCGAUAUCGUCAAUCCCUGUGCCACACCAGGUGCUUGCCCGUCGAUGGGCAUCACAAGCACCUGGUCUUGUCAUCCGGCCCCAACACCCUCCGGUGGUGCUCCCCGUGCGGCCAUGCCGGCCUUUCACUCCCUUUGUUUCCACCACUGUUUUUUUUAGAAGAAUUUCCACCGCUGCUUUUUUUAGAUGAAUUUCCACCGCUGCUAUGAUGGCAGAAGUUGCAGCCUGAUCCAUCUAAGCCGCAGUGGAUGAUGGCAGAAGCUGCUAUGAUGGCAGAAGCUGCUAUGAUCUUACCAAUUUUUGAUGAAAUAGACAAACACUAUGCCAGAGCGCUUUUCUAAUGAACUGGGCCUGAGCACGAGAGCCCCAUCAGAAUCAGGCCCACGACCUUGCACAUGCAUAAUUGGUUUGCUACCAACAUUUGGUAUUGCCAAUAUUUGUCAAGCCAACAUUUGGUAAAAUCAAAAAUUGCCAAUAUUUGGCAACUUCUUAUAAGAUUGGCAAUGAAAAUUGGCAAGCAAUCAAUCUCUAACCAAAAUUUGGCAGUUAACAAAAUUUGGCAUGCUAACUUUUAGCAUCAAACCAAUUAUGCUCUAAGUUAGUUUGUUUAGUACCACCUCGCCUACGGGAGGAGGCUGGGGAGGAAGAAUCAGCUAUAUAAUGAGCCCUCGGUGCACCCUUGCAACAUACUUACCUGGACGGGGUCGACGGCUGAUCAAGAAAAGUCAUGGCCUAGGCUAGUGGUCCACAUUGCACUUGAUGGAUGCGCUGGCCUACCAUCUCCCUAAGUGGGAGAGUGGACGUCGUAAUUUAUGGUAGAGGGGGUACGCGUUCGCGCGGCCCCUGCCAAUUCUCUAAAUCAACUUUUGGUCCUUCAGUGAUCAAUAUUCAGUAGCUUUCUGCUAAAUUCAUGUAAAGUUUCAGCUACAUCAACCUGGCCUUGCAGAAUCAGCAUGUUCCAAAUUGCUAGCCGCCAAAAAAUAAUAUGAUGGCAGGUCACUCCUUCAAAUUGCUAGCCGCCAAAAAAUAAUUUGAUAGCAGGUCACUCCAUCUAGUGUGUGACAGUUUACUCCAGCCCAAACAAAUGGAAAUAGACAGUGUGAAGGGGGAUAUGCAACAAUUACAUGAUACUAGUAGGCGGAGGCGUGGCGCCAUGCCGCGCCUGUGUUUAAGUCCGUUGUCGAUUAUUUUGUGCCUUAGUCCACUGUUACUCGAUAUUGAGAUGAUAGGGUAGAUAAAUAUUGCAACAAAAUAUUUGGUAAGUUUCAUUGAGUAGAUCAAUGGAUAUGGUGGCAUACAUGGUCGAUGGGCAUCUUUUAUCCGUAUUAUUCUUUUGGGUACUGAUCCUUAAAUAUUUUCUACUUAUGACAAUAACCUUUUUUGUGUCUAGCUUGAACACAUUCUUCGUUACAAAGGAAGCAAAACGACAUACCUACAUACCAAGUCCAUGGCAUAGAAAUUCGGUUAAACUGAGCAUCAAAAUAUUCUUCUCCAUAUACCAAAGAGGACCCCCGCAAAAAAAAAUACCAAAGAGGAGUAAGUGGUCAUACAUAAUUGCCUUAUCUGCUUCAUUCAAACAGGAUUAUUUACAUGAUAGCAAUAUGUGUCAUGAAGAACAGCUAUACAUAAACUCAUUGAAGCUGGGCCAACUAAAAGAAGCCAAAAAGGAAACGACCAUGGCGAGACCACUGGAUGCUCUUCUCUGACCAUUUCAUCAGCACAUCUAAUAGUUUUCCCCUAGCAUCAAGAAACAUGAAUAGCGUCAAUGAUUCAGACAUUAUUCAUGAAGAUAUUUUUUUUCGAAAAGGGGGGGCUCCCCGGCCUCUGUAUCAGAACGAUGCAUACGGCCACAUUUAUAAAUAAAAUAGGUUCAACAAGGUCUUAAAGUCUGGAAAUAAAAAGAAAAGCUAGCUCACAGAGAGCCUCAACGCCAAAGACAAAAAGGCCAUAGAGCCACAACCGGCUGGCAAAACAAAGAUAGGAAAACUAAUCGCCUAUCCUAUUACAUGACUGCCAUCCAAACCGGUUGAAGAUAUCCCGUGCUACCAUCUCCCACCGGACAGAUUCAGUAACCAAACGCUCCCUGGCCUCCGUCGGAGUGAGUAAGGACCACAUACGGAUCACCGCCGUAGCUCAGAAUAAAACCUGCAAAAAAUGAAUAGUUGUUGUUCUGUUAAAAGCCAAAUCAUUUCUGCAGUUCCAAAUUGCCCAUAAUAACGCACAUACUCCUACACGAAUGUGUCUAGUUGUAUCGGACUCUAUCUCAACAAGCCACGUUCCAAAUAACGUACCGACCGAAUUCGGAGGAGUAAUGUUAAAGGCAAUUUGCACGGUGCGCCACAAAACUCUCGCCAACAGGCACUCAAAGAAGAGGUGCUUAAUGGUCUCAUCCCAAUCACAGAAACUGCACCUAGUAGAUCAUGUCCAAUUGCGCUUAACCAAGUUGUCAUUUGUUAAAAUGACUUGUUUAUGUACAAACCACAUAAACACUUUAAUCUUCAAAGGAACUUUUACUUUCCAAACAUGUUUGGAACUAGGAAUGACACUAUAGUUAAUGACAUCGAUAUACAUCGACUUAACCAAAAAUUCUCCAGACCUAGUAAGUUUCCAACACAACUGAUCGGGCUGAUGAGCUAACUGAACCUCCAUCAGUCUACGCACCAAAUGCCCACCUAUCACCAACAAGCACCCUCCGAAACUGGAUAUUAAGGGGAAUGGACUGCAUAAUCGUUGAAACUAGCGCAUCACGUCGUUGAACAAUACGAUACAGGGACGGGUACUGGAGCGCCAAUGGCGUAUCACCAAGCCAAGUAUCCUCCCAGAAACGGGUAUUGUUGCCAUUACCGACUAUAAACUUUGUUCUAUUAAAGAAGGUUGUCUUAACUCUCAUAAGCCCCUUCCAAAACAGCGAAUCAGUUGGUCUCACUGUCACCUGUGACAAAGUCUUGGACUGCAGAUACUUGUUACGAAGAAUCGGCGCCCACGUUGCGUCAGUCUCAACUGAUAACUUAGACAACCACUUACUGAGAAGGCAUCUGUUCUUGACCUCAAGAUUCUCAAUACCCAGACCCCCUUGGUCCUUUGGUCUACAGAUGAUAUCCCAUUUGGCGAGUCAGUACUUUCUCUUUAGUUCAUCAUUCUGCCAAAAAAAUCUUGAUUGGUAGAAGUCCAGCCUUUUCCUAACCCCAAAUGGAACUUCGAAGAAAGAUAGUAGGAACAUCGGCAUACUCGUGAGCACCGAAUUGAUAAGAAUCAACCGGCCUCCAUAAGACAUGAGCUUGCCCUUCCAGCAACUAAGUUUCUUCUCAAACCGAUCUUCGAUGCAUUUCCACUCUCUGUUUGUUAGCUUACGAUGGUGAAUGGGUAUACCUAGGUAAGUAAAAGGUAAAGCCCCUAAUUCACUGAAGGAAAUAUGCCCUAGAGGCAAUAAUAAAGUUAUUAUUUAUUUCCUCAUAUCAUGAUAAAUGUUUAUUAUUCAUGCUAGAAUUGUAUUAACUGGAAACAUGAUACAUGUGGGAAUACAUAGACAAACUUAAUGUCACUAGUAUGCCUCUACUUGACUAGCUCAUUAAUCAAAGAUGGUUAUGUUUCCUAACCAUAGACAUGUGUUGUCAUUUGAUUAAAGAGAUCACAUCAUUAGGAGAAUGAUGUGAUUGACUUGACCCAUUCCGUUAGCCUAGCACUUGAUCGUUUAGUAUGUUGCUAUUGCUUUCUUCAUGACUUAUACAAAGUUCCUACAACUAUGAGAUUAUGCAACUCCCGUUUAUCGGAGGAACACUUUGUGUGCUACCAAACGUCACAACGUAACUGGGUGAUUAUAAAGGAGCUCUACAGGUGUCUCCAAAGGUAAAUGUUGAGUUGGCGUAUUUCGAGAUUAGGUUUUGUCACUCCGAUUGUCGGAGAGGUAUCUCUGGCCCCUCUCGAUAAUGCACAUCACUAUAAGCCUUGCAAGCAAUGUGACCAAUGAGUUGGUUACGGAAUGAUGCAUUAUGUAACGAGUAAAGAGACUUGCCGGUAACAAGAUUGAAUUAGGUAUUGGAUACCAACGAUCGAAUCUCAGGCAAGUAACAUACCAAUGACAAAGGGAACAACGUAUGUUGUUAUGCGGUUUGACCGAUAAAGAUCUUCGUAGAAUAUGUAGGAGCCAAUAUGAGCAUCCAGGUUCCGCUAUUGGUUAUUGACCAGAAACAGUUCUAGGUCAUGUCUACAUAGUUCUCGAACCCGUAGGGUCCGUACGCUUAACGUUACGAUGACAGUUUUAUUAUGAGUUUAUAAGUUUUGAUGUACCGAAGGUUGUUCGGAGUCCCGGAUGUGAUCACGGACAUGACGAGGAGUCUCGAAAUGGUCGAGACAUAAAGAUUGACAUAUUGGUGUUGGGGAACGUUGCAUGAAAUAAAAAAAAUUCCUACGUUCACCAAGAUCCAUCUAUGAGUUCAUCUAGCAACGAGAGAGAGAGACAUGCAUCUACAUACCCUUGUAGAUCGCGUGCGGAAGCGUUCAAGAGAACGGGGUUGAGGUAGUCGUUCUCGUCGUGAUCCUAUCACCGGAGAUCCUAGCGCCGAACGAACAGCACCUCCGCGUUCAACACACGUACGGUCAGCGUGACGUCUCCUCCAUCUUGAUCCAGCAAGGGGGAAGGAGAGGUUGAUGAAGAUCCAACAGCACGACGGCGUGGUGGUGGAUGCAGCAGGACUCCGGCAGGGCUUCACCAAGCAACUGCGGGAGGAGGAAGAGGUGUAGCAGGGGGAGGGAGGCGCCAAGACUCAGGGUGCGGCUGCCCUCCCUCCCCCUCCUUUAUAUAGGCCCCCUGGGGGGGCGCCGGCCCUGGAGAUGGGAAUCUCCCAAGGGGGCGGCGGCCAGGGGGGGUGGAGUGCCCCCCAAGGCAAGUGGUGCGCCCCCCACCCUAGGGUUUCCAACCCUAGGCACAGGGGGGCCCAAGGGGGCGCACCAGCCCACUAGGGGCUGGUUCCCCUCCCACUUCAGCCCACGGGGCCCUCCGGGAUAGGUGGCCCCACCUGGUGGACCCCCGGGACCCUUCCGGUGGUCCCGGUACAAUACCGGGUGACCCCGAAACUUUCCCGAUGGCCGAAAUAGCACUUCCUAUAUAUAACUAUUUACCUCCGGACCAUUCCGGAACUCCUCGUGACGUCUGGGAUCUCAUCUGGGACUCCGAAAACAUUCGGUUUGCUGCAUACUCAUAUUCAUACAACCCUAGUGUCACCGAACCUUAAGUGUGUAGACCCUACGGGUUCGGGAGACAUGCAGACAUGACCGAGACGGCUCUCCGGUCAAUAACCAACAGCAGGAUAUGGAUACCCAUGUUGGCUCCCACAUACUCCUCGAUGAUCUCAUCGGAUGAACCACGAUGUCUAGGAUUCAAGCAACCCCGUAUACUAUUCCCUUUGUCAGACGGUAUGUUACUUGCCCGAGAUUCGAUCGUCGGUAUCCCAAUACCUCGUUCAAUCUCGUUGCUGGCAAGUCACUUUACUCGUACCAUAAUGCAUGAUCCCGUGACCAGACACUUGGUCACUUUGAGCUCAUUAUGAUGAUGCACUACCCAGUGGGCCUAGUGAUUACCUCUCCGUUAUACGGAGUGACAAAUCCCAGUCUCGAUCCGUGUCAACCCAACAAACACUUUCGGAGAUACCUGUAGUGCACCUUUAUAGUCACCCAGUUACGUUAUGACGUUUGGUACACCCAAAGCACUCCUACGGUAUCCGGGAGUUACACGAUCCCAUGGUCUAAGGAAGAUAUACUUGACAUUGGAAAAGCUCUAGCAAAACGAACUACACGAUCUUGUGCUAUGCUUAGGAUUGGGUCUUGUCCAUCACAUCAUUCUCCCAAUGAUGUGAUCCCGUUAUCAACGACAUCCAAUGUCCAUAGUCAGGAAACCAUGACUAUCUGUUGACCAACGAGCUAGUCAACUAGAGGCUCACUAGGGACAUGUUGUGGUCUAAGUAUUCACACGUGUAUUACGAUUUCCGGAUAAUACAAUUAUAGCAUGAAUAAAAGACAACUAUUAUGAACAAAGAAAUAUAAUAAUAAUCCUUUUAUUAUUGCCUCUAGGGCAUAUUUCCAACAGUCUCCCACUUGCACUAGAGUCAAUAAUCUAGUUACAUUGUGAUGUAUCGAACACCCAUAGAGUUCUGGUGUUGAUUAUGUUUUGCUCGCAGAAGAGGUUUAGUCAACGGAUCUGCGACAUUCCGAUCCGUGUGUACUUUGCAAAUAUCUAUGUCUCCAUCUUGAACAUUUUCACGGAUCGAGUUGAAAUGACACUUGAUGUGCCUGGUCUUCUUGUGAAACCUGGGCUCCUUGGCAAGGGCAAUAGCUCCAGUGUUGUCACAGAAGAGAGUGAUUGGCCCUGACGCAUUGGGUAUGACUCCUAGGUCGGUGAUGAACUCCUUCAUCCAUAUUGCUUCAUGCGCUGCCUCCGAGGCUGCCAUGUACUUCGCUUCACAUGUAGAUCCCGCCACGACGCUCUGCUUGCAACUGCACCAGCUUACUGCUCCACGAUUCAACAUAUACACGUAUCCGGUUUGUGACUUAGAGUCAUCCAGAUCUGUGUCGAAGCUAGCGUCGACGUAACCCUUUACGACGAGCUCUUCGUCACCUCCAUAAACGAGAAACACGUCCUUUGUCCUUUUCAGGUACUUUAGGAUAUUCUUGACCGCUGUCCAGUGUUCCUUGCCAGGAUUACUUUGGUACCUACCUACCAAACUUACGGCAAGGUUUACAUCUGGUCUGGUACACAGCAUGGCAUACAUAAUAGAUCCUAUGGCCGAGGCAUAGGGGAUGACACUCAUCUCUUCUUUAUCUUUUGCCGUGGUCGGGCAUUGAGCCGAGCUCAAUCUCACACCUUGCAAUACAGGCAAGAACCCUUUCUUGGACUGAUCCAUUUUGAACUUCUUCAAAAUCUUAUCAAGGUAUGUGCUUUGUGAAAGACCUAUGAGGCGUCUCGAUCUAUCCCUAUAGAUCUUGAUGCCUAAUAUGUAAGCAGCUUCUCCAAGGUCCUUCAUUGAAAAACACUUAUUCAAGUAGGCCUUAAUGCUGUCCAAGAAUUCUAUAUCAUUUCCCAUCAAAAGUAUGUCAUCUACAUAUAAUAUGAGAAAUGCUACAGAGCUCCCACUCACUUUCUUGUAAACGCAGGCUUCUCCAUAAGUCUGCAUAAACCCAAACGCUUUGAUCAUCUCAUCAAAGCGAAUGUUCCAACUCCGAGAUGCUUGCACCAGCCCAUAAAUGGAUCACUAGAGCUUACGUACUUUGUUAGCAUUCUUAGGAUCGACAAAACCUUCCGGCUGCAUCAUAUACAGCUCUUCCUUAAGAUAACCGUUAAGGAAUGCGGUUUUGACGUCCAUCUGCCAUAUCUCAUAACCAUAGUAUGCGGCAAUUGCUAACAUGAUUCGGACGGACUUAAGCUUUGCUACGGGAGAGAAAGUCUCAUCGUAGUCAACCCCUUGAACUUGUCGAUAACCCUUAGCAACAAGUCGAGCUUUAUAGAUGGUGACAUUACCAUCCGCGUCCGUCUUCUUCUUAAAGAUCCAUUUGUUUUCUAUCGCUCGCCGAUCAUCGGGCAAGUCAGUUAAAGUCCAUACUUUGUUUUCAUACAUGGAUUCUAUCUCGGAUUGCAUGGCUUCUAGCCAUUUGUUGGAAUCUGGGCCCGCCAUCGCUUCUUCAUAGUUCGAAGGUUCACCGUUGUCUAACAACAUGAUUUCUAGGACAUGGUUGCCAUACUACUCUGGUGUGGAAUGUGUCCUCGUGGACCUACGAAGUUCAGUAGCAACUUGAUCCGAAGUACCUUGAUCAUCAUCAUUAAUUUCCUCUCCAGUCGGUGUAGGCACCACAUGAACAUUUUCCUGAGUUGCACUACUUUCCGGUUCAAGAGGUAGUACUUCAUUGAGUUCUACUUUCCUCCCACUUACUCCUUUCGAGAGAAACUCUUUUUCCAGAAAGGAUCCGUUCUUGGCAACAAAGAUCUUGCCUUCGGAUCUAAGGUAGAAGGUAUACCCAAUGGUUUCCUUAGAGUAUCCUAUGAAGACGCAUUUUUCCGACUUGGGUUCGAGCUUUUCAGGUUGAAGUUUCUUGACAUAAGCAUCGCAUCCCCAAACUUUUAGAAACGACAUCUUAGGUUUCUUCCCAAACCAUAAUUACUACGGUGUCGUCUCAACGGAUUUAGACGGUGCCCUAUUUAAAGUGAAUGUAGCUGUCUCUAGAGUGUAUCCCAAAAAUGAUAGCGGUAAAUCGGUAAGAGACAUCAUAGAUCACAUCAUAUCUAAUAGAGUGGGAUUACGAUGUUCGGACACACCAUUACGCUGAGGUGUUCCAGGCGGCGUGAGUUGUGAAACGAUUCCACAUUUCCUUAAGUGCGUACCAAAUUUGUAACUUAAAUAUUCUCCUCCACGAUCCGAUCGUAAGAAUUUUAUCUUUCGGUCACGUUGAUUCUCUACUUCAUUCUGAAAUUCCUUGAACUUUUCAAAGGUCUCAGACUUGUGUUUCAUCAAGUAGACAUACCCAUAUCUACUUAAGUCAUCAGUGAGAGUGAGAACAUAACGAUAUCCUCCGCGAGCCUCAACGCUCAUUGGACCACACACAUCAGUAUGCAUGAUUUCCAAUAAGUUGGUUACUCGCUCCAUUGUUUCGGAGAAUGGAGUCUUGGUCAUUUUGCCCAUGAGGCAUGGUUCGCAUGUGUCAAAUGAUUCAUAAUCGAGAGACUCUAAAAGUCCAUCAGCAUGGAGCUUCUUCAUGCGCUUGACACCAAUGUGACCAAGGCGGCAGUGCCACAAGUAUGUGGGACUAUCGUUAUCAACUUUACAUCUUUUGGUAUUCACACUAUGAAUAUGUGUAACAUUACGUUCGAGAUUCAUUAAGAAUAAACCAUUGACCAUCGGGGCAUGACCAUAAAACAUAUCUCUCAUAUAAAUAGAACAACCAUUAUUCUCGGAUUUAAAUGAGUAGCCAUCUCGUAUUAAACGAGAUCCAGAUACAAUGUUCAUGCUCAAACUUGGCACUAAAUAACAAUUAUUGAGGUUCAUAACUAAUCCCGUGGGUAAAUGUAGAGGUAGCGUGCCGACGGCGAUCACAUCAACCUUGGAACCAUUCCCGACGCGCAUCGUCACCUCGUCCUUCGCCAGUCUCCGCUUAUUCCGCAGCUCCUGCUGUGAGUUACAAAUGUGAGCAACGACACCGGUAUCAAAUACCCAUGAGUUACGACGAGUACUGGUAAGGUACACAUCAAUUACAUGUAUAUCACAUAUACCUUUAGUGUUGCCGGCCUUCUUGUCCGCUAAGUAUUUGGGGCAGUUCCGCUUCCAGUGACCCUUCCCUUUGCAAUAAAUGCACUCAGUCUCAGGCUUGGGUCCAUUCUUUGACUUCUUCCCGGUAACUGGCUUACCGGGUGCGGCAACAUCUUUGCUGUCCUUCUUGAAGUUCUUCUUACCCUUGCCCUUCUUGAACUUAGUGGUCUUAUUGACCAUCAACACUUGAUGUUCUUUCUUGAUUUCAACCUCUGCUGACUUCAGCAUUGAAAAUACUUUAGGAAUAGUCUUCACCAUCCCCUGCAUAUUGUAGUUCAUCACAAAGCUCUUGUAGCUCGGUGGGAGCGAUUGAAGGAUUCUGUCAAUGACCGCCUCGUCCGGGAGGUUGAUCUCUAGCUGGGACAGACGGUUGUGUAACCCAGACAUUUUGAGUAUGUGCUCACUGACAGAACUAUUUUCCUCCAUCUUACAACUAUAGAACUUGUCGGAGACUUCAUAUCUCUCGACCCGGGCAUGAGCUUGAAAAACCAUUUUCAGCUCCUCGAACAUCUCAUAUGCUCCGUGUUGCUCAAAACGCUUUUGGAGCCCCGGUUCUAAGCUGUAAAGCAUGUCGCACUGAACGAGGGAGUAAUCAUCAGCACGUGACUGCCAAGCGUUCAUAACGUCUUGGUUCUCUGGGAUGGGUGCUUCACCUAGCGGUCCUUCUAGGACAUAUGCUUUCUUGGCUGCUUUGAGGAUGAUCCUCAGGUUCUGGACCCAGUCCGAUUAGUUGCUGCCGUCAUCUUUCAGCUUGGUUUUCUCUAGGAACGCGUUGAAGUUCAUGUUGACAUGAGCGUUGGCCAUUUGAUCUACAAGACAUAUUUUGCAAAGAUUUUAGACUAAGUUCAUGAUAAUUAAGUUCAUCUAAUCAAAUUAUUUAAUGAACUCCCACUCAGAUUGACAUCCCUCUAGUCAUCUAAGUGUUACACGACCCGAGUCGACUAGGCCGUGUCCGAUCAUCACGUGAGAUGGACUAGUCAUCAUCGGUGAACAUCUCCAUGUUGAUCGUAUCUUCCAUACGACUCAUGUUCGACCUUUCGGUCUCUUGUGUUCCGAGGCCAUGUCUGUACAUGCUAGGCUCGUCAAGUUAACCCUAAGUGUUUUGCAUGUGUAAAACUGUCUUACACCCGUUGUAUGUGAAUGUAAGGAUCUAUCACACCCGAUCAUCACGUGAUGCUUCGAAAUGACGAACUUUAGCAACGGUGCACAGUUAGGGGGAACACUUUCUUGAAAUUAUUAUAAGGGAUCAUCUUAUUUACUACCGCCGUUCUAAGUAAACAAGAUGCAUAAAACAUAAUAAACAUCACAUGCAAUUAUAUAAAGUAGUGACAUGAUAUGGCCAAUAUCAUAUAGCUCCUUCGAUCUCCAUCUUCGGGGCUCCAUGAUCAUCUUCGUCACCGGCAUGACACCAUGAUCUCCAUCAUCAUGAUCUCCAUCAUCGUGCCUCCAUGAAGUUGCUCGCCAACUAUUACUUCUACUACUAUAGCUAACGGUUUAGCAAUAAUGUAAAGUAAUUACAUGGCGUUAAAUCAUUGACACGCAGGUCAUACAAUAAUUAAGACAACUCCUAUGGCUCCUGCCGGUUGUCAUACUCAUCGACAUGCAAGUCGUGAUUCCUAUUACAAGAACAUGAUCUCAUACAUCACAAUAUAUCAUUCAUCAUUCAUCACAACUUCUGGCCAUAUCACAUCACAUGACAAUUGCUGCAAAAACAAGUUAGACGUCCUCUAAUUGUUGUUGCAUCUUUUACGUGGCUGCAAUUGGGUUCUAGCAAGAACGUUUUCUUACCUACGAAUAACCACAACGUGAUUUUGCCAACUUCUAUUUACCCUUCAUAAGGACCCUUUUCAUCGAAUCCGCUCCAACUAAAGUAGGAGAGACAGACACCCGCUAGCCACCUUAUGCAACUAGUGCAUGUCAGUCGGUGGAACCUGUCUCACGUAAGCGUACGUGUAAGGUCGGUCCGGGCCGCUUCAUCCCACAAUACCGCUGAAGCAAAAAAAGACUAGUAGUGGCAAGCAAGUUGACAAGAUCUACGCCCACAACAAAUUUGUGUUCUACUCGUGCAAUAGAGAACUACGCAUAGACCUAGCUCAUGAUGCCACUGUUUGGGAAUGUUGCAUGAAAUAAAAACAUUUCCUACGUUCACCAAGAUCCAUCUAUGAGUUCAUCUAGCAACGAGAGAGAGAGGUGCAUCUACAUACCCUUGUAGAUCACGUGCGGAAGCGUUCAAGAGAACGGGGUUGAGGUAGUCAUUCUCGUCGUGAUCCUAUCACCGGAGAUCCUAGCACCGAACGAACGGCACCUCCGCGUUCACCACACGUACGGUCAGCGUGACGUCUCCUCCAUCUUGAUCCAGCAAGGGGGAAGGAGAGGUUGAUGAAGAUCCAGCAGCACGACGGCGUGGUGGUGGAUGCAGCAGGACUCCGGCAGGGCUUCGCCAAGCAACUGCAGGAGGAGGAAGAGGUGUAGCAGGGGGAGGGAGGCACCAAGACUUAGGGUGCGGCUGCCCUCCCUCCCCCUCCUUUAUAUAGGCCCCCUGGGGGGGCGGCCCUGGAGAUGGGAAUCUCCCAAGGGGGCGGCGGUUAGGGGGGGUGGAGUGCCCCCCAAGGCAAGUGGCGCGCUCCCACCCUAGGCGCAGGAGGGCCCAAGGGGGGGCGCACCAGCCCACUAGGGGCUAGUUCCCCUCCCACUUCAGCCCACGGGGCCCUCCGGGAUAGGUGGCCCCACCCGGUGGACCCCCGGGACCCUUCCAGUGGUCCCGGUACAAUACCGGGUGACCCCGAAACUUUCCCGAUGGCCGAAACAGCACUUCCUAUAUAUAAUUCUUUACCUCCGGACCAUUUUGGAACUCCUCGUGACGUCCGAGAUCUCACCCGGGACUCCGAACAACAUUUGUUUUGCUGCAUACUCAUAUUCAUACAACCCUAGCGUCACCGAACCUUAAGUGUGUAGACCCUACGGGUUCGGGAGACAUGCAGACAUGACCGAGACGGCUCUCCGGUCAAUAACCAACAGCGGGAUCUGGAUACCCAUGUUGGCUCCCACAUACUCCUCGAUGAUUUCAUCGGAUGAACCACGAUGUCGAGGAUUCAAGCAACACCGUAUACUAUUCCCUUUGUCAGACAGUAUGUUACUUGCCCGAGAUUCGAUCAUCAGUAUCCCAAUACCUCGUUCAAUCUCGUUGCCGGCAAGUCACUUUACUCGUACCGUAAUGCAUGAUCCCGUGACCAGACACUUGGUCACUUUGAGCUCAUUAUGAUGAUGCACUACCGAGUGGGCCCAGUGAUUACCUCUCCGUUAUACGGAGUGACAAAUCCCAGUCUCGAUCCGUGUCAACCCAACAGACACUUUUGGAGAUACCUGUAGUGCACCUUUAUAGUCACCCAGUUACGUUGUGACGUUUGGUACACCCAAAGCACUCCUACGGUAUCCGGGAGUUACACGAUCUCAUGGUCUAAGGAAGAUAUACUUGACAUUGGAAAAGCUCUAGCAAAAUGAACUACACGAUCUUGUGCUAUGCUUACGAUUGGGUCUUGUCCAUCACAUCAUUCUCCCAAUGAUGUGAUCCCGUUAUCAACGACAUCCAAUGUCCAUAGUCAGGAAACCAUGACUAUCUGUUGAUCAACGAGCUAGUCAACUAGAGGCUCACUAGGGACAUGUUGUGGUCUAAGUAUUCACACGUGUAUUGCGAUUUCCGGAUAAUACAAUUAUAGCAUGAAUAAAAGACAACUAUCAUGAACAAAGAAAUAUAAUAAUAAUCCUUUUAUUAUUGCCUCUAGGGCAUAUUUCCAACAAUUGUAAGCCUAUAUUUAGAUAUCGGAAUCGUUCCGGGUGAAAUCGAGAUUUUACCGGAGUACCGGGGGGUUACCGGAACCCCCCCCCCCGGGGGUUAAUGGGCCUACAUGGGCCAUAAGGGAGAAGAGGAGGGCCGGCCAGGGCAGGCCGCUCCCCCCUCCCCCCUAGUCCGAAUAGGACAAGGAAGGGGGGGCGGCGCCCCCCUUUCCUCUUUCCCCCUUCCCCCUUCCUUCUCCAACAAGGCAAGAGGGAGGAGUCCUACUCCCGAUGGGAGUAGGACUACUCCAGGCGCACCCCUAGGGGGGCGGUCGCACCUCCCCCGCCCUCAUUUAUAUACGAGGGCAGGGGAACACCCCUAGACACACAAGUUAAUCUUCGUGAUUGUUCCUUAGCCAUGUGCGGUGCCCCCCUCCACCAUAUUCCACCUCGGUCAUAUCGUUGCGGUGCUUAGGCGAAGCCCUACGUCGGUAGAACAUCAUCAUCGUCACCAUGCCGUCGUGCUGACGGAACUCAUCCCCGACACCCUGCUGGAUCGGAGUCCGGGGAUCGUCAUCGAGCUGAACGUGUGCUGAACUCGGAGGUGCCGUACGUUCGGUGCUUGAAUCAGUCGGAUCGUGAACGUACGACUACAUCAACCGUGUUGUCAUAACGCUUCCGCUUUCGGUCUACGAGGGUACGUGGACACACUCUCCUCUCCCGUUGCUAUGCAUCACCAUGAUCUUGCGUGUGCGUAGGAAAAUUUUGAAAUUACUACGUUCCCCAAUAGUGGUAUCAGAGCCUAGGAUUUAUGCGUUUAUGUUAUAUGCAUGAGUAGAACACAAGUGAGUUAUGGGCGAUACAAGUCAUACUGCUUACCAGUAUGUCAUACUUUGGUUCGGCGGUAUUGUUGGUGAAGGAAAUCUGCCCUAGAGGCAAUAAUAAAGUUAUUAUUUAUUUUCUUAUUUCAUGAUAAAUGUUUAUUAUUCAUGCUAGAAUUGUAUUAACCGGAAACAUAAUACAUGUGUGAAUACAUAGACAAACAUAGUGUCACUAGUAUGCCUCUACUUGACUAGCUCGUGAAUCAAAGAUGGUUAAGUUUCCUAGCCAUGGACAAAAGAGUUGUCAUUUGAUUAACGGGAUCACAUCAUUAGGAGAAUGAUGUGAUUGACAUGACCCAUUCCGUUAGCCUAGCACUUGAUCGUUUAGUAUGUUGCUAUUGCUUUCUUCAUGACUUAUACAUGUUCCUGUAACUAUGAGAUUAUGCAACUCCCGUUUACCGGAGGAACACUUUGGGUGCUACCAAACGUCACAACGUAUCUGGGUGAUUAUAAAGGAGUACUACAGGUGUCUCCAAAGGUACAUGUUGGGUUGGCGUAUUUCGAGAUUAGGUUUUGUCACUCCGAUUGUCGGAGAGGUAUUUCUGGGCCCUCUCGGUAAUGCACAUCACUAUAAGCCUUGCAAGCAAUGUAGCUAAUGAGUUAGUUACGGAAUGAUGCAUUACGUAAUGAGUAAAGAGACUUGCCGGUAACUAGAUUGAACUAGGUAUUGGAUACCGACGAUCGAAUCUCGGGCAAGUAACAUACCGAUGACAAAGGGAACAAAGUAUGUUGUUAUGCGGUUUGACCGAUAAAGAUCUUCGUAGAAUAUGUAGGAGCCAAUAUGGGCAUCCAGGUUCCGCUAUUGGUUAUUGACCAAGAAUAGUUCUAGGUCAUGUCUACAUAGUUCUCGAACCCGUAGGGUCCGCACGCUUAAGGUUUUGAUGACAGUUAUAUUAUGAGUUUAUGAGUUUUGAUGUACCAAAGGAGUUCGGAGUCCCGGAUGAGAUCGGGGACAUGACGAGGAGUCUCGAAAUGGUCGAGACGUAAAAAUCGAUAUAUUGGACGACUAUAUUCGGAGUUCGGAAAGGUUCCGAGUGAUUCGGGUAUUUUUCGGAGUACCGGGGAGUUACGGGAAUACGGGGAAGAGUAUUGGGCCAUAAUGGGCCUUAGUGGGAAGGAGCCAGGAGGUGGCGCGCGCCCCUCCCAAGCCCAGUCCGAAUUGGACAAAGGGUUUGGGGCGCGGCCCCCCUCUCCCUUCCUUCUCCACUUCCCUCCUUUCCCCCCUUCUCCUAGUUGGACUAGGAAAGAAGGAGUCCUACUCCCGGUGGGAGUAGGACUCCCCUUGGCGCGCCCUCCUCCUAGGGCCGGCCUCCUCCUCCCUUGCUCCUUUAUAUACGGGGGCAGGGGGCACCCCAUGACACACAAGUUGAUCUACGGAUCGUUCCUUAGCCGUGUGCGGUGCCCCCCUCCACCAUAUUCCACCUCGGUCAUAUCGUCGCGGAGUUUAGGCGAAGCCCUGCGUCGGUAGAACAUCAUCAUCGUCACCACGCCGUCGUGCUGACGGAACUCAUCCUUGAAGCUUUGCUGGAUCGGAGCCCGGGGAUCGUCAUCGAGCUGAACGUGUGCUGAACUCGAAGGUGCCGUACGUUCGGUGCUUGGAUCGGUCGGAUCGUGAAGACGUACGACUACAUCAACCGCGUUGUGCUAAUGCUUCCGCUUACGCUCUACGAGGGUACGUGGACAACACUCUCCCCUCUCGUUGCCAUGCCAUCACCAUGAUCUUGUGUGUGCGUAGGAAUUUUUUUGAAAUUACUAUGUUCCCCUACAGUUGGAUGAUGCGGCCCAGACCGACAUUACGCGUACGCUUACGCGAGACUGGUUUUACCGUCGUGCUUCCCACACAGGUGACUAGCGGGUGUCUGUUUCUCCAACUUUAGUUGAACCGAGUGUGACUACGCCCGGUCCUUGCGAAGGUUAAAACAGCACCAACUUGACGAACUAUCGUUGUGGUUUUGAUGCGUAGGUAAGAAUGGUUCUUGCUCAGCCCGUAGCAGCCACAUAAAAUUUGCAACAACAAAGUAGAGGACGUCUAACUUGUUUUUGCAGGACAUGUUGUGAUGUGAUAUGGUCAAGACGUGAUGCUAUAUUUUAUUGUAUGAGAUGAUCAUGUUUUGUAAUCGAAGUUAUCGACAACUGGCAGGAGCCAUAUGGUUGUCGCUUUAUUGUAUGAAAUGCAAACGCCCUGUAAUUGUUUUACUUUAUCACUAAGCGGUAGCGAUAGUCAUAGAAGCAAUAGAUGGCGUAACGACAACGAUGCUACGAUGGAGAUCAAGGUGUCGCGCCGGUGACGAUGGUGAUCAUGACGGUGCUUCGGAGAUGGAGAUCACAAGCACAAGAUGAUGAUGGCCAUAUCAUAUCACUUAUAUUGAUUGCAUGUGAUGUUUAUCCUUUAUGCAUCUUAUCUUGCUUUGAUUGACGGUAGCAUUUUAAGAUGAUCUCUCACUAAAUUAUCAAGAAGUGUUCUCCCUGAGUAUGCACCAUUGCGAAAGUUCUUCGUGCUGAGACACCACGUGAUGAUCGGGUGUGAUAGGCUCUACGUUCAAAUACAACGGGUGCAAAACCAUUGCACACGUGGAAUACUCAGGUUAAACUUGAGGAGCCUAGCAUAUACAGAUAUGGCCUCGAAACAUGGAGACCGAAAGGUCGAACGUGAAUCAUAUAGUAGAUAUGAUCAACGUAGUGAUGUUCACCAUUGAAACUACUCCAUCUCACGUGAUGAUCGGACAUGGUUUAGUUGAUUUGGAUCACGUGAUCACUUAGAUGACUAGAGAGAUGUCUGUCUAAGUGGGAGUUCUUAAGUAAUAUGAUUAAUUGAACUUAAAUUUAUCAUGAACUUAGUACCUGAUAGUAUUUUGCUUGUCUAUCUUUGUUGUAAAUAGAUGGCUCGUGCUGUUGUUUCAUUGAAUUUUAAUGCGUUCCUUGAGAAAGCUAAGUUGAAAGAUGAUGCUAGCAAUUACACGGACUAGGUCCGUAACCUGAGUAUUAUCCUCAUUGCUGCACAGAAGAAUUACAUCCUGGAAGCACCACUGGGUGCCAGGCCUGCUGCAGAUGCAACUGACGAUGUUAAGAACGUCUGGCAGAGCAAAGUUGAUGACUACUCAAUAGUUCAGUGUGCCAUGCUUUACGGCUUGGAACCGGGUCUUCAACGACGUUUUGAACGUCAUGGAGCAUAUGAGAUGUUCCAGGAGUUGAAGCUAAUAUUUCAAGCAAAUGCCCGGAUUGAGAGAUAUGAAGUCUCCAAUAAGUUCUAUAGCUGUAAGAUGGAGGAGAAUAGUUCUGUCAGUGAACACAUACUCAAAAUGUCUGGGUAUAAUAAUCACUUGAUUCAACUGGGAGUUAAUCUUCCUGAUGAUAGUGUCAUUGACAGAAUUCUUCAAUCACUGCCACCAAGCUACAAGAGCUUCGUGAUGAACUAUAAUAUGCAAGGGAUGGACAAGACUAUUCCCGAGCUCUUUGCAAUGCUAAAGGCUGCGGAUGUAGAAAUCAAGAAGGAGCAUCAAGUGUUGAUGGUCAAUAAGACCACCAGUUUUAAGAAAAAGGGCAAAGGGAAGAAGAAGGGGAACUUCAAGAAGAACAGCAAACAAGUUGUUGCUCAAGAGAAGAAACCCAAGUCUGGACCUAAGCCUGAGACUGAGUGCUUCUACUGCAAGUAGACUGGACACUGGAAGCGGAACUGCCCCAAGUAUUUGGCGGAUAACAAGGAUGGCAAAGUGAACAAAGGUAUAUGUGAUAUACAUGUUAUUGAUGUGUACCUUACUAAUGCUCGCAGUAGUACCUAGGUAUUUGAUACUGGUUUUGUUGCUAAUAUUUGCAACUCAAAACAGGGACUACGGAUUAGGCGAAGAUUGGCUAAGGACGAGGUGACGAUGCGCGUGGGAAAUGGUUCCAAAGUCGAUAUGAUUGCGGUCGGCACGCUACCUCUACAUCUACCAUCAGGAUUAGUUUUAGACCUAAAUAAUUGUUAUUUGGUGCCAGCGUUGAGCAUGAACAUUAUAUCUGGAUCUUGUUUGAUGCAAGACGGUUAUUCAUUUAAAUCAGAGAAUAAUGGUUGUUCUAUUUAUAUGAGUAAUAUCUUUUAUGGUCAUGCACACUUACAGUGUGGUCUAUUUUUUUUAAAUCUCGAUAGUAGUGAUACACAUAUUCAUAAUGUUGAAACCAAAAGAUGCAGAGUUGAUAAUGAUAGUGCGACUUAUUUGUGGCACUGCCGUUUAGGUCAUAUCGGUGUAAAGCGCAUGAAGAAACUCCAUACUGAUGGACUUUUGGAAUCACUUGAUUAUGAAUCACUUGGUACUUGCGAACCGUGCCUCAUGGGCAAGAUGACUAAAACGUUCUCCGGAACUAUGGAGCGAGCAACUGAUUUGUUGGAAAUCAUACAUACUGAUGUAUGUGGUCCAAUGAAUAUUGAGGCUCGCGGCGGGUAUCGUUAUUUUCUCACCUUCACAGAUGAUUUGAGCAUAUAUGGCUAUAUCUACUUGAUGAAAUACAGGUCUGAAACAUUUGAAAAGUUCAAAGAAUUUCAGAGUGAAGUGGAAAAUCAUCGUAACAAGAAAAUAAAAUUUCUACGAUCUGAUCAUGGAGGAGAAUAUUUGAGUUACAGUUUGGUUUACAUUUGAAACAAUGCGGAAUAGUUUCGCAACUCACUCCACCCGGAACACCACAACGAAAUGGUGUGUCCGAACAUUGUAAUCGUACUUUACUAGAUAUGGUAUGAUCUAUGAUGUCUCUUACUGAUUUACCGCUAUCGUUUUGGGGUUAUGCUUUAGAGAUGGCCGUAUUCACGUUAAAUAGGACACCAUCAAAAUCCGUUGAGACGACGCCUUAUGAACUGUGGUUUGGCAAGAAACCAAAGUUGUCGUUUCUUAAAGUUUGGGGCUGCGAUGUGAAGAAACUUCAACCAGAUAAGCUCGAACCCAAAUCAGAGAAAUGUGUCUUCAUUGGAUACCCAAAAGAGACUAUUGGGUACACCUUCUAUCACAGAUCUGAGGGCAAGAUUUUCGUUGCUAAAUUCGGAUCCUUUUUAGAGAAGGAGUUUCUCUUGAAAGAAGUGAGUGGGAGGAAAGUAGAACUUGAUGAGAUAACUAUACCUGCUCCCUUAUUGGAAAGUAGUUCAUCACAAGAACCGGUUCCUGUGACAACUACACCAAUUAGUGAAGAAGCUAAUGAUAUUGAUCAUGAAACUUCAGAUCAAGUUUCUACUGAACCUCGUAGGUCUACCAGAGUAAGAUUCGCACCAGAGUGGUACGGUAAUCCUAUUCUGGAAGUCAUGUUACUUGACCAUGGCGAACCUACGAACUAUGAGGAAGCGAUGAUGAGCCCAGAUUCCACAAAAUGGCUUGAAGCCAUGAAAUCAGAGAUAUGAUCCAUGUAUGAGAACAAAAUAUGGACUUUUGUUGACUUGCCCGAUGAUCGGCAAGCCAUUGAGAAUAAAUGGAUCUUCAAGAAGAAGACUGAUGCUGAUGGUAAUAUAACUAUCUACAAAGCUCGACUUGUUGCAAAAGGUUUUCGACAAGUUCAAGGGGUUGACUACGAUGAGACUUUCUCACCCAUAGCGAUGCUUAAGUCUGUCCGAAUAAUGUUAGCAAUUGCCGCAUUUUAUGAUUAUGAAAUUUGGCAAAUGGAUGUAAAAACUGCAUUCCUGAAUGGUUUUCUGGAAGAAGAGUUGUAUAUGAUGCAACCGGAAGGUUUUAUCGAUCCAAAAGGUGCUAACAAAGUGUGCAAGCUCCAGCGAUCCAUUUAUGGACUGGUGCAAGCAUCUCGGAGUUGGAAUAUACGCUUUGAUAGUGUGAUCAAAGCAUAUGGUUUUAUACAGACUUUUGGAGAAGCCUGUAUUUACAAGAAAGUGAGUGGGAGCUCGGUAGCAUUUCUGAUAUUAUAUGUAGAUGACAUAUUGUUAAUUGGAAAUGAUAUAGAAUUUCUGGAUAGCAUAAAGGGAUACUUGAAUAAAAGUUUUUCAAUGAAAGACCUCGGUGAAGCUGCUUACAUAUUAGGCAUCAAGAUCUAUAGAGAUAGAUCAAGACGCUUAAUUGGACUUUCACAAAGCACAUACCUUGAUAAAGUUUUGAAAAAGUUCAAAAUGGAUCAGGCUAAGAAAGGGUUCUUUCCUGUAUUGCAAGGUGUGAAGUUGAGUCAGACUCAAUGCCCGACCAUAGCAGAAGAUAGAGAGAAAAUGAAAGAUGUUCCCUAUGCUUCAGCCAUAGGCUCUAUCAUGUAUGCAACGCUGUGUACCAGACCUGAUGUAUGCUUAGCAAUAAGUUUAGCAGGGAGGUACCAAAGUAAUCCAGGAGUGGAUCACUGGACAGCGGUCAAGAACAUCCUGAAAUACCUGAAAAGGACUAAGGAUAUGUUUCUCGUUUAUGGAGGUGACAAAGAGCUAGUCGUAAAUGGUUACGUCGAUGCAAGCUUUGACACUGAUCCGGACGAUUCUAAAUCGCAAACCAGAUACGUGUUUUUAUUAAAUGGUGGAGCUGUAAGUUGGUGCAGUUCUAAACAAAGCGUCGUGGCAGGAUCUACAUGUGAAGCGAAAUACAUAGCUGCUUCGGAAGUAGCAAAUGAAGGAGUCUGGAUGAAGGAGUUCAUUUCCGAUCUAGGUGUCAUACCUAGUGCAUCAGGACCAAUGAAGAUCUUUUGUGACAAUACUGGUGCAAUUGCCUUGGCAAAGGAAUCCAGAUUUCACAAGAGGACCAAGCACAUCAAGAGACGCUUCAAUUCCAUCCGGGACCAAGUCCAGGUGGGAGACAUAGAGAUUUGCAAGAUACAUACGGAUCUGAAUGUAGCAUACCAGUUGACAACACCAAGACUCCAUCGGUGUUAGAAUCAUUACUGUGUAAUCUAGAUUAUUGACUCUAGUGCAAGUGGGACACUGAAGGAAGUAUGCCCUAGAGGCAAUAAUAAAGUUAUUAUUUAUUUCUUCAUAUCAUGAUAAAUGUUUAUUAUUCAUGCUAGAAUUGUAUUAACCAGAAACAUGAUACAUGUGUGAAUACAUAGACAAACUUAAUGUCACUAGUAUGCCUCUACUUGACUGGCUCAUUAAUCAAAGAUGGUUAUGUUUCCUAACCAUAGACAUGUGUUGUCAUUUGAUUAAAGAGAUCACAUCAUUAGGAGAAUGAUGUGAUUGACUUGACCGAUUCUGUUAGCCUAGCACUUGAUCGUUUAGUAUGUUGCUAUUGCUUUCUUCAUGACUUAUACAAAGUUCCUACAACUAUGAGAUUAUGAAACUCCCAUUUACCGGAGGAACACUUUGUGUGCUACCAAAUGUCACAACGUAACUGGGUGAUUAUAAAGGAGCUCUACAAGUGUCUCCAAAGGUAGAUGUUGAGUUGGCGUAUUUCGAGAUUAGGUUUUGUCACUCCGAUUGUCGGAGAGGUAUCUCUGGGCCCUCUCGGUAAUGCACAUCACUAUAAGCCUUGCAAGUAAUGUGACCAAUGAGUUGGUUACGGAAUGAUGCAUUACAUAACAAGUAAAGAGACUUGCCGGUAACGAUAUUGAACUAGGUAUUGGAUACUGACAAUUGAAUCUCGGGCAAGUAACAUACCGAUGACAAAGGGAACAACAUAUGUUGUUAUGCGGUUUGACCGAUAAAGAUCUUCGUAGAAUAUGUAGGAGCCAAUAUGAGCAUCUAGGUUCCGCUAUUGGUUAUUGAUCAGAAAAAGUUCUAGGUCAUGUCUACAUAGUUCUCGAACCCGUAGGGUCCGCACGCUUAACGUUACGAUGAUAGUUUUAUUAUGAGUUUAUAAGUUUUGAUGUACCGAAGGUUGUUCGGAGUCCCGGAUGUGAUCACGGACAUGACGAGGAGUCUCGAAAUUGUGAAGACAUAGAGAUUGAUAUGUUGGAAGCCUAUAUUUGGAUAUCGGAAUCGUUCCGGGUGAAAUUGGGAUUUUACCGGAGUACCCGGGGUUACCGGAACCCCCCCGGGGGUUAAUGGGCCUACAUGGGCCAUAAGGGAGAAGAGGAGGGCCGGCCAGGGCAGGCCGCGCGCCCCCUCCCCAUAGUACGAAUAGGACAAGGAGGGGGGGGGGCGCCCCCCUUUCCUCUUUCCCCCUUCCCCAUUCCUUCUCCAACAAGGCAAGAGGGGGGGAGUCCUACUCCCGGUGGGAGUAGGACUCCUCCAGGCGCACCCCUAGGGGGCCGGCCGCACCUCCCCCUUCCUCCUUUAUAUACGGGGGCAGGGGGCACCUCUAGACACACAAGUUGAUCUUCGUGAUCGUUCCUUAGCCAUGUGCGGUGCCCCCCUCCACCAUAUUCCACCUCGGUCAUAUUGUUGUGGUGCUUAGGCGAAGCCCUGCGUCGGUAGAACAUCGUCAUCGUCACCACGCCGCCGUGCUGACGGAACUCAUCCCCGACACCCUGCUGGAUCGGAGUCCGGGGAUCGUCAUCGAGCUGAACAUGUGCUGAACUCGGAGGUGACGUACGUUCGGUGCUUGGAUUGGUCGGAUCGUGAAGACGUACGACUACAUCAACCGCGUCGUCAUAACGCUUCCGCUUUCGGUCUACGAGGGUACGUGGACACACUCUCCCCUCUCGUUGCUAUGCAUCACCAUGAUCUUGCGUGUGCAUAGGAAAAUUUUGAAAUUACUAUGUUCCCCAACAUUCACAUCCAAACAAUUGCUUAUAAGCCUCUUGUUCCUCCUUGGCUCUACCAAAGCAGAACAACUCGCUUUUAUGAAAGUUAAUCUUUAAUCCGGUCAAUUGUUCAAAUAAGCAUAACACCAGCUUCAUAUUUCUUGCUUUUGCCAAGUCAUGCUCCAUAAAGAUGAUUGUAUCAUCAGCGUACUGCAGAAUGGACACACCCCCAUCAACUAGAUGAGGCACCAAGCCACCCACCUGACCGGCCUCCUUUGCCCUUCCUAUGAGAAUUGCCAACAUGUCAACCACAAUGUUGUACACAAUAGGAGACAUUGGAUCACCUUGCCUUAGGCCUUUGUGUGUCUGGAAAUAAUGACCUAUAUCGUCAUUCACUUUAAUUCCAACACUCCCUUUUUUGCGUGAAGGAUUCUACCUGGCGUCGCCAAGCUUCAUCAAAACCCUUCAUGCGAAAGGCCUGUUGAAGGAAGGGCCAUUUGACUUUGUAGUAUGCUUUCUCGAAAUCCACUUUGAAAACAACCCCAUCUAGCUUUUUCGUGUGGAUCUCAUGGAGCGUUUCAUGAAGGACCACAACCCCUUCAAGGAUGUUCAUGUCCGACAUGAAAGUAGUUUGGGUAGGCUGCACCACAGCAUGCGCGAUCUGUGUGAGCCUAUUAGUCCCGACCUUGGUAAAGAUUUUGAAACUUACAUUAAGAAGAUAAAUGGGCCUGAAUUGCUCAAUUCUCACAGCCUCUGUUUUCUUAGGAAGAAGGGUUAUCGUUCCAAAAUUCAGCUGAAAAAGCUGAAGCUGCCCAGAGAAGAGAUCAUUGAACAAAGGCAACAAAUUCCCUUUAAUAAUAUGCCAACACUUUUUAUAAAACUCCGCUAGAAAUCCAUCGGGGCUCGGUGCCUUGUUAUUUUUCAUUUGCGAUAUGGCCUCAAACACCUCUUUCUCAGAAAAAGGAGCCGCUAGAAUGUCAUUCUCCACCGCUGUGAGUUGAGGAACAUCCUCAACCCUAGACUCAUCCAGAGACACACAGUUAUCCUCUGGAGGACCAAACAGCUGCUUGUAAUACUUUGUAAUGUACAGUUUUAGGUUUUCCUGCCCUAAAAUUGUUCCUUCAUCUUGCUCAAGCUGAAAGAUCCUCUUCUUUCUAUGUUUACCAUUAGUGAUCAUGUGAAAGAAUUGAGUGUUCGCAUCCCCCUGGACUACUCGCCGGACCUUGGCCCGCAACGCCCACUUCAAUUCCUCUUCUCGAAGAAGUUCUUUCAGCCUCAUCUCCGCGUCAAGCUUGGCAUAAAGCUCCGCGGCCGGCAGCACCAUGGUUUCUGCUUUUACAUCUAGGGACUGAAUAAGGGAAAGGAUCCUUUCCUUUUUGGCCUUAUAAAUCCCGCUAAGAUGCUUAGCCCACCCACGCAGGAAACUUCUCAAAUGCCUAAUCUUAUUCUGCCAGCGCUGAAGCGCAGUCUUCCCUCCUGAAUCCUUAGCCCACUCUCUGGCUACAAGAUCAAAGAAACCUUCUCAUUCAAACCAAGCCAGCUCAAAGGAGAACGAGUUUUUGUUUCCCAGGUGGGUGGCCUCACCAGAGUCCACAAAUAACGGCGUGUGAUCAGAAAUUCCACGGGACAAAGCCUGAACUGUUACUAACGGAAACUCCUGUUCCCAAUUGACACUAGCCAACACUCGAUCCAACUUCUCAUACAUCGGAUUUGGCAGCGCGUUAGCCUAGGUGAAAUUUCUACCCGAGAGCUCAAUCUCUCUCAGGUCAAGACUUUCAAUGAUAGUAUUAAACAUGAACGACCAUCUGCCAUCAAAGUUAUCAUUGUUCUUAUCUCACGCUGUCUAAUGAUAUUGAAAUCACCCCCCACCAGGAUAGGAAGCUACUCGGAGCCGCAAAUCCUAACGAGAUCAGCCAAGAACUCGGGCUUGAGUUCGGGCUGAGCGGCACCAUAUACCGCAACCAAAGCCCAAUUAAACCCAUCGUCCUUCAAAUGUACCCGAAACUUGACUGCAAAGUCACCCAUUACCACACUUCGAACCUCGAGCGCUUCACAUCGAACGCCGAGUAAGAUCCCACCCGAUCUCCUUCUCGGUGGUAGGCAAUGCCAAUCAAAAUCAAUACCUCCCGAUAAAGUAUUUAGAAAUUGUUGCGCAAAAUUAUCUCUACCGGUCUCUGAUAGAGCGAUAAAAUCUAAACGAUGCUCGACAGACGCCUCAGCAAGAAACCUUCUUGUAGCCAAGUCCUUUAGACCUCUGCUAUUCCAAAAGAUUCCUUUCAUAGUUCAUCAUGGAAUUUUUUAGCCGUACGAAUCCUAGCACUCCUACGCACUGCAGACACCGGGUACACCUUCCGUUUCCACUUGCGUUUAGAGACAAUUUGACCCUGUAACCGGUCCUCACAAUCAGUCUCAGAAGGUCUAGCCAUAACCAUCUCAGAAGUAUCAUCCUCCUCUUUCGCCUCGGGUAUGGGAGGAAUAAGAUCCGCACAAAAAUUAUCGAGCACCCUGACCCCCAAAGCAUCAACCUCAGAAUCACUCAUGGGCUUAACCGCCGCUAUAUUACGAAUCAUCUCUAAGGCCCGCUCAGCCUCUAGAUCCAGAAGAUCAUUAACAUAAUUAGAGAUUUCAGUAACAUUAUUACCUAGUGAAACUCCUAAUUGAUUUGCAUUUUCAACAAUCUCAUCAUUAGAAAAAUGCAGAAUGGAAUUAGAAGUAUUAACCGGCAUACCAGUAGUGACCUCAAUGUCACGGAGCUUGGCCGCCCUCAUGGCGCACCAUUGCUGAAUGUCGUCCACAUCUGGCUGAGUCUGGAGACGGCCACUCACCCGUCGCCCCUCAGACAUCGGAUCCUGAAUCCCUCCAAACACUAUAACCUCCUCCCGAGAGAUCCUGGUCGGGGUAGGGCCUCCUGCCUCACCCCAUCUGCUAGGUCGGUCCGCCUGCACGGACUCCCCAGCAGACUCGCCAGGAAGUGGAAAGGCACUCACCAUGGCCUCAGACGUCUGGGCGCCCCACAGGGCGGAGCCGGUGGUGAACGGGGGGAAGGGAGUGCAUGGGCCACCUGCCCGAACUCCCCACCUAGCACCGGAGAGGCCACCACCAUAGGCGCCUCAGGAGAAGAGGGCUCCGAGGCCACCUGCCCCGAGCCUCCUCCCGAUGGCACAGUCGCCACCAGCAGAGAGGUAGACGCGACGGGAGAGGAGGUGUCCGAGGCCACCUGCCCCAGACCCCCUCCCAACGUAGAGAAGGACACGGGUGCCACCUGCCCCGAAUCUCCUACCUCAGCAGGAGAAGAGCAACUCAAGGCCGCCUGCCCCGGGACCCCUCCCGACAAACCGACCACAAACACCGGCGCCACGUCCUGAGGAGGGACAGCGUGCUGAGCACGAGAGGGAGUGGCCACCUACCGACUCACCUCCUCCUCUCCCUAGACCGAGACCGACGAAGCCCCAGGAACCCCAGGAAUAGUACACACCGUAUCCUCAAAAACCAAAGCAGGCAACGCGAGCUCAAAAGUCUCCUCGGACUCCACCCGAUCACUCCACAGUCUCGGGGAUGCAGAAGCGGGUUUGAAGGACCCAAAUCUCAGAGUUGUCGUAGGCACCGAGGAGAGUGGAGCCGCCCCAUCCCCGGUCGUCGCAGACUCGGACCCCGGUCCUUUGGACAGCUGUCGUCCAAAGUCAUCGACCGGCGGCUCCUUUGCUCCCACGCUGCCAUCACCCUCGUGCAUAUCCACAUCAGACCCGUGAGCCGCCGCAGCCAAAAGGCUCUCAUCCUCAAACUCAAUAACCAGAUUAUAAAUCCUGCCUCGAUAAGCCCACUUAACAACUUUAUAUCCAGGUGUACGAGGUCGAUGUCGGAAAAAAUUCAGGUGUUGUGACAUCUUUAUAUCCAAGAAAGUACGUAGCAAAUACUGUGCCUCGUUUGUCUUUGAGCUGGCUGUUGUUCGUACCGAACAUGAACGACUGAUAGGGGGAUCACUUCUUGGUGGCGUCGAAGAAAAGGAUUGCUGUGUUGGUCAGUGGCAGCGGGGCUAGCAAUGCCCAGUUUUGCACAUACUCUGUUGCUUGCACCUGGAAAUAACAUAAACUGGCAUCGAGCGAUCUGCUGUUUGGAGUGACCACGGCGACAAAUUUCUUGACAGGGAGUCCAAUAUCUCCAGCGGCACAUACCCAAUUCGUCCUUCUGCAUUGGCAACCAUCAUAGUCUGUGUUCUGUCCGGUGACAAUGUCACCCUGAUUUUUUAGGAAAGCAAACUCCGCAAACACGAACUAAAUAGAAGCAUCAGAUGCUAGUUUAUUAAAUGUGUUGUCACCUUAUUACAAUCUCUAGGACCUCUCCAGUAUAUAACUUGCAAAAUUCAGAAUAAGGAAAGUUGGUGCAUCUCAGAAUAAAACUCCUCCCAGCGUGAGGUCCAGUCUUGUAAGUUGUAACUGAAGCUCUAGGUUCAGGGUAUCAUCAAUUAGACUAGCAUAGCAAAAUUAACAUAGAACCCCAAUGUAUAUACUCGAAGGAACUCUUAUCUGGUCAGUCCAACAGCUGAGUAAUGUAACCUUCUUUUUUUUUGCAUGGUAAUACGUGUCUCAUUUAUAGCAUAAGGAUCAUAGUACAAGCCACGUUUCCUUUCAGCUGGCCAAGCUUUCAGUUCCAAAGUGAGCUACUGGCUUAGACACGUACACAUAUACGGUACCAUGUUGUACAAAUCUGAAGCACCCACCCAUUGCUUUGACAGACACAUUGGCACAACUCAUCUUGCGGCGGUGUUCCUACAAGUCAGCACAAAGAUUUGACCAUGGAUGAACUUCAUAUGAAAAACACACUAGUUUUUUCUCUUCUUUUUUUUGCGGGUAAAAACGCACUAGUUUGUGGACAACAAGAUUGCAUUCUCUCAUACAUAACUACUCUCUCCGUCCCAUAAUGUAAGACGUUUUUGAAACUUGUCAAAAACGUCUUACAUUAUGGGAAGGAGGGAGUACUACUACUACAUAAUCUGAAAAACAUCAAAAUUAACCAGAGAGGAGAGAACUGAAUAUAUCUUCUAAGACUGCGCACAUCUCCCUCUGUCAGUUUGGAUCAUUAUCAGCACAUACUCUUGCCUUGUUCUUCCCUUCUUGGGUCCUCGGGGCUCUUGCAGACCUAGUCGAUAUCGCCGAUCCCUUGAUGCAAUUGCUCCUUGUGCCACACCUGGCGCUUACCGUCGAUGGGCAUCACAAAGCACGUCGUCUUCCGGCCCCAAUACACUCCGGUGGUGCUCCCCCGCACGGCCAUGCAGAUGAGUUUGGUCCUUUCACUGCCUUCGUUUCCGCAGCUGCUAUGACUGCAGAGUUGCCGCAGUGGAUCAGAAGAACCCGUGAUGCGGGGCAGUGGGUGGCCACAAGCUUGUGUUUUUAGAAGUCUCCACAUGCAAUUUAAUUAGAACUCUCCCGUCCUCCUCCCAUGUAUAUAUUCCUAGACUAAAAAAAUUAUAUAUUCCUUAAUUAAUUCUAAAAAAGUAUAUAAUCCUUAAUUAAAGCUACUCGGUUGUUCUGAAAGAAGUACUCACUCAUUUCGAAAAUAUAAGGCAGGUUGACUUUUUUUGUUUUGCUCUUUGACAUAAUUUUUUUUGCAGGGACUGUUUGACAUAAUUUUAACUAUGAUUUUCACUUGUAGCAUGUCUACAUAAUUAGUAUAAAGAUAUAUAAAAUAAAACUAUUUUGCACGACAAAUAUGUGAUACUAUUUAUACAUGCUAGAUUCAUAUAAUUUUGUAUAUAUAUUAGUGGUCAAAGUUAUGCAUUAAAGAUGGUGGAAAGUCAAGCGUUUUAUAUUUUGGGAAGUAAGGAGUAUUCGCUAGUAUGCAUCCACAGUAAUUUUUUAACUGCAUGUGUACCCGUGAAAAAAAAAUCUUUCAGCUGCAUGUGAUUAUCAUUGGCUCCAACUCGUUAAUUAUGGGAUCAUCAUCUCGUACUCUCUUCUCCGCAAAAAAAAAUCAUCUCGUACUCUUCUUUCCAUAUUUUUUUUGCGGGAACUCUUUAUAUUUACAAGUAGAAUGCCCGUGCAUUGCCACGGGCUUCUCAAAUAUUUUGCUGAAGUUAUAUAAAGGUAAAUAUUUUGAUAACAAGGCAUCUCCAAUGUCCACGAAUUUGGUUUUUUUGGGGGCAGACAUGAUUGAUUCGAUGACUAUAAUAUCUCUACGGGGACAAACAUAGUCUGCCGGCAUGAUAGAAAAAUGAGCCAAUUAGUAUAAAAAUGCCUAAUUAAGUGAACACGGAAGGCAAUAUGACGAAGGAAAGAUCGAUGAUAACAUUGAAAAAAAAUACCUUGUGCGAUAAACAUUAAAUUGACAUCUUUUUUAUGAGAUAUCACUGCUUCCAUAUCAUUAUGUUGUAAAAACACGAUGAAUUGUCGGUCCCUUGCGGUGAUGUCGCUUCGGAGCCCCUGGAAAUGGAUUCUUUUUGUGCAUCUCCACUUAAUAUCCAUAUUUGUGUCUCCUACAUUCUGAAAUUUUUUAUAAAAUAAUGCACCCUUUGUAUUAGCAUGCAUAACAUACAUAGAUCUCAUCGUAUUUCAGUCCGAUCUGCCAUCGUUACGUCAGUGCAUAUGUCAGUUGAUUUCUUGAAACAUCAUCCGAGUCCAUCAUUCUUUAUCUAUGUUGAACAAAGGUGGAACAUAUAAAAUAUAAUAAUAUUUUAUACUGCAUUAUACUCCCUCCGUUCCUAAAUAUAAGUCUUUCUAGAGAUUCCACUAUAAACCACAUACGGAUGUAUAUAGAUGCAUUUUAGAGUUUAGAUUCAUUCAUUUUGCUCCGUAUGUGGUCCAUAAUGAAAUCUCUUCAAAGACUUACAUUUAGGAACGGAGGGAGUAUAAACUUGUAUAAUAUAUAAUAAAACCAAAAGUGGGACUAACACAGAUAUUUUUAUUUGCAGUUUUUUUUCACCCUACAACCUUAUCCAGAUCUCUCCCCAUCACAGACAGACCUAGCCAAAUGGGCCGGCCCGCCACGGCACGGUCCGGCUGAGUUAAACGGGCCACCCCUCCCCAGUCGAUGCUCAGAAAAAAAAACAUCUCCCCACCCACUCUCUCCCCCUCGCAGCCGCUCACUCUCUCCCCCUCCUCUCCCCGGCGAUGGUGUCCGUCGAUCUCCCCUUCCUCUCCCCACCGUGCCGACCGCCUCCUCCUCUUCUCCUCCCUAAACACGCGCCACCAGCAGAUCAACAUCGCACGCCGCCGGCCCUAUCCCAUUCCACCCUCCGCUGCCACCUUCCCCACCCCGAGCUCGAAUCUAGGCCACCCACCGUCUUCCCUGUACCCAGCUGCCCUCAUCAGCUCCGGUCUCGUCCACGACGUGCUGCUCCAACCAUUGGUACGCGGCAGUGGGGGUUCGGUCCAGGAGGCGGCUGCUGCAGUCCUGAUGGCGUCGCCUCUGCAGUGGCUCCAUUCCGGCGGCAUCAGGGGAGCACACGAGUGUCCACGAGCAGCAAGCAGAGCCGGCCAAGGAAGCAAGGACGCGGGCAAAUGAUGCAGCAGCGCCGUCCUUGAGGAGAUGCCGCCCGUGGAUACAACAGCCGUGGGCGUGGAAGAUGAUUUUGGAUCCUGUGAGCCGCCGCCGCUGCCGCACAGGUAGUCAACGAUGGCGUGUUGCUGUUCCAUGUCCAAGAAGUCGCCCACGAGGCGUCGUCGUGGCAUUGCCAGCUCCAGCUUGCCCCUGCCAUCGUCUCUGCCGUCGGCACUUGCACGCACGCUCCUUGGUGAGGCUCUUCAUGUUAACUUUGUUCUGUUUGUAACAUGGCCCGUAACAUAUUUCUAUACCCACAAUGUUUUGCAUCAUCCGAACAAACGAUGGUAAAUUGAUUCCUAUGUAUUGUAACAUCCUGAUUACAAGUUCUGUUAGAUUAGUUUUUCUGUUGGAAUAAAAUUGUUCUGUUGUAGCAGAACAAUGACAUCACUAUGAUUCAGUUUUUAGGGGAUGGUCGAAUGGGAGUAUAUAACAUGCAGGAGUACUGUAUUUUUUAUUACUUAAACAUGGAGUAUAUAUCAUCAAGGUAGUACAGCAAAGAUAGAGUAUAAACAUGAUUAAAUGCUAUACAGUAGGUAAGUGAAUUUACAUGAUUAAACAGAAUCCAAGUGACUGGUUUUCCCUGAGUAUGGCCACUAACUUUCUGACGACAUCCUGGUCUAAUUGCUUGGUGGCAGCCUUGCGAUGGGUUAGGCCUGGGUCGUCGUCGUAGAAGUACAACUGUAGAUGCUCUGGACGGGAUGUUGGCCCGAAGGAAUGAACGUUGUGGUAGAUGGUGCCAUGUGCCCGGAAUUUGUACACCCCAGACUUCAUGUUUGUGUAGCUUUCAUCGAGGCUGACGCCGAGGGUUGUGAAGGAGAAGUGGCCGUUGAAGAAUCGUAUGUUCUCCCGAAAAUGCCUAGAGUCCGCAUCAGUGCUAGACCAAAGCCUCAUGAGCUCCGGGAUGGGUUCCGGUUGCUUCAGCUGGAUCUGCCCACUGCGACAGCAGAAUCCCGGGGCCUCGGACUCAAAUUUCUUGGCCUUGCAGUGGGCGCAGUUCGCGGCGUGCUUCAGGAUGUGUGUGUUGUCUGGCAGGUUUGAGUACACAUAGUCUAGUGGAUCAUGGUCGACAUAGUUAUUGUGACUUGAGUCUUCCAAUUCGCCGUGCUCCAUGCCAUCAGCAUCUGAGCCUGCAAACAAUGUUUAUAAUAAGGGUGAUACCCCCAACAUGUGGAUCACGCUCAAGCGGGUGUACAUACCUUCACCAGCAAACAGGUAAUAUUCAUCGUCAAAGAGGUCAUCAAGAUUGGCAUUAUCAUUCAUGAGACCAUUGAGGUAAGCGUCCAUGUCGUCUGCCCAGGUGCCAAACAACACAAAUGAGGGUUCAGUCUCAAGGGACGAUCGAAGAGUAAGGAUGGGGGUGUUACCUUCACUUCUGAUUGUGUACUCCGGCAUGCUAGAUGAUGUUGAGGCAUUGUUUGCUUCAACUAUGGUAGGUUGUCCCGUUGAGUUAAUCUCCGAUGUGGAGAUGGUCUUAACGGUUCGGGUAUUCGCCCUACCUGCAAAGCUUGCAUUACGACGAUCUAGCAGAGCCUUCCUCUCACCAUGUGGCACCUGCAAACAUGAUUUUCGCUUGCCAAUUUUGUCCUGAUGCUUAUUCACCGCCAUACUUCCCUUGCAAGCUCGCUCUCUCGUCCUACGCUGAGCUCUGGACCCAUGACUCUGCUCGGGGGAGCCAUAAUCCGCUUUUGUUACUGGAUCACUGGUUUGCUGGUCGGCAUUUGGUAGGUGCUCAUUGAUUUUGUCAAGGUUGCCAUCUACGUCACCAUCACCUAGGGUUCUGCUUAGGUAUGCACCUAUAACAUUAUCGAAUCAUUAUAAAUAACCGAUGAAUGACUACAAAAUGAAAGAUGAUCAUUGAUGGGAUAACUACCAUCGGUUUCGGUGUUGCGAAUGUAUGUGGGGGCCGACUUGUCGGUUGUGGCACGAUCUAUCUGUUCAAUGUCGGAUUGUUGUGCGAUGGUUGGAAGUGUGAGAGUCGGACAAUGUGCGUGAGGGUUGAAAGUGUGAGAGUUGGACAAUGCGCUAGCUAGAUCUGGACAUGGCAUUGCAAUCGAUUCAGCACAAAGGGUGUUUUUCCUCCUAGCAUAGUCUGCCUUUCUCUUCGCACUUGACUUCCCCUGCUCAUUAGGGGUCCUGCAGUUUCGUUGUUCCUUUCGUCGCUCACGCUGCACUUGAUUAUUUUUUUGGAGGUUGAUCAUACCCUCUUCCUUUUUCUUCUGAUAAGAUGCUCGUCUCCGUGUGUUUCUCUGCUCCCUUUGUUCUUCUUUCUCACGUUGCCACCCAGCUAGUACAUUGUCACCAAUGAACCCAUCAAUGGGAGUACUCGAAGCAGGCAACGUUGCAUCAGCAUGUGACAAGGAUGUAUAGCUGGAGCUAGUUGGGUUGGCUGGUUGAACAAUAAAAUUGGAACAUAACCAUAUCAUCCAUGUUCAGCAAGCACGAAGCUGCAAAAUGAAGUCAUUCUAUCCAACGAUUACUUAAUUUAUGAACUGAAAAAUUAAAAACAUGUACCUGAUAUGCUAUGGGAAGAUUGAUCAGCACUUGUUAUAUCACCAAGAGGGGGUCGGGAAACACACUGAAAUUCUGCUUGGAGGUUGGUCAUGUCCUCAUAUUUUUUCUUUGGAUAAGAUGCUCGCCUCCGCGUGUUGUUCUGCUUCUUUUUAUCUCCUGUGAAGUUAUUGUUGCUUUCUUUAUCGCAUUGCACCGUAGCUACCAUUACCUAAUUUACGCUACAAUUAUACCAAGAAUAAAUUCUAGAUCCGUACAUGGUAUCUCAUGCGAAGGCUAAUGAACAUUAGUGAUAUCGCCAAGAGGGGGUCGAGAAACAUUCUGGUUUUCACCUUGAAGCUUGAUCGUAUUCUCUUCCUUUUUCUUUUGAUAAUUUUCUCGCCUUCGCGCGUUUCUCCACUCCCUUUGGUCUUCUGUCAAGUUAUUACUGCAUUCUUUAUGAUGCUUUCUGGUAGACCGCUUGUCAUCAUUCAGGAGUAGAGAUGUUAUCUGGGAAGCAGUUGGGGUAGACGCUGGUGCAAAAUCUAAACCAUCAUGACCAUGGGCAUUUGGGCAGUCAUUGUUUUGCCUACAUUUUGGACCUACAGGAACAGAACAAAAGCUAGUGGUUAGGCUCAUAGAAGAAUAUGAACACCCAUAAGCACAAGAAGGGAAGGUGUGUCCCAUUGCGACAGUGUCCAUUGGAUGUUUUUGUUUAAUAUGGAUGUUUAUUUGGUUUCUUUUAGUGGCAAUGAACAUCACAUAUAUUUUCUUGUCUUCUGAUUGAGCUCUUUGCAAUUAUUCCUCCCUAUAUCCUUUUAUAUUACCAUGUAAACCAGCUUAUAUCAUUUUGUCCCUCUGUUUUUGGUAAUGUUAUGUUUUUCCAUGAUUGCUGUCAUUAUUGUUGUCCUACAUGUGUCUGUGCGUUGGGAUUAUAUGAAGAAAAGUUGCAGCUGAAUCAUUAUUAUGGCAGAAGGGAAAUCUACUGAAUCACAGUCACAUUUCCUAAUACCCAAUGACUCCAGUUCAUCGUCUGUCAAACUUUCAUCACUACAAAAAGAAACAUAACCACUCAAUAGCAAAAAAUAUCAUGGAUAUAAUAAGUUACAACAUAUAGGGCGAUUAUUAUAGCACUUUUAGGAAAACUACCAUCCAAAAGUAUACUAUUGAUACUCUUAAUAUGAGUGUGGCAUGGUUUAGUUUUUUUGUCAGGCAUGGCUACCCAAACAUUUCUGAUAUUGGAGAAGAAAAUAUUAGUCACACCUUGAACAAUAAUAACAACAAAAUUGUACUAAAGAACAUCAUGUGUGCCCAUAAAAGAACGUGUUCUGAGAAAUUUGAUAACACAUGCAUUAUGUUUAUAUAUGACCCCAGCCACAAGCUUUAAUUUUACUUUACUACUACUUUUCAACUACAAUUGAUGCUCUUUAUUACUGGAAUUCAGUUUACACCCUGAUGCUUAUUCCCAUUAGUAAUCUGCUUGAUAAUUGUCACUUCAGCCAUGCAUUUUCUCCAUAUGACUGCAGGAGCCAUGCUCAGAUUUGUGUUCCCAGGUUUAUGACUCGCAUUUUCUCCAUAUGACUUGCAUUCCCAGGUUUAUGGAGAUUUGCGAUGCUCAGAGGGACUAAUAUUGCUAAUGAAAAAAAACCACUUGAUAAUGCAUGUUAUUUACAAAAGGUACAUACCUGGAGUCAUUGGGUAAUACUCAUAAAUGUUGUGACUCGGUGCGGGAACGAUUUCUGGUAUGGAUUCAUCGAUAUUUUUACCCUCAUUAUGGAAUGUAACACGGUAGUUAUAUGAAAUGUCUUGUUUGUACCAGAAUGAAGGUCAACAAGACGGGGUACAGGUAUACCUGGACUUCCUUGGGGAUGUAGAUCAACAAGACGGGGUAGAGGUACAUCCUAUGCCUUUAUUUGUUCCAGUGCCUUGCUAUUUGAAGUUACCAUACUUACUUUUUGUUAUGAUGAGUGACCUAUCACAAUUGUAGGUCAACAUGAGAAGAUGAAAUAAAAACCAUUUUAUAAUGCAAGUUAUUUACAAAAGCCCCAAACAUGGAGUCAUUGGGUCGUACUCAUCAAUGUUGUGACUUGGUGCGGGAACGAUUUCUGGGAUGGAUUCAUCGACGGAAUUACCCUCAAUAUGGCCUGCAAAAUGAUUUCUCAUGUUGUGUUUACAUCAGAAUAAAGGUCAACAAGACAGGGCAGAGGUAUACUUGAACUUCGUUGGGGAUGUAGAUCAACGAGGGGGUAGAGGUACAUCCGAUGCCUUUCUCUGUUCCGGUGCCUUGCUAUUACAAUUUCCCAUACUUCGUUGGGGAUGUAGAUCAACAAGAGGGGGUAGAGGUCAAUUUCAAUGUCAACGUACAGGAGGACAAAACCGGAUGAUAAUUAGUAUAUGUUUGGUAAAUAUUUAUCCAUGUGCUUCCUUUGAACCUGCUGAUUUUCGUGCUUCCUUUCGUAAAGCUUCCUUUGGUACGUGCUUAUAGGAAAAACUGAAACCUGGUCGAGCUGGGAACAUUUAUAAAGAAAAGGUGUAAAUCAGCUUCGUGUAUAAUUCAGAGAAGCAUCAACUUGUAUGUAUGUGUUGUAUGUGCUGCCGGCGGAAGCAUCAAAUUGUAUGUAUGUGCUGCCGGUGGAUCUGUAAAAUUCUGAAACCUUCAAGUGUCUUAUUGUAUGUAUGUGUUGUAUUAUUGAAUCGGGCCUUGUUGAAUGGACGAAGGGUUUAGGGUUUAGGGGAACCUGAUUUAGGCGGACCUGAUCCGGCGCAGCCUUCGUGAGAUCGGCGGCACCCUCACUGGCAGAUGCAUGUGUGGGGUUGUGCGGCGGGCUCCACGGAUUGGCUGCGGCGGAGGCGUCAGUGGGAUUGUGCGGCGACGAUGAGACACGGCACUGUCAUCUAUGUGCAUGAUCUGCGCCGGCCUCCAUGGGAUCGACGACAGAAGGGAUCGAUGGUGGCGGCGAAGGGAUCGAUGGCAGCUGGGGUGGUUCACGUCGUUGUAGGAAAAUUUCGAGGGCAGCCUAAUUGUGGGAGGGGGCCGGCCUCCUGGUCCGUUUUUUUUUGUGUGGGAUAGGAGGAGUCGGAAAAACCAUACGAGGUGGGAGGAGGACGAAAACAAACCUGCGAAGGUGGGAGGUGGGACGAAAAUAAACCGUACCAGGCUACCAACUCGUCCAUUAGGAGUCCAUUAGGAGUAGAGAUUAUUUGCAACAUCCUCCACCUGAGCCCACGAGGCCUGACCACCGUGGAUGCAUGCAUCUACCCAACUCGUCCAUUAUUCUGCGAGAGGAAGAUAGCCCGGAGGUAAUUAAUGAAACAAUCCUUGUUUUAAUUCCAAAGGUGAAAGAUCCAACUAACUUAUCCCAGUUCAGGCCAAUUAGCUUGUGCAACGUCUUAUACAAGAUUGCUUCCAAAGUGUUAUCUAACAGAUUGAAACAGAUCUUACCUGACAUUAUCUCAGAGGAGCAGUCUGCCUUCGUUCCGGGACGGCUUAUCACAGAUAACAUUAUAACAGCCUAUGAGUGCUUACAUUUUAUGAAGCGAAAUAAAGCCCAAAAGAACAGAUAUUGUGCAGUCAAGUUGGACAUGAUGAAAGCAUACGACCGAGUCGAGUGGACUUACCUUGACCAAGAUGGGUUUUGCCCCUUCUUGGGUGGCUACAAUCAUGCGCAUGGUAUCAUCGGUAAAGUUUUCAGUUCUUUUCAAUGGUACUAAGCUUGAGGAGUUUCUCCCAUCUAGGGGAAUCCGUCAGGGAGAUCCUAUUUCUCCAUACUUGUUUUUGCUGGCAGCGGAGGGACUUUCGUGCCUCUUAAAACCCAAGAUGAAUCAUCGAGCCUCAGUGGAAUUCGAGUUGCUCUGUCGGCACCGCCGGUGAGCCACUUGCUUUUUGCAGAUGAUAGCCUGCUGUUUGUCAAAGCCAGUUUUUAUGGAGCAAAUCAGUUGUCUUCCUUGAUGGAAAGUUAUUGCAAUGCCUCGGGCCAAAGGAUCAAUUAUGCAAAGUCCUCUGUGUUCUUUAGUAAAGGCUGCCCCUCCACUCUUAAGGCCGAAGUUCAGAGUGCUCUAAAUAUUUCAAAGGAGUCACUAUCAGAUCGAUACCUUGGGAUGCCAACAGAUGUGGGUACUUGCAAGAAUGGAGCCUUCAAAUUCCUGAAAGAUAGAGUUUGGAAUAAAGUUAAGGGGUGGAUGGAAAAACUUUUGUCAGCAGGUGGCAAAGAGGUGUUGAUAAAAUCAGUGGCGCAGUCCGUCCCGGUUUAUUCCAUGUCAUGCUUCAAACUGCCGCGCGGACUGUGUGAACAUAUCAACUCACUAGUCCGAAAAUUUUGGUGGGGGAGUAAAGAGGGAAAAAGGAAGCCAAGUUGGGUCUCGUGGAGCACGAUGACCAAGCCAAAGUAUUGUGGAGGUCUUGGAUUCAGGGAUAUCGAGCUUUUUAACUUAGCUCUCCUUGCAAGGCAAGCAUGGAGAUUAUUAAUGGAUCCAGACUCGCUUAGUGCACGUGUACUGAGGGCCAAAUACCAUCCAGGGGCUCAUAUUUUGAAUGCUGAGCUUGGAUCGGCUCCCUCACAAAUCUGGCGGGCUAUAAUCGAGGGUCGCGAUGUUCUCAAACAGGGCAUCAUAAAACGUAUUGGAGAAGGACUCACGACACAUAUAUGGGAUCAUAAUUGGCUCCCGAGACCAGCAAAUAUGAGACCUAUAACUAGCCUCCUCGCCAACCCGCCACAAUGGGUUAGUGACCUUAUUUUGCCCGGCGCUGAAUGGGACCGAGCGGCAGUUUCACAGAUCUUCUUACCCACAGAUGCACAAGCGAUCAUGUCUAUACCCCUGUGUACCAGACAAAUCGAGGAUUUCUGGGCUUGGGUACACGAGAAGAAUGGGGUUUUUACGGUUCGCUCGGCUUAACGAAUGCUGGUUGAAACUAAGAUGCGAAGAGAAGCCUGGCUCGACGGGAGAGGACAUUCGUCAGAUACCUCCAGAGACGCUAAAUCUUGGGAUAGAAUAUGGAAAGUUGAUAUUCCAUCAAAAGUCAAAAUUUUUCUGUGGCGGCUAGCUCAACAGUCUGUUCCCACAGCUGAUGUUUUACAUCAUCGGGACAUGUCAACCUCGACGAGAUGCGGUCUGUGUGGAUCUGAAGAUUCAUGGCAACACUCAUUACUUCAUUGCACGGUAGCUCGGUGUGUUUGGGCGCUACAAGAUCAUGAUCUGGUGGAGACCUUAAAUAGCACCCGGGAGCCUGACGCACGUCGAUGGCUAUUCUCCCUGUUGGAUACACUUUCUUCUGCAGAAUUCAUCCAGGUUGCAGUUACCCUAUGGGCUCUGUGGUAUGCACGUCGGCAGGCUCUCCAUGAGAAUAUCUUCCAAAGUCCACUAUCCACGCACAACUUUAUCAUGAGAUAUAUCAGAGAGUUGGAAGACUGCAAACCCAAGAAGAUUGGUUCGAUUACUGCUAGAAGCACCGAACAAUUAAGGCAAAACUGGAUUCCACCACCGCCGGGUCUCUCCAAGAUCAGGGUAGAUGGUGCGGUCUCCAGAGAUAAUCUGUAUGGUUCCUUCAGCGCAGUCUGCAGAGAUUCGUCGGGUCAGUUCCUGGGAGCUUCAGCAAUCAAAAUACAUGGCAUCACUAAGCCUGCAACCCUAGAAGCGCUAGCUUGCCGGGAGGCGCUUGCGCUAGCCUUAGACUUGGCUUUGACCGAUUUCAUAGUUGCUUCUGACUGCCAAGGUGUGGUAAAUGAUAUCAAGCAUGGCACGGGAGGGACUUAUGCAAGCACAGUCAAGGAGAUUGUUGACACAUCAAGAGAUUUUCAUCAAUGUACCUUUAUCUUCGAAGGUAGAACAUGUUGGGGAACGUAGUAAUUUCAAAAAAAUUCCUACGCACACGCAAGAUCAUGGUGAUGGCAUAGCAACGAGAGGGGAGAGUGUUGUCCACGUACCCUCGUAGACCGUAAGCGGAAGUGUUAGCACAACGCGGUUGAUGUAGUCGUACGUCUUCACGAUCCGACCGAUCCAAGCACCGAACGUACGACACCUCCGAAUUCAGCACACGUUCAGCUCGAUGACGAUCCCCGGACUUCGAUCCAGCAAAGUGUCCGGGAUGAGUUCCGUCAGCACGACGGUGUGGUGACGAUGAUGAUGUUCUACCGGCGCAGGGCUUCGCCUAAGCUUCGCGAUGAUAUGACCGAGGUGGAAUAUGGUGGAGGGGGGCACCGCACACGGCUAAGGAACGAUCCGUAGAUCAACUUGUGUGUCUAUGGGUGCCCCCCCGCCCCCGUAUAUAAAGGAGCCAGGGGGGAGGAGGCGGCCGGCCAAGGAGGGCGCGCCAAGGGGGGGAGUCCUACUCCCACCGGGAGUAGGACUCCCUUCUUUCCUAGUUGGAAUAGGAGAAGGGGGGAAAGAGGAGGAAGAGGGGAAGGAAAGGGGGGGCGCCGCCCCCCUUCCCUUGUCCUAUUCGGACUAGGAAGGGGAGGGGCGCGUGGCCCCCUCCUGCCUCCUUCCCUCUUCUCCCUCGAGGCCCAUGUAGGCCCAAUAACCCCACGGGGGGUUCCGGUAACCUCCCGGUGCUCCGGUAAAAUGCCGAUUUCACCCGGAACGAUUCCGAUGUCCAAAUAUAGGCUUCCAAUAUAUCAAUCUUUAUGUCUUGACCAUUUCAAGACUCCUCGUUAUGUCCGUGAUCACAUCCGGGACACCGAACAAACUUCGGUACAUCAAAACUUAUAAACUCAUAAUAAAACUGUCAUUGUAACGUUAAGCGUGCGGACCCUACGGGUUCGAGAACUAUGUAGACAUGACCUAUAACUAUUCUCGGUCAAUAACCAAUAGCGGAACCUGGAUGCUCAUAUUGGUUCCUACAUAUUCUACGAAGAUCUUUAUCGGUCAAACCGCAUAACAACAUACGUUGCUCCCUUUGUCAUCGGUAUGUUACUUGCCCGAGAUUUGAUCGUCGGUAUCCAAUACCUAGUUCAAUCUCGUUACCGGCAAGUCUCUUUACUCGUUCUAUAAUGCAUCAUCCCGUAACCAACUCAUUUGAUCACAUUGCUUGCAAGGCUUAUAGUGAUGUGCAUUACCUAGAGGGCCCGGAGAUACCUCUCCGACAAUCGGAGUGACAAAACCUUCUCGAAAUACGCCAACUCAAUAUGUACCUUCGGAGACACCUGUAGUACUCCUUUAUAAUCACCCAGUUACGUUGUGAUGUUUGAUAGUACCCAAAGUGUUCCUCCGGUAAAGGGAGUUGCAUAAUUCUCAUAGUUACAGGAACAUGUAUAAGUCAUGAAGAAAGCAAUAGCAAUAUACUAAACGAUCAAGUGCUAGGCUAACGGAAUGGGUCAUGUCAAUCACAUCAUUCUCCUAAUGAUGUGAUCCCAUUAAUCAAAUGACAACACAUGUCUAUGGUUAGGAAACAUAACCAUCUUUGAUUAACGAGAUAGUCUAGUAGAGGCAUACUAGUGACUAUAUGUUUGUCUAUGUAUUCACACAUGUAUCAUGUUUCCGGUAAUACAAUUCUAGCAUGAAUAAUAAACAUUUAUCAUGAUAUGAGGAAAUAAAUAAUAACUUUAUUAUUGCCUCUAGGGCAUAUUUCCUUCAGUCUCCCACUUGCUCUAGAGUCAAUAAUCUAGAUUACAUAGUAAUGAUUCUAACACCCAUGGAGUCUUGGUGCUGAUCAUGUUUUGCUCGUGAGAGUGGCUUAGUCAACGGGUCUGCAACAUUCAGAUCAGUAUGUAUCUUGCAAAUCUCUAUGUCUCCCACUUGGACUUGGUCCCGAAUGGAAUUGAAGCGUCUCUUGAUGUGCUUGGUCCUCUUGUGAAAUCUGGAUUCCUUUGCCAAGGCAAUUGCACCAGUAUUGUCACAAAAGAUUUUCAUUGGUCCCGAUGCACUAGGUAUGACACCUAGAUCGAAAAUGAACUCCUUCAUCCAGACUCCUUCAUUUGCUGCUUCCGAAGCAGCUAUGUACUCCGCUUCACAUGUAGAUCCCGCCACGACGCUUUGUUUAGAACUGCACCAACUUACAGCUCCACCGUUUAAUAAAAACACGUAUCCGGUUUGCGAUUUAGAAUCGUCCGGAUCAGUGUCAAAGCUUGCAUCGACGUAACCAUUUACGACUAGCUCUUUGUCACCUCCAUAUACGAGAAACAUAUCCUUAGUCCUUUUCAGGUAUUUCAGGAUGUUCUUGACCGUUGUCCAGUGAUCCACUCCUGGAUUACUUUGGUACCUUCCUGCCAAGCUUAUUGCUAAGCAUACGUCAGGUCUGGUACACAGCAUUGCAUACAUGAUAGAGCCUAUGGAUGAAGCAUAGGGAACAUCUUUCAUUUUCUCUCUAUCUUCUGAUGUGGUCGGGCAUUGAGUUUGACUUAACUUCACACCUUGUAGUACGGGCAAGAACCCUUUCUUUGCCUGAUCCAUUUUGAACUUUUUCAAAAUUUUAUCAAGGUAUGUGCUUUGUGAAAGUCCUAUUAAGCGUCUUGAUCUAUCUCUAUAGAUCUUGAUGCCCAAUAUAUAAGCAGCUUCACCGAGGUCUUUCAUUGAAAAACUUUUAUUCAAGUAUUCCUUUAUGCUAUCCAGAAAUUCUAUAUCAUUUCCAAUUAAUAAUGUGUCAUCUACAUAUAAUAUCAGAAAUGCUACAGAGCUCCCACUCACUUUCUUGUAAAUACAGGCUUCUCCAAAAGUCUGUAUAAAACCAUGUGCUUUGAUCACACUAUCAAAGCGUUUAUUCCAACUUCGAGAUGCUUGCACCAGUCCAUAAAUAGAACGCUGGAGCUUGCACACUUUGUUAGCACCUUUUGGAUCUACAAAACCUUCUGGCUGCAUCAUAUACAACUCUUCUUCCAGAAAUCCAUUCAAGAAUGCAGUUUUGACAUCCAUUUGCCAAAUUUCAUAAUUAUGAAAUGCAGCAAUAGCUAACAUGAUUCGGACAGACUUAAGCAUCGCUACGGGUGAGAAAGUCUCAUCAUAGUCAACCCCUUGAACUUGUCGAAAACCUUUUGCAACAAAUCGAGCUUUAUAGACAGUUAUAUUUCCAUCAGCGUCAGUCUUCUUCUUAAAAAUCAAUUUAUUCUCAAUGGCUUGCCGAUCAUCGGGCAAGUCAACCAAAGUCCAUACUUUGUUUUCAUACAUGGAUCCCAUCUCAGAUUUCAUGGCCUCUAGCCAUUUUGCGGAAUCUGGGCUCAUCAUCGCUUCCUCAUAGUUCGUAGGUUCAUCAUGGUCAAGCAACAUGACUUCUAGAAUUGGAUUACCGUACCACUCUGGUGCGGAUCUUAUUCUGGUAGACCUACGAGGUUCAGUAGAAACUUGAUCUGAAGUUUCAUGAUCAAUAUCAUUAGCUUCCUCACUAAUUGGAGUAGUUGUCACAGGAACCGGUUCUUGUGAUGAACUACUUUCCAAUAAGGGAGUGGAUACAGUUAUCUCAUCAAGCUCUACUUUCCUCCCACUCACUUCUUUCGAGAGAAACUCCUUCUCUAGAAAGGAUCCAAUUUUAGCAACGAAAAUCUUGCCCUCAGAUCUGUGAUAGAAGGUGUACCCAAUAGUCUCUUUUGGGUAUCCUAUGAAGACACAUUUCUCCGAUUUGGGUUCGAGCUUAUCUGGUUGAAGUUUCUUCACAUAAGCAUCGCAGCCCCAAACUUUAAGAAAUGACAACUUUGGCUUCUUGCCAAACCAUAGUUCAUAAGGCGUCGUCUUAACGGAUUUUGAUGGUGCCCUAUUUAACGUGAAUGCGGCCGUCUCUAAAGCAUAACCCCAAAACGAUAGCGGUAAAUCAGUAAGAGACAUCAUAGAUCGCACCAUAUCUAGUAAAGUACGAUUAUGACAUUCGGACACACCAUUUCGUUGUGGUGUUCCAGGUGGCGUGAGUUGCGAAACUAUUCCGUGUUGUUUCAAGUGUAGACCAAACUCGUAACUCAAAUAUUCUCCUCCACGAUCAGAUCGUAGAAAUUUUAUUUUCCUGUUACGAUGAUUUUCUACUUCACUCUGAAAUUCUUUGAACUUUUCAAAUGUUUCAGACUUGUGUUUCAUCAAGUAGAUAUACCCAUAUCUGCUCAAAUCAUCUGUGAAGGUGAGAAAAUAACGAUAUCUGCCGCGAGCCUCAACAUUCAUUGGACCACAAACAUCAGUAUAUAUGAUUUCCAACAAGUCAGUUGCUCGCUCCAUAGUUCCGGAGAACGGCGUUUUAGUCAUCUUGCCCAUGAGGCACGGUUCGCGAGUACCAAGUGAUUCAUAAUCAAGUGAUUCCAAAAUCCCAUCAGUAUGGAGUUUCUUCAUGCGCUUUACACGGAUAUGACCUAAACGGCAGUGCCACAAAUAAGUUGCACUAUCAUUAUUAACUCUGCAUCUUUUGGUUUCAACACUAUGAAUAUGUGUAUCACUGCUAUCGAGAUUUAAUAAAAAUAGACCACUCUUCAAGGGUGCAUGACCAUAAAAGAUAUUACUCAUAUAAAUAGAACAACCAUUAUUCUUUGAUUUAAAUGAAUAACCGUCUCGCAUCAAACAAGAUCCAGAUAUAAUGUUCAUGCUUAACGCUGGCACCAAAUAACAAUUAUUUAGGUCUAAAACUAAUCUCGAUGGUAGAUGUAGAGGUAGCGUGCCGACCGCGAUCACAUCGACUUUGGAACCAUUUCCCACACGCAUCGUCACCUCGUCCUUAGCUAAUCUUCGCUUAAUCCGUAGUCCCUGUUUCGAGUUGCAAAUAUUAGCAACAGAAACAGUAUGAAAUACCCAGGUGCUACUGCGAGCAUUAGUAAGGUACACAUCAAUAACAUGUAUAUCACAUAUACCUUUGUUCACUUUGCCAUCCUUCUUAUCCGCCAAAUACUUGGGGCAGUUCCGCUUCCAGUGUCCAGUCUGCUUGCAGUGGAAGCAGUCAGUUUCAGGCUUAGGUCCAGACUUGGGUUUCUUCUCUUGAGCAGCAACUUGCUUGUUGUUCUUUUUGAAGUUCCCCUUUUUCUUCCCUUUGCCCUUUUUCUUGAAACUGGUGGUUUUGUUAACCAUCAACACUUGAUGCUCCUUCUUGAUUUCUACCUCCGCGGCUUUUAGCAUUGCGAAGAGCUCGGGAAUAGUCUUGUUCAUCCCUUGCAUAUUAUAGUUCAUCACGAAGCUCUUGUAGCUUGGUGGCAGUGAUUGAAGAAUUCUGUCAAUGACACUAUCAUCAGGAAGAUUAACUCCCAGUUGAAUCAAGUGAUUAUUAUACCCAGACAUUUUGAGUAUGUGUUCACUGACAGAACUAUUCUCUUCCAUCUUGCAGCUGUAGAACUUAUUGGAGACUUCAUAUCUCUCAAUCCGGGCAUUUGCUUGAAAUAUUAACUUCAACUCCUGGAACAUCUCAUAUGCCCCAUGACGUUCAAAACAUCGUUGAAGACCCGGUUCUAAGCCGUAAAGCAUGGCACACUGAACUAUCGAGUAGUCAUCAGCUUUGCUCUGCUAGACGUUCUUAACGUCGUCAGUUGCAUCAGCAGCAGGCCUGGCACCCAGCGGUGCUUCCAGGACGUAACUUUUCUGUGCAGCAAUGAGGAUAAUCCUCAGGUUACGGACCCAGUCCGUGUAAUUGCUACCAUCAUCUUUCAACUUUGCUUUCUCAAGGAACGCAUUAAAAUUUAACGGAACAACAGCACGAGCCAUCUAUCUACAAGCAAACAUAGACAAGCAAAAUACUAUCAGAUACUAAGUUUCAUGAUAAAUUUAUGUUCAAUUAAUCAUAUUACUUUAGAACUCCCACUUAGACAGACAUCUCUCUAGUCAUCUAAGUGAUCACGUGAUCCAAAUCAACUAAACCAUGUCCGAUCAUCACGUGAGAUGAAGUAGUUUCAAUGGUGAACAUCACUAUGUUGAUCAUAUCUACUAUAUGAUUCAGGCUCGACCUUUCGGUCUCUGUGUUCCGAGGCCAUAUCUGUAUAUGCUAGGCUCGUCAAGUAUGACCUGAGUAUUCCGCGUGUUCAACUGUUUUGCACCCAUUGUAUUUGAACGUAGAGCCUAUCACACCCGAUCAUCACGUGGUGUCUCAGCACGAAGAACUUUCGCAACGGUGCAUACUCAGGGAGAACACUUCUUGAUUAUUAGUGAGAGAUCAUCUUAAAAUGCUACCGUCAAUCGAAGCAAGAUAAGAUGCAUAAAGGAUAAACAUCACAUGCAAUCAAUAUAAGUGAUAUGAUAUGGCCAUCAUCAUCUUGUGCUUGUGAUCUCCAUCUUCGAAGCACCGUCGUGGUCACCAUCGUCACCGGCGCGACACCUUGAUCUUCAUCGUAGCAUCGUUGUCGUUACACAUCUAUUGCUUCUACGACUAUCGCUACCGCUUAGAGAUAAAGUAAAGCAAUUACAGGGCGUUUUGCAUUUCAUACAAUAAAGCGACAACCAUAUGGCUCCUGCCAGUUGCCGAUAACUUCGGUUACAAAACAUGAUCAUCUCAUACAAUAAAAUAAAGCAUCACGUCUUGACCAUAUCACAUCACAACAUGCCCUGCAAAAACAAGUUAGACGUCCUCUACUUUGUUGUUGCAAAUUUUACGUGGCUGCUACGGGCUUUAGCAAGAACCGUUCUUACCUACGCAUAAAAACCACAACGAUAGUUCGUCAAGUUGGUGUUGUUUUAACCUUCACAAGGACCGGGCGUAGCCACACUCGAUUCAGCUAAAGUGAGAGAGACAGACACCUGCCAGCCACCUUUAAGCACGAGUGCUCGCAACGGUGAAACCAGUCUCGCGUAAGCGUACGCGUAAUGUCGGUCCGGGCCGCUUCAUCUCACAAUACCGCUGAACCAAAGUAUGACAUGCUGGUAAGCAGUAUGACUUGUAUCGCCCACAACUCACUUGUGUUCUACUCGUGCAUAUAACAUCAACGCAUAAAACCUAGGCUCGGAUGCCACUGUUGGGGAACGUAGUAAUUUCAAAAAAUUUCCUACGCACACGCAAGAUCAUGGUGAUGGCAUAGCAACGAGAGGGGAGAGUGUUGUCCACGUACCCUCGUAGACCGUAAGCGGAAGCGUUAGCACAACGCGGUUGAUGUAGUCGUACGUCUUCACGAUCCGACCGAUCCAAGCACCGAACGUACGGCACCUCCGAGUUCAGCACACGUUCAGCUCGAUGACGAUCCCCGGACUCCGAUCCAGCAAAGUGUCGGGGAUGAGUUCCGUCAGCACGACGGCGUGGCGACGAUGAUGAUGUUCUACCGACGCAGGGCUUCGCCUAAGCUUCGCGACGAUAUGACCGAGGUGGAAUAUGGUGGAGGGGGGCACCGCACACGGCUAAGGAACGAUCCGUAGAUCAACUUGUGUGUCUAUGGGUGCCCCCCCGCCCCCGUAUAUAAAGGAGCCAGGGGGGAGGAGGCGGCUGGCCAAGGAGGGCGCGCCAAGGGGGGAGUCCUACUCCCACCGGGAGUAGGACUCCCUUCUUUCCUAGUUGGAAUAGGAGAAGGGGGGAAAGAGGAGGAAGAGGGGAAGGAAAGGGGGGGGGGCGCCGCCCCCCUUCCCUUGUCCUAUUCGGACUAGGAAGGAGAGGGGCGCGCGCCCCCCUCCUGCCUCCUUCCCUCUUCUCCCUCGAGGCCCAUGUAGGCCCAAUAACCCCCCGGGGGGGGUUCCGGUAACCUCCCGGUGCUUCGGUAAAAUGCCGAUUUCACCCGGAACGAUUCCGAUGUCCAAAUAUAGGCUUCCAAUAUAUCAAUCUUUAUGUCUUGACCAUUUCAAGACUCCUCGUUACGUCCGUGAUCACAUCUGGGACACCGAACAAACUUCGGUACAUCAAAACUUAUAAACUCAUAAUAAAACUGUCAUCGUAACGUUAAGCGUGCGGACCCUACGGGUUCGAGAACUAUGUAGACAUGACCUAGAACUAUUCUCGGUCAAUAACCAAUAGCGGAACCUGGAUGCUCAUAUUGGUUCCUACAUAUUCUACGAAGAUCUUUAUCGGUCAAACCGCAUAACAACAUACGUUGUUCCCUUUGUCAUCGGUAUGUUACUUGCCCGAGAUUUGAUCGUCGGUAUCCAAUACCUAGUUCAAUCUCGUUACCGGCAAGUCUCUUUACUCGUUCUGUAAUGCAUCAUCCCGUAACCAACUCAUUUGGUCACAUUGCUUGCAAGGCUUAUAGUGAUGUGCAUUACCGAGAGGGCCCAGAGAUACCUCUCCGACAAUCGGAGUGACAAAACCUAAUCUCGAAAUACGCCAACUCAACAUGUACCUUCGGAGACACCUGUAUUACUCCUUUAUAAUCACCCAGUUACGUUGUGACGUUUGGUAGUACCCAAAGUGUUCCUCCGGUAAACGGGAGUUGCAUAAUUCUCAUAGUUACAGGAACAUGUAUAAGUCAUGAAGAAAGCAAUAGCAAUAUACUAAACGAUCAAGUGCUAGGCUAACGGAAUGGGUCAUGUCAAUCACAUCAUUCUCCUAAUGAUGUGAUCCCAUUAAUCAAAUGACAACACAUGUCUAUGGUUAGGAAACAUAACCAUCUUUGAUUAACGAGCUAGUCUAGUAGAGGCAUACUAGUGACUAUAUGUUUGUCUAUGUAUUCACACAUGUAUCAUGUUUCCGGUUAAUACAAUUCUAGCAUGAAUAAUAAACAUUUAUCAUGAUAUGAGGAAAUAAAUAAUAACUUUAUUAUUGCCUCUAGGGCAUAUUUCCUUCAGAACAACCAAUAUCGAGGCACACAGUCUCGCUAAACAUGCUUUCGAUCUGGAUCUAGGGCGCCACUUGUGGCUAAUAAACCCUCCAGACAUUCAUUGUAUCCCUAUGAACUUAUUUGAUUAGUAAAGUGUGUUUAGACUCAAAAAAAAUCUAACCAGCCCAGACAAUCCAUUUGAAAUCAACCUUCUAUUGUCCCAAAGAUCGUUUUCUAAUGAACUGGGCCUGAGCACCAAAGGUUCACCAGAAUCAGGCCCAUGAACUUGCACCGGCUGCACCUCAAAAAAUAAAAACAAACCUUUAUACUCUUGUUUGUUUAGUACCACCUCGCCAACGGGAGGAGGCAGGGGUGGGGGAGGAUGCUAUAUAAUGAUCCCUCGGUGCACCCUUGCAACAUACUACCACUAGUAGAAAAGGGGGCAUUGGUCCAGGUCGGGUGAGCCCAUUAGUCCCGGUUCAAUCUAGAAUCGGGACCAAUGGGGGCAUUGAACCCGGUUCGUGAGCCCCAGGGGCCGGCCGGGCCACGUGGGCCAUUGGUCCCGGUUCGUGAGCCCCGGGGGCCGGCCGGGCCACGUGGGCCAUUGGUCCCGGUUCGUCUGGACCUUUUGGUCCCGGUUGGUGGGACGAACCGGGACCAAUGUGCCUUGCUCCUGGCCCACCACCAUUGGUCCCGGUUGGAGGCAUGAACCGAGACCAAAGGACGCCCAUUAGGCCCGGUUCAUACCACCAACCGGGACUAAAGUGUUGGUCCUCGUUGCGGCCAGAGUUUAGUCCCACCUCGCCAACCGAAGGGGGCUCACACCGGUUUAUAAGCCCCUCCCUCUCUGCCUUGUUGAGCUCCUCUCAAAAUGAAAAUAGAUGCCCUUAUACAGGAAAUUUGACCUAAAUUCAUACUGAAUUUCUCUGAAGUUAGUAGAAAUUUAUUAUGAAUUUAGGUUUAAUUUUCUCUAUAAGCACAUCUAUGCUCAUUUUUUAGUAAAGUUAAUCACAACUAUUUUUUCUUCUAUUUAUUUCUGAGUAGUUUUUUAUAUAGUUUUUUCUUUUCUGCUAUAUUUAUUUUUUUUCUAUUUAUUUCUGAGUUGUAAUAAGUCAUUAAAAAUAAAAAAGAUUUUAGUAAAGUUAAUCACAACUAUUUUUUCUUCUAUUUAUUUCUGAGUAGUUUUUUAUAUAGUUUUUUUUCUUUUCUGCUAUAUUUAUUUUUUCUAUUUAUUUCUGUGUGGUAAUAAGUCAUUGAAAAUAAAAAAGAGGCGCAAUGCUAGUUAAUUCGCUUCAAGCCUUUUGGAAUAGUGUAAACUGCACUGCACAUAGCUCCGUGCAGUCUACCCUAUUCCUCAAGGCUUGAAGCGAACCAACGUGCAGGUGAGCAUUGAGCCUCUUCUUCAUCGUCUGUGCACUCAGGGCUUAUAAACAGCUGCGAGUGCCUUUCGCUUAGCGAGGUGGGACUAAAAAAAUAGCUGUAGAAAGAAUCAACUAAAAUACAGCUGCAGAAAAUAAAUAACUAAUUAGAUGGGUCAAAACCACUUCACAUAAUGCUUUAAUGUCUUAUGGUUCGGCCCUCGUGAUACCAUGCCAACUUUCAACUUUCAACUUUUUCAGAGUUCAUUUGAAAUGCUUUAAUGCAGAAAACAAAAGAAAAUAAAUAAUGCAGAAAGCAAAACAAAAAAACUGGAAAAAUAAAUAGAAUAGCAACAAUAAGUAUUUUGUUGUAAGUAGAAACAAAAUAAAAUAAAUAAAGCAAAAAGAAAACAAAAAAAGUGUACUCAAAUUUGAAAACUAAUGGCACUAACAGAAAGUUUAUAAUNNNNNNNNNNNNNNNNNNNNNNNNNNNNNNNNNNNNNNNNNNNNNNNNNNNNNNNNNNNNNNNNNNNNNNNNNNNNNNNNNNNNNNNNNNNNNNNNNNNNNNNNNNNNNNNNNNNNNNNNNNNNNNNNNNNNNNNNNNNNNNNNNNNNNNNNNNNNNNNNNNNNNNNNNNNNNNNNNNNNNNNNNNNNNNNNNNNNNNNNNNNNNNNNNNNNNNNNNNNNNNNNNNNNNNNNNNNNNNNNNNNNNNNNNNNNNNNNNNNNNNNNNNNNNNNNNNNNNNNNNNNNNNNNNNNNNNNNNNNNNNNNNNNNNNNNNNNNNNNNNNNNNNNNNNNNNNNNNNNNNNNNNNNNNNNNNNNNNNNNNNNNNNNNNNNNNNNNNNNNNNNNNNNNNNNNNNNNNNNNNNNNNNNNNNNNNNNNNNNNNNNNNNNNNNNNNNNNNNNNNNNNNNNNNNNNNNNNNNNNNNNNNNNNNNNNNNNNNNNNNNNNNNNNNNNNNNNNNNNNNNNNNNNNNNNNNNNNNNNNNNNNNNNNNNNNNNNNNNNNNNNNNNNNNNNNNNNNNNNNNNNNNNNNNNNNNNNNNNNNNNNNNNNNNNNNNNNNNNNNNNNNNNNNNNNNNNNNNNNNNNNNNNNNNNNNNNNNNNNNNNNNNNNNNNNNNNNNNNNNNNNNNNNNNNNNNNNNNNNNNNNNNNNNNNNNNNNNNNNNNNNNNNNNNNNNNNNNNNNNNNNNNNNNNNNNNNNNNNNNNNNNNNNNNNNNNNNNNNNNNNNNNNNNNNNNNNNNNNAUAAAGCACGAAACAAAACAAAAAAACAAAAAAACAAAAAAAGUGUUUUCAAAUUUGAGAACUAAUGGCACUAACAGAAAGUUUAUAAUUUUUCUAAAACUAAAAGCAAAAAGAAUUAAAAAAUAAAGCAAAAAAACAAAAGAAAAUAAAUAAUGCAGAAAGCAAAACAAAAAAUCUGGGAAAAAAUAAAAAUAGCAACAAUAAGUAAAGAAAAAAAAGUGCCUCCUACUAGGCCCCCACGGCCUGAAUACGACUAGAAACCCACCAUGGGCCAGGAUUCAGGCCCGCAGGUGGCCCAGUAGGCCCAUCAGGCAAAGCAGUAGUAAGUAAGCUCGUAAGCCUGCAGUGGAGAGGAGCUCGAGAGGGGUGCGGCAGUGGGGCUUAUAAACCACUGCGCGCCCCUCUCAGCUAGCAAGGUGGGACUAAACUUUCGUGCCGCACCGUGCCAGCACACGACCAUUGGUCCCGGUUGGAGGCACCAACCGGGACAAAUGCCCACCCUUUAGUCCCGGUUGGUGGCACCAACCGGGACCAAAGCCCUCUGCUUCCCGCCCUUUGGGCUGCUGAAAAGAGGCCUUUGGUCCCGGUUGGUGCUACCAACCGGGACUAAAGGGCGCAUUAGUCCCGGUUGGAGCCACCAACCGAGACCAAAGACUUUUGCUAUAUAAGGAAAUUUUCAGNNNNNNNNNNNNNNNNNNNNNNNNNNNNNNNNNNNNNNNNNNNNNNNNNNNNNNNNNNNNNNNNNNNNNNNNNNNNNNNNNNNNNNNNNNNNNNNNNNNNNNNNNNNNNNNNNNNNNNNNNNNNNNNNNNNNNNNNNNNNNNNNNNNNNNNNNNNNNNNNNNNNNNNNNNNNNNNNNNNNNNNNNNNNNNNNNNNNNNNNNNNNNNNNNNNNNNNNNNNNNNNNNNNNNNNNNNNNNNNNNNNNNNNNNNNNNNNNNNNNNNNNNNNNNNNNNNNNNNNNNNNNNNNNNNNNNNNNNNNNNNNNNNNNNNNNNNNNNNNNNNNNNNNNNNNNNNNNNNNNNNNNNNNNNNNNNNNNNNNNNNNNNNNNNNNNNNNNNNNNNNNNNNNNNNNNNNNNNNNNNNNNNNNNNNNNNNNNNNNNNNNNNNNNNNNNNNNNNNNNNNNNNNNNNNNNNNNNNNNNNNNNNNNNNNNNNNNNNNNNNNNNNNNNNNNNNNNNNNNNNNNNNNNNNNNNNNNNNNNNNNNNNNNNNNNNNNNNNNNNNNNNNNNNNNNNNNNNNNNNNNNNNNNNNNNNNNNNNNNNNNNNNNNNNNNNNNNNNNNNNNNNNNNNNNNNNNNNNNNNNNNNNNNNNNNNNNNNNNNNNNNNNNNNNNNNNNNNNNNNNNNNNNNNNNNNNNNNNNNNNNNNNNNNNNNNNNNNNNNNNNNNNNNNNNNNNNNNNNNNNNNNNNNNNNNNNNNNNNNNNNNNNNNNNNNNNNNNNNNNNNNNNNNNNNNNNNNNNNNNNNNNNNNNNNNNNNNNNNNNNNNNNNNNNNNNNNNAAGUAGUUUGUAGUAAGUGCUACUUUAUUUAUUUAUAGUAAGUGCUACUUUAUUUAUUUAUAGUAAGUGCUACUUUAUUUAUUUAUAGUAAGUGCUUAGUGGUUGAACUAGAUAGUUGAUUUAAUUAAUAAAACUACUUUAUUUAACUAUAUAUAGAAGUACGUAGUUCCCGCAUCGACAUCGGCGAUGCCUAUCCCGCAUCCUCGUCGUCGUCGACUUGGCGGUGGAGGCCUGCUUGAUCAGGGCCAUGUUCAGAACUGGGCUCCGCCGGGCUGGUUUUAGGAGGUGCUACCUUCUGGGGGACGUAGGUUGGUGAGGAGGCAGCCCGUUGUUGACCCGAUCCUUUUUUGGUGGCGGCCGCGUGGGCCAGUGACAGUGCCGAGGCUUCCAGACGCCGCGGAGGUGGUAUGUCACCGUGUCAGCGAGGAGGACGAGCACGUCCGUCGCUACAUGGUUGCGCUGGAGGGCAGGUUCGACAAUACCUGGCAGGUUCUUCAGGGAUCUCACUAGAGCUAUGAUCAUGUGAUCGUUCCUUAUCUUUGGGUGUCCACCGCCCGCGACGAUACCCGUCGGGCGCUACGGUUCUAGCUGUAUUAAUUAGCAAUGUUAUAUGUAUGAUAGUAUUCGAAGAGUAUUCGACGAUGUACGAACACAAGAGAUGAUGUACUUUUGGUUAUAAUUGAAUGCAUGCUAAUUUGAAUGCUACUUUAUUUUACGAUUUGGUUUUGCUUAUUGAAUGCUCAUAUUGGAAAAGUACUCCUACUUUGAAUGCUAAAAUUGAAGAGCACUCCAUGCAGAAAUCUAGGAGCCCCCUCCAUCAUCCACGCCGUCGUGGGGGUAGCUUCUCCUUCAUUCCCGUGUGCUAGACAAUUUGUUGUAAUAAUGUACUCGGGAAUGAAAGGAGGAGCUACAUACCAUCACCAAUAGUCAACCCGUGAUUAAUAAUAAUGAUCUAAUUUAGGUUUUUUAGUACAUAUAUUUAAUAUUUGAAUUAUGAACUUAGGCCGGAAAUAUCGUACUCGGACGAUGAAAAACACCGGGGGGAAAGCGACUGGUACCACGACGACUGAGGUAUGUGUGACAGGUUCAUUGAGCUGGACGAAGAUCGGCGCUUCAGCAUUAAGCUCGAGGAGACCUUCGAUGUUCAUACUGUACGCAACGACGAGAAUAGUUUUUUUCGUAAUUAAGCACGACUUCAACUAUUUUAACAUGUAUUUUUCAUCUUUUCCAAUUCGACUAGCUUAUCCCAUGAUUUGCAAGAUGCUAUGUCUUGGAGAGGAUGGGUUUUAAAGACCAUGAAAGUAUGGAAACCAAAAAAAUUAUUCUAAGUAUCCAUCAUGGUGUGGAUUUUCAAGUAAAAUUGUACAAUGCUCAGAGUGUAACCCAUUGUGGUUGCAAAAACUGAGAAGCACUUUGCAAGAUGUAUGGUUUUGAUGAGGGUAUGCUUGUCACCAUGGAUCUUGGUGAUCCUACAAUCGCGCAAGAGAGACCUUCGAUUUUCAUCCUUGUGGAUACACCUCCAAUUCUUCCCCCAUGUGAGCUUAACAUAGUUAUUAAGUAAUUUAUAUUGUUUAUUUCAAAAUAAUUGACAACUUAUUUCCAUUGACAGCUUAUUUUCACUCUUCCAAGAAUGUGCGAAAGAUGGUAGACAGAACCUACUACACCAAAGGCUCCGAAUUAACUUAUCAGGAGAAAAAUCAUCUGGUCGCAUUUUGUACUGAUCUUGAGAAUUACAAUAUCUACAAUCAAACUCCUCAACAUUAUGGUCAAUACGUGCCACUAGUGCACGUGUUGAACUACGGUAACUACCAUGGAGAUACCCUGGUAAGAUUUUUUACUAUUACGACAUCCGUGCAUCUUUUUGCACACUUCUAAAACUAGUACAUCAUUGCUAACUACGAAGUUAUUACUAUGUUUUUCAACAGAUAAUCCCGAAUGAUUGUGUGCCUCAUCUGAUGUAUACACACGGUAGUCUUCAUGUUUUGAACAUACAACCAGGUCUUCCUACGAAUCUGAACUGUCCAUACCGGGUUUCUAAAAGAAGUGGAGACAUGACAAUCAAAGAAUGGAAAAAAUGUAUGGACAGUCGUAAGGAGCUUCUUGGAAGCAACAAUCAGCGGAGGGCAAGAAUUGGAGACAGGAUGAUCGCCAUUCUUUAUAAUGGAGAGUCAGGGUCUAUAUUGUUUUAUGUUAUUUUACCUUAAGGGUGUUUAGGUCAUGUCCUACCUGAUACUGAUGAUCAUGUGCUAAGAACAAUUAUGUAGGGUUGGGUUUGAUGACUAUGAGGAUGAUGAUCAUAUGAGUUAUUAUUAAUAAUGAGUAGAAGUUGUAUGAUAAUGCAUGAUUAGUAGGACUUGUUAUUAUAUAUGAUGAUGUAUGAUGCGAGCAUGCAUGAGUUAUUAUAUCAGCGGGUGAAAUGAACAUAUAUAGCAGCAGCGUUGGUAAACCAAGGACGAAGAUAUAAGAGAGGACACUUCUCUCUAUUAGCUAGCUAAUAACAACCCAAAAAUAACCCCCAAAACCUCUAAAGCAGCCACUUUUCUAAAAAAACAUGGACUUUUGGUCCCGGUUGGUGCCACCAACCGGGACCAAAGGCCCCCUGACUGGGCUCGGCGCACAGGGCCACGUGGAGGCACAUUGGUCCCGGUUCGUGUUCGAACCGGGACUAAUGGGUGGAGGUAUUAGUAACGACUCAUUAGUCCCGGUUCAUGAACCGGGACUAAAGGCCUUUACGAACCGGGACUAUUAGGUGUUUUUCUACUAGUGUACAUCCGUCCUGGUUUAUAAGUCCCCUUUGUAGUUUGUGCCAAAUUUUAACUAAAGAUUUAACUAACAAAAUGUUAAUGCAUGUCAAGAAAAAUUAUCUCAUUGGAUUCAUAUUUGAACAUAGUUUUCAAAAAAUAAUGUUUGGUGACAUGCUUGAACAUUUUGUUAGUUUAAUCUAUAGUCAAAAUUUGGCACGAAAUACAAUGGGGACCAAUAAACCCGAACGGAGGUAGUACUUACCUGAACGGGGUCGACGACUGAUCAAGAAGAGUCGUGGCCUAGGCUAGUGGUCCACAUUGCAAUUGGUGGAUGCGCUGGCUUUCCUUUGUGGUAGAGGGGGUACGCGUCCGCGCGGCCCCUGCCAAUUCUUUAAAUUAAAUUUGAUAUUUUAUAGUUGUAGGGAUUUAUGUGUUUGUUUGGCCCCUGCCAAUUCUCUAAAUUAAACAUUGGACCUUUAUUAUUGAAAUAGUACUAGCAUUGCAGCUGUUGAAGACAUAAGUUGUACUAGCCGAUGUCUGAUUUGGCGUAAUAUCACAGUCGAGGUACCCAAUAUUACACCCAGUUUCAUUCUUGCAACUCAUUUUCCAGCAGGCUUCUAAAAAAAUCGCUACAUUAUUAGAUCCCUUAUAUUAGAAAGAAGGAUGAAAACUUGAGCAACACAUUUGACUUGAAAUUUGGUGAAUUUUUGGAUAAGACGGAACCCUGGGAACCCGAAGACCCCCGCAUCGCCUCGCUCUGGCGACACGGGGGGAGAAAACCUAGCGCCGCCACCUUCUCCCCCCUUCCUCCCUCCAGCAGCGCCGCCGCCAGAGGGCGCCCACCAGCAAAGUCCGGGCCGGCCCCAAGGAAGGCGGCGGCGGGGCGCUAGCCCUUGCCGGUGCAGCACGACGAGGAGGACGGCGGCGUGUCGCGUCGGGGAGCUCUGCGCGGCCCAGAUCUGGUCGGUGCGCAUCCGCGACGGGGAGAUGGAGGCGGCUGGUCGGGCGCCCAUCGGGCUGCUCGUGUGCGCGCGGCUGCGCGGUGGAGUUGCUGGGCAUAGCCCGCGCGGCUUGUGGGCGCAGGGGCGGCGCGGCCCGUGCGGCUUGCGAGCGCUAGUGGCAGCGUGGCGGCGCGGCCGCGCGAGUCGCUGCCGUGAGAUGCUGCGGGAGGACGCGGGCUCCCCCUGGAGGACGGCCCCUGGCUUGGACGCGGUCGGAUCUGGCGAGCCGGCCGGAUCUGGCGGCUGGGGGUCAGGAGGCGGCUUGGCUGGCGACGGGGUCGGCGUUGCUGCUGACCAUAAACCGUGCGGUGGAGGAAAAGGACUUUCCUCUUGCAGAGAGGAGCCCGACCCUCGCGUCGCCCACACCGGGCGACUCGAGGGGAACCCCAGCCGCCACCGACCGCCGCCCCUCCUCCCGGCCACCCCCGCGUCGCCGCCGGCUCCCCGUGCUCUCUCGUUGCGGCCUCGCGCUGGCCGCGGUGCACCUCAACCUCUCCUUGUUGGGUGCGGCGCCCCGGCGUGUUGCUGCUUCUUUGGCCCUCCGUAGCUCGCUUCGCAGCUCAUGGCUGCCUAGAUUGUUGGGCUACGGCGGUGGUUGGCCGACUUGCUCCGGUUGCGAGGUGGAGGAGGCACUGCCGGGUGAAAACUUCAUCGACGAUGACGGCUGCAGCCGCGGCUGCAGCCGCCAUUUUUCCUUCUUGAAGGCAUCGAGUUUGGCAUUGUUUCCCUCCCCCCCAAGCACUCAGAUCCCGAGAGAAAUCUCGGACCCGGGGUUCCCCGUGUCGGAUGGUGUCGACGUCUCUACGCCGUUUCCUCCUUGGGGGCAUCUUCUUGGAUUUCUUCUGCUUCGGGUGGACUCGCCUCUUGCUGCUUCCUCUCCACCUCGGCUUCGAUCCCUGGCUGGCCAUUGUCCUUGGCGACUCGAGUGGAGCUUGCUUGGACAUCCUGGGGUGGCCUCGACGACGCGCUGCCCUUCGACCUCGGCGGCAGUACACCGGUACUGCGCCCUUCGGUCUCGGUGGCGUGUUGCCUUCUCGGCUUCGCUGGCGGCACACCGGUGCCGCCACUCGAACUCGGCUAUUCGACGCUCUUCGUUCGCGCCAGUGAUGCUUCUCGAUAUGCUUCUACUUCGGUGUCUCCUUUCUAUCAGGGAUGUGCUUCAUGGUGGCCCGGACGACGUUUGCGUGGACAUCCUGGGGUGGCCUCGGCGGCACGCUGCUCUUCGACCUCGGCGGCGGUACACCGGUGCCGUGCCCUUCGGUCUCGGUGGUUUGUUGUCUCUUGGCUUCGCCGGCGCACACCGGUGUCGCCGCACGAACUCGGCUAUCCGACGCCCUUCGUUCGUGCCAGUGAUGUUCCAUUGCGAGUUGCUGUUAUGGUGCCCGUCUUUUUCUCCCUAGGCCUUGUUCUGGUUCAUUGUCAGUGGUGGAACAAGCUGCUCAGCGGAGCUUGCUACCUGAGAUGUCGGCCUCCAGGGGUUUCGGUUUGGUUCUGUUGCCAGCCUUCCCCUCCAUUUUGUUUUUCUUUCUUCUAGUUUUGGGCUUCCUCUUGAAGCCAUCCCCUGUUAUUUCAUUUUGUGCCUUUGUGCACUUACUUGUAUCUGUACUGACUGCCAAGUCACUUUCGAGUGGGAAUAUAACAAGCGGUGGGGUUUUUGGCCCCCCCGUCAAUCUCGAAAAAAAAAAUUUGGUGAAUUUUGACAUAUGAAAUGUUGAAAGGUUGCAUAUAAAAGCAUCCAGAUACCAUACAUGACUUUGGUUGCAUAUAAAAAGGUAGCUAACAAGUAAAGUAGCAGGUUGUAUAUAUAUACAGCCCCUUCACAGGCAGUCUUUGCAACACCUCCCGUAGCUUUGACAAUUUCACAAGUUAGAAAGAAUAUGGGAUAUAGUCUUGGAAGAUACUGGGCAAGAAGUAUAAGCGACAAGAAUGUUAUACUUGAUAUUGUGGCCACAUAUGAUUUAUGCGGGACAAGUGGGUUUAGCGGGAUGUCCACAUAUUAUCGUUAUACUUGGUCCUGUAAGAUUUAAAGACUUAGCGUCAUACAACGAUGAACGUAGGUUUCAGAGUACCCGUUCCUGUCUUCAGAGUUCACAUGGAUAUCCUUUCUGCCUUUAGAGCAAACAAAAUUUUAGAACACCAACUGUAUACGUGCAUGAGUGAUGAGUCUGUCAGUUGCUAACAUCCAUGAUCCAAGAGUGCACGAAUUAUUAAAAAGCAUCAGAUGCUAGUUUAUUCAAUGUGUGGUCACCUACUACAAUCUCUAGGACAACAGAUAACCUGCAAAAUUCAGAAUAAGGAAAAUUGGUGCUUCUCAGAAUAAAACUCCUCAGGGCGUGAGGUCCUGCUUGUAACUGAAGCUUCAGGUUCAGGGUUCAGUAGGGUAUCAUCAAUUAUAGACUAGCACAAAUUAGCAGAGAACCCCAACGUAUAUGUCAGCAAGAAAACACAUACUCUUACAGUACCUUGUUCUUCCCUUCUUUGGUCCUCAGGGCUCUCACGCACCUCGUCGAUAUUGCCAACCUCUGGGUGCAAUUGCUCCUUGUGCGGUUGUGCCACACCUGGUCCCCGUCUUCCGGCCCCAACACCCUUCGGUGGUGCUCCCCCGCGCGGCCAUGUCUUCAGCACCUUUUUACCCGUGGACGUCCACGAAGAUGAUUCAUGUGGGCUUGGGUGUGGGCGCGGCGGACAGCCCACGUCUAAGAUUUCGAAGAGAGGUCGUUUUUCUAAUGAACUGGGCCUGAGCGCCGAAAAUCCCAUCAGAAUCAGGCCCACGACCUUGCACCAGGUGCACCAUGGCGCUGCGCUCUUAGAGUCUUGGUUAGUUUGUUUAGUACCACCUCGGCCAGCGAGAGGAGGCAAGGGAGGGAGAGCCUGCUAUAUAAUGAUCCCUCGGUGCACCCUUGCAACAUACUUACCUGGACGGGGUCGACGGCUGAUCAAGAAGAGUCGUGGCCUAGGCUAGUGGUCCACAUUGCACUUGGUGGAUGCGCUGGCCUACCAUCUCCCCAAGUGGGAGAGUGGACGUCGUAAUUUGUGGUAGAGGGGGUACGCGUUCGCGCGGCCCCUACCAAUUCUCUAAAUUAAGUUUUGUCCUUCCUACUUUAGUGGUUCUUUGUGCUGAAUUCACGUUCAGUUUCAGUUACUUUAUCCUGGCCUUGCAGAGUCAGCUUAUAUGGUUUCAAAUUGCUGACAGGUCACUCAAUCUAGUGUGGCAUUUUAGAAAUAGACAGUGUGAUGAGACGCAUAUGCAGCAUUACCUGAAGUUGAUGUUCAAGUGGCCUUUACAGUCUAUACUUUCAACAAAAUAGCAAACCUUGUACAGACAGACAGUCAGUUUAUAGGCUCCAAAAUGGUACAGACUAUGGCAUCAAUGUCAGGAUUUCUUUGAAGCUCAGACAGUCAGUGUAGCGGCACCCUGUGCUGAGGCACCAAGAAUUUUACAAAUGUACAACGUACCGAUGACUAUAUUAUAUAUGUGUACUUUAAACUGUU